Molecule: long non-coding RNA, 121247 nt
Filed under: Triticum aestivum (bread wheat)
Lineage: Eukaryota; Viridiplantae; Streptophyta; Magnoliopsida; Poales; Poaceae
Description: long non-coding RNA (TAES_LNC026002)
Source: RNAcentral
AAAAAAAAACUAUUAUAUACUCCUUCCGUUUCAAAAUAAGUGUCGUGGUUUUAGUUCAAAUUUAAACUAAAACCACGAUGAAACAGAGGGACUACAAACAACUUACAUUUGACGGGAUUUCAGGACAAAAAAUAUCAUGAGCUCAGGGCCUGUUGUAUUGAGAAUGAACCUUGCAAAUAUAAAAUGUAGGUAACAUUUUCUGCCAAUAACAUCUAUUUAGCUUCCAGACCAAGAUUAACAAUACAAAAUAUAAGAGUACAUGUCUUAGGCAGGCUACACCAGCCAUGGAUUCAGGUUCAGCUGACAAAAUAACUACUAACGAAGCAGCAUUUGAAGUAUCGCAACCGUUACAACAAAAAAGUGUAACAAACAUUUUUCAAAAGGUUCCAACUAAAUGAAUAAAAACAGCACCGAUGUUUUUCAUGCAACUGCAACCAAGCAAAAGUUCCACAAAGGGUAUCAUGCUCCUUUGUUCUGAGGACCUGCAGCAUUUGUGCUCCUACUACCGAAUGAAACACAGGAGUACACAGGCGCAGAAUAGCUGUCACCUGUGCUAUCGUUUGGCACCAGUACAUGCUUCGCCCCAGGAGUGAGCUGGGCCUGAUCUCUUCUGCACAUACCGACCACUAGGUGAAGCAUUGGAAUUGCAAAGAACAGCGCUCCCCACUAUGUUAUCUGUAUUUCUGGCUGAAAGGGUUGCAUCUCUUAUGCUGUUGAAAGGUGUUUGAACUACCCGGUCUGGAUGGUUGAAUGUAAAACCACAGAAUUAAGACGACAAACUGACGAGCUUGCUGGAUGCACAACAUGUUGCUGAGGCAAAUUGGCAUGGAAACCUAAAGAUGCUGUACCAUGUUGUCUGGUUGUAGGCAAAGGUGGUGCUGUGGGUGGUUCUAUCCUAGGGAUAGGAUCAGAGUAAUAACGGCACGACGGGGAAUUCUGUUGGAAUGCUCCACUGCCACGAUUGGGAGGAGGUGAGCACCCCAAUAGAAAAGGCCGAUUGGUCCGCGAGUUUGAAAAAUCAAAAAACCUGUUUUCAUAUGGCAACUGAUCUCCAGAAAGUACAUUAGCUGCUGGAACAGGGUGGCCGUAAUCAUGUGUAGUCCAUGCCUGACUUGGGCUUGCAUGAUAUGUUGAAGCAUGAAGUAUCCUGGUAGAAUUUACUGUAUCAUUGGGAAAAUUCUGAGCUUGUAAAGAGAGAAAAGGCCGUCCUUUUUGUGGCAAGAACACAUUUGCGUUGAAAUAGUCAUUGGUGAAAGUACCUGUAUGCUUCUGCGCAGUCUCGGAAAUCGAUUCAGCUCUGGUCGUGCAAACUGGAAGAUCUUUACCCAUCAAACGAACUGUCAGUCCUGUGCAAGGUCCAUUCUCACGCGGAGUGUUCAACUCAGAACGAGAUUUUAACUCCUUACUGUGCGACACAUUAGAUUCAUGAGAUGGCCAGGAAGAAAACUUGCCGCUUGUGGAAGACCAACUCUGGUGCUGCCGAAAUGAAUCCUGAAAUGUAUGAUCUGGCAAUGCACAAGGAGACAUACUCAUAAUCAUAGUAUCUUUUACUGAAACAUUACUGCAACCACGAGGAGUCUCUGCAAGUUCAGUUAAGCUCAAUGGAGGACCAGCAGCAUCUACAUCAGAAACUUUUAUCGUCUCACCAUGCAAUAAUGUGCCUGCCGAACUUGAAUUCGUUAUUCUUUCCAAGUCAGCAGUAGAUUGUUUGCUUUCUAGCCUGUGUGAAUCAACAGGAAAAAUCAUCAGUUUUUCUCUGCCAUCAUGCAAUUGGACAUUUGAACUUAAAGUUUCCUCAUGUGUAUGCUCCAGAUUUGGAACCUCUGCAUAUGAUGAAUCAUACCUUUGGUCCAGUUCAGUAGAUUCCGGUAACGCCAUAUUCAGAUCAAUGAGAGGAGCUGACAUCUCUUUGUUACCAGCCUCAGGAGAAUCCUCAUGAUCUGAAUUCUUAUUUGCUUCUUUCGUCUUAGUGAAAGCUUCCAUGGGAAUAUGAGAAGUACCACUUUCUGCAGUUAUGCUUUUGUCAGGAGAAUCCUCAUGAUCUGAAUUCUUAUUUGCUUCUGACUUAGUGGAAGCUUCCAUGGGCAUAUGAGAACUACCACUUUCUGCAGUUAUGCAUUUGUCUCCUUCGGUAGACGUGAAUGAUGAUGAUGAUGACGAGGAUGACGAUGAAGAAGCCAUAGCAUCUGAAAACAUCUUGCAGAGACUUUGUCGUUCUGGUAGCUCAAGUAUAGCAUCUGCUUCUGAGAAUUUGACACGUCUCACUGAUUUGCGGCAGAGUUCUAUUACUUCCUGGCCUUCUGAAUUGCCACGUUUCUCCUUGACCAUUUUCACUGAUGUGUGCUUUGUGCACUUUAGAAUGCCAUGCCUAGGGAUAAAAUUUUCCAGAUCUCAUGGUUUCCCCACUUUGUCGGCUUUACUGUUGCCGAUGUGCUUUUGUGUGUUAGCCUUCUUCUUAUUUAUAUUAUUGAUCUUCCCAUGCUUCCUUCUCUCAGAUAUCUUUUCUCUCUCUUCUCUGUGAUGUUGUGAAGCCUCAGGUUUCUGUAAUGAGUUAGUAUCCAGUCCAUCAAACAGGUUUGGAUUUUCAAGUGCUUCCUGCAGAAUUGAAGAGCAUUAUUUGAAACCAUAAGAUACAUAUAGCUGUGAGUACAAAAAAUAAAGGAAAAACUGAACAGCACAAAUCAGAUCUACCAGAUAAUUACCAAUUUCAAACAAAUCAUCAGGACAGUGGGAUACCCUAGACGGGAAAGUUGCUGCAUAUAUAUAAAUUUGUUAUGUUCACUAAUUUUGGAUCAUUGAAAUUUCCGCACAAGUGUGUUAUACACAAAUGGCAUUGGUGUUGCAGGUAUGCAUAUAGGUGAUGAACCAUGCGUUUACACUUCACACCCACUUGUUAAUGCCAGUCAUGUAUAUCAUCACCAAUGUUUAAGAGAAAAAUAGUUUUAAGAUCAUACCAGCGUUACAGACCUACGUAGACAUGAUUAUGUUCUAUUGGUAUAUCAUCACCAAUAUAGGUGCUGAUGGAUGCAGGGUGGCUCUAACACUUCCUAUAGGAAUAAAUGCUCGAUGCAAACAUGGUUAUGUUCUUUUGGAGAAGUGUCAAGCUACAUGACCUGAACCACAUACUGACAUCUUAGGCACAUCUCGCAGGUGCCACACUGGAAAUGAUGUGGCAUUGAUGUGUAUGAGCUGUCCUAGACAAAAUCUAGGAACAAAUUGCUCAAAUGUAGAUACAAUGGACACAAUCCGCAACAUGAAGCGGCACGCAAAAUAUGUGGGCGUUCAGACUUGAUCCAGGACAACAUGCACUAAUUGAUGCCAUGUUAAACAUGGUGUCUCAAGUGGACCCAAGAUGCCAAAUGUCAUGUGGGUACCGGCAUAGGCGGAUAGCUACAACACCAACCGCUUCAGGAGUCCAGGCAGAUCGAGAUACGUAUUAUCUCUACUUAUCCCUAGUUAGCAUUAAUUUGGUAUGAGAGUUUGGAACUUUGGAUGUGGAACGGUUCGCCCUGAAAAAGCCAUCAACAGGUUUAAGCCAAAAUAUGUCACAUCUACAGACGUUUGAGUACAUGAGCAUGUGAAGACGGUGGAGCCGCACCUCCCAAAGCAGGCUGGUCGCAGCACGAAGAUGGUGUUCAUCGGAUGCGAGAGGACUUCUGGCACCAAUGCAUACCGCUUUUAUGACCCACACGACUACUACCUCAGAUCCAAUCCUCACCCCUCGUGGCCAUCAAGUACGUGACAACAGAACGCGAACGGCGAGGUAAAAGUAAUAACCAGAUGGAAUGCAAAACUCUAGGUAGAAUAAUCCAUCGCAGCACGAAGAUGGUGUUCAUCGGAUGCAAGAGGACUUCCGGCACCAAUGCAUACCGCUUUUAUGACCCACACGACUACUACCUCAGAUCAAAUCCUCACCCUCCUGACCAUCAAGUACGUGAUAGCAGAACGCAAACGGCGAGGUAAAUUAAUAACCAGGUGGAAUGCAAAACUCUAGGUAGAAUAAUCCACUAUUACGCACAGCUAUUUACAGCCAUUGUAGUUUAUACGGCUUAAAUCACAUGACUAGGUAAAAAUUGCACUAUACUCAGGAACAUAUGUGUAUUAACCACUUAUACCACAAGAUAUAAAAGAAAUAAAAAUAAUAUUUGGAUCAGACAGGAACCGGAUGUUGGUUAUGGCACAUUCAUAUCCAUAUUUUGAGUAAAAUACAUAUAUAAUUAUUCUACAAUCUAAAUUUGAAGUUGGUUAAGAGUAACACUACCGUGACUUCAUAUUUCCAUCCAAUUUAUUUCAUUUUCUCUUCUCCAGAUUGUACCCAAAUUUGUAGAACGGUUUUUUUAUAUGGUUAGGCCAGUCCUUACAUUAGAACAUUCUAUAGCGCUAGCUUAACAAUGAAAAAUCAAGUUAAACUACAAAACAAUGCAAUAUAUAUUUCCAAGUCCUCCAGAUGCAUAUGGAAUGAGUAUUUGUGUAAUGAACCUAUUUCUUGAACAUUUUUUUAAUCUAUCGAUGCUUCGAUUGAGACUAAAAGUUCUCAUGAUUUUCAAGAAAAAUAGUUGUGCACUCAUUAAGCUGUGUAGUUGAUUUUUUCGACAAAAAGGAUCACAUGGUUGUCACAAUGGUGUGUGCUUGUCCUCAGUGCACCAAUCAAAAACCAUUGUUUUGGCAAUUAUCUUAUAUACCUAAUGACAUCUAAUUGACAGAGCAACCAAUUAAUAUUGUUUGUUAAUGUAAUAAACGAAUAUCCAUGAUCAAUUCAGCCCUACAGUGUAUUUUAAAAGGGCACAACAGAUUUCGAUGAAGUACACAAUUUUUAUUGAACGUCUAUUAAUAAAGAUGCACGCAAUUAAUGAAAUAUAUGUAUGACAAAAUAUCUAAAUCGUUCAGCUAAGAACGAAACUAAAAGUAACAAUAUUAUGACCAUGAUCUCGAUAAGAAAAGUUUCGCGUAAUAUACAAGGUACGAGGGAAGGGGAGCCUUGGCGCAGCGGUAAAGCUGUUGCCCUGUGACCAUGAGGUCAUGAAUUCAGGUCCUGGAAACAACCUCUUGCAAAAAUGCAGGGAAAGAUUGCGUACAAAAGAUCCAAAGUGGUCGGACCCUUCCCUAGACCCUACACAAGAGGGAGCUACAUGCACAGGGCUGCCCUUUAUACAAGGUACGUAGGAAAUUCAAAAUGCUAUUUGCCAAUGUGAAGAGAAAAUAUCUAUGGGUAGAUUCGCCACAUCAGUACCCUAAAGAUGUUAUGUGGAUCAACCCAUCAAACGUGGAGUCUUAUCCCUUAAUUAGAGUCCUAAUUGAUUAAGCAUCUUUGCUAGGAAAGAGUCUAGUCAGUUUAGAGAUCGUAUUAGAGUUUGAACAGAUUUACCGGUUUCAUGGUCAAGUCUUGUCUACUAUAUAAAGGGGGCGAGCCCUUUCAAUAAAUCAGAGAAUAAUAUUGUUGUUUACUUUUAUCUACUUUUCAGUAAUUAGGGUUAUGUCAGUCGUAGAUUCUUCCAAUUUGGUUGAGCUCGAGGCUCUGGAGCACAUAAAGAUCAUCACGAAGCAAAUUGGUGGCCUUCACACGCUAACGAGCAGAGGACUAGACGCUCCUUGCCGAGCUGGUGCAACACUUGAGCAACAGAAGCUAGCCCUGCCCCCACCACCAGAUCCCACGACUACAGCAACCGUCCAUGACGCUACCUCCGCAUCCCAAGCCCUCCUCCCCAACGGCGGCGCGCCCCUGGUGCUUCCCCUUGCUAAUAGCACCUUUGGUGUCCCACCCACCCCGUAGAUUGCCCCNNNNNNNNNNNNNNNNNNNNNNNNNNNNNNNNNNNNNNNNNNNNNNNNNNNNNNNNNNNNNNNNNNNNNNNNNNNNNNNNNNNNNNNNNNNNNNNNNNNNNNNNNNNNNNNNNNNNNNNNNNNNNNNNNNNNNNNNNNNNNNNNNNNNNNNNNNNNNNNNNNNNNNNNNNNNNNNNNNNNNNNNNNNNNNNNNNNNNNNNNNNNNNNNNNNNNNNNNNNNNNNNNNNNNNNNNNNNNNNNNNNNNNNNNNNNNNNNNNNNNNNNNNNNNNNNNNNNNNNNNNNNNNNNNNNNNNNNNNNNNNNNNNNNNNNNNNNNNNNNNNNNNNNNNNNNNNNNNNNNNNNNNNNNNNNNNNNNNNNNNNNNNNNNNNNNNNNNNNNNNNNNNNNNNNNNNNNNNNNNNNNNNNNNNNNNNNNNNNNNNNNNNNNNNNNNNNNNNNNNNNNNNNNAACAAUGACCUCAUAUCAAGUUCUGGUUCAGGCGUGUUUCACUUCCACAAGCCUGUCAGGUUAGUGGCCGUAUUAGAGUUUGAAUAGAUUUCCCGGCUUGUUGGUCAAGUCUUGUCUAUGAUAUAAAUUGUCAUUUACUUCUAAAGGCAUGUUACGCAUCUGGCGGGUGAUGUUUAGAAAAGGUCUGUCGCAUGGUGAGCUUGGAAGCCCUCCAAUUUUCUCCCCGUCAGCUUGUGCCCACAAGACUCGUGUUGCGCUCGAUGCUUUGCAACACGAAUCUUGUUGCUCACCCGCCGAACCGUUGUUUCUUUGAAACAAGACCUAUGUUUCAGAAACAUAAUGAAAAAAGACCCCUGUUAUUAGAAAAAAAAUGCUAUCGCCCCCUUUGCAACAAACGUAGUGUUCCGCUCGGUCCUAUGCACCAAGAGGCUUGUUGUAAUCACCCCAAACCGUUUUUUUUUCAUUCUGAAACACAGCCUCCAUUGCAGAAACAAAAUCAAACACAGCUCCUAUUGCAGAAAACAAAAUCCCUUUCAAUGCAGUCGGCAGCCGCCGGCUAGAGCAGCGCAAGGAGUGUUUGGGUGCAUCGGGUGGGGAUCUUGGUGUGCGGACAUGGGGCGCUGGGCUACAUGGGAGGUCGUGCAAACCAGGGAAGGUCGGCCGAGCUUGGCCUCCAUGGCCAUGGCGGCCGUAGCCAAAAGCUUGGACUUCGAGCAGGGCGACGUCUCCAGAGCAGAGAUCAACUGGGGAAGAGGGGGGAACGAAGGAGGGCCUCGCCAUGAUCUCAUAGGCGUGGACGAGGUGGCCGGAGACAGACGAAAGGUGAUGAGACGGACGGAAGGCGGCAUAUUCAAUGCCGGACGACGGUGAACAGAGGUGGAACAAGAAGAUGAAGGAGUCAAGAACAAGACGGACGCUUCACCUGAUCAGACCGCAACAAACCCAUGUUGGGCUUCAGGUCUUUGCAACAUAGUCCAUGUUGCAAAACAUGUUGAGUCAGCGUGUGGGAGCGAGUUGCAUUGCGUGUCGUCGGAUCAAACUCGGAUCCAACGGCCGUGAGGCGGUCGAAACACGAUCAGUCAGGUGAGCGAGUAUCUACUUUUUAACAAUUAGGGUUAAGUUGAUAGUAGAUUCUUCCAAAAGAGUAUCCUAUUAAAUUUCUAUCGUAUUAGUCCAGUUUAUAAGUUAAUUACUGGAAUAUUAAUAGUCCCUAAAACAGUACAGAUAUAUGGAUCAUGACAAACAUAUGGUGAUAGUCUGAGUCUGAGUGUCUGACUGCAACAUGCAUACUGGGAACCACCACCCUCUUCGAAACACUGCCUGUAUGCAUGCUUAACGGAUGUAUUGAGAAUAGCUAUCAUGGGCAUACGUACAUCACGAAUUAUUGAACAAUAAGACAGGUGAUGUAGGCGAAUAAAAGUAACAGAUAAGUAAUGAUAAAGCCCGCUUAUCAAUGACGUAAAUGCCUGCUCCAUGUCCUCGUCCUAUGAUGAAGUCUCGUGUAUGGGUCCGGACCCGGACCCGACUGAAAUCUGAAGGAGCGACACCAACUAGGCACCUCUCAAAAAAAAAAAAAGACCUUGCAUGGUGUGUCAAAAGGCAACACGACGCACCUUGCAUGCACAGAUAAGGUACAUAUGUUGCAGUACCAGCUAGCCGGUCUAGAGUGCACUACCACUAGUGGUUUGAUUAUUGGUGGCCAUCAAAUAAUCUACCGGAUUCUUAUUGAUUAUAUUGGUCCUAAUUCACUGCAUGAACAGCUCAACGUCACAGUUCGCCCAAGAUUUGCACAAAUCGAAUGUCCCAUUCCCCGACUUGGACUGAUCUAUUAAAGUGCACAAAUUAAGCAUGAAAUAACAAUAUUUCCAUAUACAGGUAGUAAAGAAGUAGCAAAUGUACAAGAAAGAAAACACACUAAUCGUUCUAACGUUAGCGGUUAGCACAAGCCCCGUAAAGGUUUGGACAGUCCGAAAAUUGCCGUGCACCUGGCAGCAAUUAUCGACUAGCCACACAAUCUUCUAGACGAACUAGCUACGCCUGGUUUAGAUUAGAUUAGGAACUGGGAUCGGCACAUCUAACAUAAACUAUCCUGCGAGGUGAUGCAUCGGUCCGAUAUAGAACCAGUCACAGCUAAUUGCCCCCACAAUAUGUAUCCACAAAUAGCAAUCACAUUAGCUGCUAAUAUAUAGUACUAAUAACAUGGCAAUGAGACAACAAAAUCUAAUUAUAUGCAGCCAGCAAGCAUCUAACCAUCCUCAUACUGUCCAGCAAGUGAAUCAAGAGAUGAACCAAUCAUCCCAUCAAUUUUUAGGAGAUAUAUAAAAGUACAAAUACGUGGGAAUAAUAGCAGACGUGAUAUCAUUGCACUGGGCAGACAGGGAAGACUUGCCACUGCAAAAAAAAGACAGGGAAGACUUGGGUUGGGUUGGGCUGGGUUGGGCCGGACCACGUACCUUUCUUGCAGCGAAAUUCCCCUCGGGCUCUCGGCCUCGGCUGCUCUCCGGCGCGGCAUCCACUGCCGCCGUCUCCUCCUUCUGCCCCUCCUCUUCUUGCAGCUUUCUCUUUCGUUUCUUCUCCUCCUUGGCCCGCCUCGCGAUCGCGCACAGCGCCUCGUCGCCGUCCACCUCCGUUUGCUCUUUGCACCCGGUAUCACCGGCCGGGGGCACGGGCAAGGGGGGCGCCGCGGCGAAGAGGUCGGAGAUGGACCGCUUCUUCGGCGGCCUCGCCUUCCCUGGCGCCCUCCUCGCGGACGCCGCCGCAGCUGCGGCAGCCACGGUGGAGGCCAGCUCAUCCGCCCACCACCGGCACCUCGGCGCCCCGAGAGGCGGCAGAUCCUCGAUUCCCAAGAGACGCCGCCCCUCCGCCGCUGGCUUGCCCCUCACGCUCGCCGCGUACUCCCUUGGGACAGUUCACAGACCGAGAUCAGGAAAGGAUAAACGCAAACACGACCACCAUAUAUAACACCGACGAGACGGCGCGGCGCCUCCACACGAACCUGAUGGAGAACGCGGCGGCGGCGGCCAUCGACCCGUCGUCGACGCGCUCCCGCGGAGCAAAUCUGCCGAUUUCGCGACGGGUCGGUGAUUUGGGAGAGAGGAGGAGGAGGAGGAGUAGACUGGAAGGGAGGAGGAGGAAAGGGGAAUUACCGUAAGGAAUUAAUAAAUAAAUAAUAAUUAGAGGUGGGCUUUGAUGACAUCGAGGCGAAUAUUUUACCUUUUUCCCGCUCUUCCCACCGCUUAUUUUGGGUGGUAGUACAAUUCAUUGAUUUUUUUUCAGUAGUUAAUGUCUUGGCUGGCAUCGGUGUCCUUCCCCGGGGGUGCAUUAUCUCUGUUUACUGCCGCGGACAGCGACCGGUGAUGGACCGCGGCAAAUUUGUUAUGCUUUUUUUUUUUCUGUGUGGCUGGUAACGUUGAACUAUCACGGUCUUCGGUUCGCCGGGGGCGCCGGGCAUCAUCAUGUGAUAACGACCGCUGGGCGGUGGGGGCGCACAGCUCAGACUGUCCCAGGUUCUGUCUGCCUGUUGAGACACACGAAAUACCACAGGUAAGUUUUUUUUUUUCAAAGUAGUAUGCAAUAAAAACUGUUUUAUAGGGUUAUGGAUGUUUUUUUUGUGAUUUGUUGUUUGGGAAAUGAGGCAUAAAAUGGUGAUUCUAAAUUAAAACACGUAAAUAUGACGGUUUGGUAGAGGGGUCUGUUGGGUUUAUGACUACAGUUUAGUAUUUUGGGCUCAUGUAAACACACAUAAUAGUGAAUUGGGUAUAGUUUUAUGAUUUGUUUGAUUGAGAAAAGAUGAUUAAAAUGUAUUCCUAAGUUAAAAAAGAGAGUAAAUACGGACGGCUGGCUAGGUGCAUCCAUAGUGUUUACGACGACGGUACAAUUUUCAUAUAGGCCGGCAUGCACCACGCAUGCCAGCACAAGGGACUAAUAUUCAGCAUUAUUGCCGAUAUAAAUACAUAAAUAGGAUAGUUGGGGAGAUGCGCUGGCACUAACCAGGCCCGAAUCAAUGGGUGUCCAUUCCCGGUGACGAAACAGAGCCCCCGAUUUCCACCCCUCCCUCGGCUAUUGAGACACACGAAGAAUCACAUGUAAAUUUUGGUUUUUGUUUCAAAAUUAUAAAAUCUAAGUUGUUUUAUAGUGUUAUGCAUGGGUAUUGUUUUUGUGAUUUGUUUGUUUGGGAAAUGAAGUUUAAAAACAUGGUCCUAAAUUAAAACGCGUAAAUAUGACGGUUCGCUAGGUGGGUCGGUAUUGUUUAUGACUACGGUUUAGUAUGUAAAAACACAUAAUAGUAAAUUGUGUAGUUUUGUGAUUUGUUUGAUUCAGAAAAAGAUGCUUAAAAGUAGUCCUCGGUUUAAAAAAGAAAGUAAAUAGGAUAUAGUUGGGGAGAUGCGCUGGUACUAACCAGGCCUGGACCAACUGGCGUGCAUUCCGGGUAACGAAAUAGAGCUCCCAAUUUCUGCCCCACCUACCCCCCACCCAAUAAUUACUAGCACUUCGGGCCAUUAGGCCUGAUAAUCCUCGGCCCAAAAAAAUUGGUUGUCGAAUAGCCUUCAAUUGCCUCAAGUUCCCAAAGAUAUAUAGUACUUCUUUUGUUCCUCACGACAAGUUCCUAUGGUAUGGAAUAGGCAUGUUUCUUUUUUCCCUGCCGAACAAGCCCCACUAUCGAAUUUGGGCCCUUUCUCUUUGUCAGUUUGAGUUUGACAACCUCUUCCUUCAAGCCUAACUAUGUGAGCAAAGUCUUCGCCUUGGUCUGGCAGUACUACCGAGGCUACCUAUCUAAAUNNNNNNNNNNNNNNNNNNNNNNNNNNNNNNNNNNNNNNNNNNNNNNNNNNNNNNNNNNNNNNNNNNNNNNNNNNNNNNNNNNNNNNNNNNNNNNNNNNNNNNNNNNNNNNNNNNNNNNNNNNNNNNNNNNNNNNNNNNNNNNNNNNNNNNNNNNNNNNNNNNNNNNNNNNNNNNNNNNNNNNNNNNNNNGCGUGCCGCCGCCGGCGUCGUUAUGUCUGUCGCGAUUGUCAGUCUCCUCGUAUGCAACAGUGUACGAUUGCGGCAAAUUCAAUGAGAUGUAUUUUUCUACCAGGCUUUGCAGGUAAUGCAUGGUUGGAUUUCUCGAUGUUGGCCAUUAUUGGCGUGAGCAACGGUGGUGCAACAUCGACAAGUUUAGUUGUGGCUCUCGGAAGACUUUGGAGGUAUAUAGUCGUAGUCAUAAUCUCCCCUUUGUUACGGUAGUUUUCAUGUCAAUGACCGUCCAUCUGAUUGUAUCCAAUUCCAAAAAUAAGUUUGACUUCGACGCAUCAUGCCUUUGUCUCGGUACGAUCAUUCUCGGUGACAUGCCCGUGCGACUCGGCGUCUCGCCCUCGCCUGUCCCUUCACCCCUCGAUAGUCGCCCAAGAGUUUGACGUCCAUUGCUUAAGGCCAUGAGUUCCACGGACCGCACAGUAUGCCCUCUUUCUAGUUGCUCUAAUUACCAGGGUGUGUAUGGCAUCAUCUUGUAGUACUCAAACGCAAUGUAAUUUAUACUUAUUAAUCUACUAAACCGAAAAGGGGACGUAAAAAUUUAGAAGUAACAGGGAACAAGGCAAACCAAAUGGAAAGCUUAAAUCUUGCCUCAUUUUAGUUCUGAGCCGUUCUGAACUUGUGAUUGAUCCGGCGAAAGAUUAUCCAACCAAGAGUUGAAUAGUUCAAUAAGUAUGAUUCUAAAUAUAUUCCAAUUCUGUAUAAGACACUAUUGCAUACAUAAUAUUAUAGCUAUAUAUUCAAGAGAAGUAGGGCCCAUUUUUGAGUUAGGCACAGGGCCACGGUUUUUGUUGCCGCAUGGUAUUGCCCAUGCAUGCUAGCAGGCGAGACCAUGGUACAGCGUGGAGCUCAUGUAAAUGAAUACUCCCUCUGUUCCAAAAAUGUCUAUGUUUGCCCAAGUUUAUAGGGGGGGAAAUACCAGCAUCCACGAUGCAUAUGUGUAUCCAAUGUUCAUCAUAAAUUGUAUUUUGUAUUUUAUUUAUUUAGUAUUUUAGUUGUCGGUAGUUUAUUCUACAAACUUGGUCAAACAUAGACAUGUUUAACUUUUGAAAAAUAAAAUAUGCACUACAUUAUAAAACGGAUGGAGUAAAUGAGUUAGCUUUUUUUUUUUGAGGGAAAGUAAAUGAGUUAGCUAGGUGAUGAUCUUUGAGUGUAGAGGUUCGAGUUCCAAGGAUGAAAACUCCAGGUUCGACUUUCACUAGUUGAACCUACCAAUGGUGUUAUUUCACGCGGUGUUUCCUUGUUUAAGGCAUGCAUUGCAUGCAAUUUACUCAGACUCCUCCAGGAUAAAAACUCAUGAUCCGGUCUAAGUGGUUGGGUCCAAUGACGAUGGUGCUCUUGCAUAAAAAUCGUUCCCUUUCUAGAGGCGUCGUUGUUGGAUCACCUAUCAAGUUACCUAUGGAUUAUCAUUGAUGGUUGUUGUUUUUGUUUGUUGCAGUUGUUCUCUUGGUCACCUUUUCUUUUCUUUUGCAAUACUUUUACAGUGUGCAUCCUUGAUUUCUCGAGUAGCUCUUGAGAUCGUAUUGGUGCAGAGACUAGGUGUAUUUAAUAUCUUCUCGAUGUUGAUAUAUUGUAUUUUUUUAUUGAAAAAUAUACCGUGCAGAAGGAAAAACAUGAGAAUAUAUUUUUCGGAAAAGAUAUGUUCAGGCACGCUGGCAUUGUGCAUGCACGUCAUUAAUGAGACUAUAUGUCUCGACAAUGGUGCUCAUCACGUUCUAGUUUUGCAUGUGUCAAAACGUGUGGCUUUAUCUUGAAAGGAUGAACAGUAUGCGGAAAUAGUUUUUUUUCGAUACGCCUCCCAGCCGACAAAGUGGUGUAUAUAAUACUAAUGAACACAUGAUGUAAGAAAUUACAAUUCAUAAUAUUUUGUUUGUCAUUUGUUGGUCCGCUGGAAGUGUGCAAACCUAUGUUUGCCGCUGGUACUUAUGACUUCCUAGCUAUGCAAAAAAUGUUUACCCCAUCUAUCUUGGCCAUCACCCAUCUUAAUUAUGGAACUGUUUACCAGAAGGCACGAUGAUUUAAAAUCUACAAAUCAUAUAGACAGAAAAUUGAUAUGUAUAGAAUAUUCGAUAAAUUUAUACAAGCACAAUGGUUCAUGUUGUGUGUAAAGAUCAGGUAGCGAAUGACGCUAUACAUGUGAUUGUUUCCAAUAACGGAGACAGCAUAAGUUACAUAAAUAAAUGGUUAAUAUUUUGCCAGAUAAUGAUUUUAGAAAGAAAAAUUACUUUCAGUUUUAGGGAAGGAAAUUAGUCUCAUAGUUGAGGGUGGGCAUAGGGCUAGGGCUUAGGAUGGCUCUAACCCUAAUCCAGCCCCAGUUCUCAAAGGGGCAUACAUGCAUAACUUUGGACAAACCAUUGAAAUAUAGACAUCCCAACGGCCAGCACUUCUAGGCCCAAGGCAGUGUUUGGGCUCUAGGGAGAGUAUUUGCUCCCGGAUGAAUAGUAUAAUUAAAAAAAAUAGUAAAAGGGUCUAAAAAAUGAUUCUCUUUGUAGAUGUUCUGAUUGUAUCCCAAGUGUGCUUGGCAAUUUUUCAUGCGAAACGGAAUAGCAGUGUUUCACCAGUGAAAAAAAGUUCAGUGGACUAAAAAUGCCAAAAUACUGACCUUCCACUUGUUUUUNNNNNNNNNNNNNNNNNNNNNNNNNNNNNNNNNNNNNNNNNNNNNNNNNNNNNNNNNNNNNNNNNNNNNNNNNNNNNNNNNNNNNNNNNNNNNNNNNNNNNNNNNNNNNNNNNNNNNNNNNNNNNNNNNNNNNNNNNNNNNNNNNNNNNNNNNNNNNNNNNNNNNNNNNNNNNNNNNNNNNNNNNNNNNNNNNNNNNNNNNNNNNNNNNNNNNNNNNNNNNNNNNNNNNNNNNNNNNNNNNNNNNNNNNNNNNNNNNNNNNNNNNNNNNNNNNNNNNNNNNNNNNNNNNNNNNNNNNNNNNNNNNNNNNNNNNNNNNNNNNNNAAGAAUUGAAUAUGAACAUACUAUGUAUACAACUUGUCCCUUUUUUACAUUUGCAAGAAAAAGAGCCUAGGAGCAACUGCUCCCGGAAGUAGAAUUAAAUAUCCGAGGCUCUAACCCCCUUUUUUGCGAGAAAACUUCCAAUCUAUUUAUCGAUUGUCAUGGCAGUAUAAAGAACACUAGAAAUAAUAAAAAAUACAUCAUGGUCAAUUGACCAUGUAGCGACGACUACAAGCACCGGAGCAAGCCUUCUUUCUAUAUACUAGAUGACCCGUUGCGCCAAUGGCGCAAAGGGCGGAGAGCAAACCAAGCAUUCGAAGCAAGCUCGUCAGAAUAUUUAGUCACAAGGAAAUAUAUACUUAGGUACGAUGCUGAUACAUAGCGUUAUAAGAAGUUUUGAUAGCCAUUUACAAUGCUUUCAAAAAGCAAGCAACAUAGGCAGAGAUGCCUCAUGUAGAUAAGCAUACAUAGUUUGAGCAGAGAAGAUUUCUCAGGCCGAUUGUGGUCUUCUGAGGGUGUGCAUGCAUGAAUAAGCAGACUUGAUAUUGUCUUCUGAGGAUGUGGUCAUAUGAGGACUGUAGAAGGAGCAAUAUAUGUAUGAGAAAAAAGGAAGUCAAAGUUAGCAGAUAGAAAGAAUAUGAGGAAUGCAUCUAUCAUGCCUCAUGCAUGUAACUUCUCAUAGUAAACGAAAAGCUAGCAAGCAAACUUCAUCCAACAUAGCAAUGGGAGACCAGGCAAACAGGAAAAUGAGGAAUACUGUAACGACUACCAAUCCAUCAAACUGUGAAUUCCAGACCUUUGUUUCAAUAGGAAUAUCCAUGUCAUGGACCAAAAAGAGGGCACAGACGAUGAGUUAUAUUUAGGAAUGAAGCAAAUCACAUUAGAAAAGAAACCCUUCUGAGUUCAUUGCUCUUUGCGCACGCACCAAUGAAAUGGAAAACUGUUCUGCUUAUGCCCAUAAUCAAGCCUCUCGCACAUAAAGGCUACAAUGAGACCUGAAGGGAGGGAAGCUGGAGGAGGAGAAAGGAGAGAGAUGACCUGCGUCGCGAGGCUCCUGAUGUGCAAACAGUCGUCGUGGCGCGCUAUGGGCAGUGCUCAGAGUACUCUCAACUCCGGAGAGAAUUGCUUAGAGUAAUCCAAACUGGCACAAAACAAUACAUAAAUUGUUUGCGUCAGUAUAUGAUCCUUUCAGUUUGAGAAGUGUUCAAGACUAUCUUACGAAUUCUUGAAAGCCUUCCUACUCUACUGAUCAUGUAAAAUCUGAAAUUAUUACAAGAAUUUUAUUUUCUCUAGAAAUCUCCAAACUAAUGUUUCAAGAUGAGGAGUUGGAGACCAUGCUGAUGAAAUACAUUAUGGAAGAAAAGAAGCCCAUUCCACUAUGAAUAUCUACAUUGUGCAAUUCCCAUAAAGUAAAAUAGAAUUAUUUAAAUAACCGUCUAUCAGGCUAAAUUUGAGUUCUUGCAUUCCUUUUAUUUGACUCACACUUGCCUGCCCCUCUUAGCUAAAAUGAGAUUGCCUACUACUCUUAGCUAAAAGGAGGUGAUUCGAAUAUAAUCACUAUUUCUUCCAGCUAUACAAAUUAUUGUGGUCAUCAAGUUAAUUCAAGCACUCAACAUUCUACGACAUACACGAUCUAACUGUUGUCAGUACAGAUGCUAUCAUAGAGUUAUCUACAAAAGCUAAAUAGGAUUAAACACAAGACAAAAUAAAAGUUUGUCACACAAUAUCCCUGUCACCUAAUCUCUUUCUCACUUUUAACUUCAAACCAACAUCGAAAACGAUAAUAAUCUAAAGCAAAAAUAAAUCAGACUCAUUUGUUCAUCGACACAGAAGCAAAUAAUUCACCUAAUACUAAAUCUAACUAAAAGGACUAACUGUAAUUAAUUGGCUAGGCUGCUCAUCGAAAGAAAGCUCUGCAUAAGAAGCAGACCUUGCAAAAAUUUGGGAUUAAUCAGGUGGAUCUGAAACAAAACAUAUCCUCGCCUCCUCCCGCAGUCCUGCUCCAACCCCUCGUGUAUCUCGGCACCUCCUCACAUUAAGACUACGCAUUGCCUAAAUAAGCACCCGUGCCACAUACAGCUUGUGAUGGUAAUGGAUUUUUUUAGUAAAACCUGCAGUACAAAUUCAAUCCAAUGGAUUGGUCAGACAUAAAUGUGCAUCACAUGUAGAUACAGAAGGAGCACACUGGCACAUUUUAAAUCAGCUGGGCUCUUAGCGAGGGCCGGCAGACUAUGCAUUUAUUUUACUACUUCACCGGAGAAUAAAUAGCAUGCGGAACAGAAGUUCGAAGGUCCGGUUCCAAGCAGCAAAAAUGAUAUAUUGAAGAUUACACUAACAGAAACCAAACUUUUUCCUGCUAAUGCGGUUAGAAACUUGCAUACAGAUAACAAGCAUUGCCUCUUCAAGAAGUAUUACACAGUCCAUUUUGCAUUCCACAGAUGUUUUUGACAGUUAGAUGGACAUAGAUAACCAAACAUUGCAUAUGUUCCUAGUAGUAAAUUCCCUUCGGAGCCACAGAUCAUUGAAGCAUGCUCUGCUUAGUAAGAGAUUAAUUAAUUAAAAGGGGAGGAAGAAGCAGAGUGCAUCACACAGGCUUGCAUAUAUACAGAGUGGGGAAGUAGGUGAAGCUCACCUUGGUAUGUUGGCAUCAGAAGUGUCGCUUCACAGGACAACCAACAACAUUCCAACAAAAAGCCAAACAUAUACGAGGACACAUCAAGAUACUUAGGUGAACUCACUGUUGUAGCUUGAAAGAAAAAAAGAAAUCAAUUUGGAGGCAACACCAAGGAAAGAUAGGCAAAACCAGACCUACUGUCAAAUAUAUUGAAUAUUUCAAAAAAAGUACAAACUGAUGAACGUAAAAAUGAAGAAGACACACACCCAGACUAUUAGCUUGGAGCAGUGCUACGGGGACGAUAGAGUUUGGACGACUCGUGCACGAUGAUUAAAUCUAGCCGAGGAAUCUCGAGCCCAGCUCAGCAGCGGCCGCUGGAUCCCUUGGUCAUGCAGUUAUCGUCCCGACAUUGUCGUGUGUGGAGCACUUUGUCAGAAGCGACAAGUUAUCCAUAAUUAUUACAGUACGCUCAUUCCACACCAUAUUGGAAAUACAGAAAUAUAAUCUUCGAGUAAAUUUAGCAUUGAAAAACAAAAUGAAUUUAUUAGUUUUCCCUGGUAGAAAUUGACUUGCUACUCACAGCAGGGACUCUCCUCUUUUAGUUAUAUGUAGCAUUUUAUUGUAAGACUCUCUUGGACCCUUGGGUACUACAGAGACACACCAUAAUUUAGCAAGAUGUAUUGUAAGACUCUCCUCCUUUAUAUAGCAUUUUCCGAUGUUGUGCAUGAUGUAUCCCUAUCGUGUCGUGUGCAUUACCUUUUUUUAAGGAAAAAUGAACGUACACAAUAAGGGCAAUAAUGUGCGUUCCUGGCAACAAUGAUAGGCCAACUCGUGAUUAUUUCUGAAGGAUAGUAACUAUAACCUACAACUACAACUUUGAUGGUAACCGCACAGGAUGUAUUCUAGGUCCCUAACCUAUGUUUGAAGUAUAAGCACAUAACAAAAUAAGAAAGAGAUGGAAUAACAAAAUACAGUUACAUACUUCAGUUAUGUCAUAAGUCCAACAUGCACGCAUUUCUGCCCAUUGGAAGCUCCGCCGCUUGCUUGCCGAUGCAGGAAGCAGACGGCGCCCAGGUUCUUUGUGUCACUGUACUUCCGCCGGCCAGGAUUAUAUCUUGCAAUAAGGAUGAUGCCUUGUCCAUGAGUUCAAGUCCCUACAUGGAUGUCCAGAUGAACAAAAGAAAAUUGUAAGGAUGCUAUGAAAUUACAUCAAACAUUACCAUAAACCAAUGUGCUAUAUGAACACCAUCGAAUAAGUGAAAGUAAUACUUGAGACCGGCAAAGUCAUAUCUUGCAGAAAGUAGGUGUGACAUUCAAUAAAACAACAUGUGCACAACGGAAGUCGAAUUUGUUGGUUUGCCUGCAGUUACCUUAAGAACGUGUUUCUUUGACAGCAGAAAUGUAAAUGCAUAGGCUUUUCCAAAUAUGUGAAGCAUAGUAAGUCAUUACCAAAAACCACCAGUAAAAGAAGACUAAUUCAACUAUAUCAUUUGUGCUAACAACCUAAAGAGCAUGCUCUGCUCAGUAAGAGAUUAAUUAAUUAAAAGGGGAGGAAGAAGCAGAGUAAAUCACACAGGCUUGCAUAUAUACAGAGUGGGGAAGUAGGCGAUGCUCACCUUGGUAUGUUGGCAUCAGAUGUAUCGCUUCACAGGUGGGGCGCUUCCUAAGCCGUGUUGGCCACUUCUCCAGGCUGCUGCAUCGUGCAUUCCACUCACCACUGCCACACCAACUAAAGAGGGCCUUAACCACCUGCCUUGGGCAUGCAAGCCUCCAUUUUAAGCCACCUAUAGAGGGAAGAAUCACAGAAAUUAUGAGACGACCUUCUAAGAAUGCUGAGGGCCUAGUGGAUAGAGAAAAAUUAAGGCAAUUGGCAAAUACAAAAUGGUGGAUUAUAACAAAUGCUCUAAAGAAAUGAACUUUCACUCAGUUGAUGGCAAUUGGCAGAUACAAAAUGGCGGAUUAUAACAAAUGCUCUAAAGAAAUGAACUCUCACUCCGUUGAUGCUCUUUUGAAAUACUGAUCUAAAGGUUCAGAAGACAUCGAUAUUGCCCUAUAUCAAGUAUACUGUGAAUUCAUAACCGCGGGCUCAGUUGAAUUUGAGGAGUAUAUCAAGUAUACUGUGAAUUCAUAACCGCUGGCUCAGUUGAAUUCGAGGAGUCUAAGAAAGCUUAAUGCAGAAACAUUCAAACAAGCACCAAACUGAACGAGCAUUGAACGUAUAAAAUCAUUCUUGCAGACCUAGUUAUUUGCCUGGAACCAUUCAUUGAUUUUGAGAAAACAAGGGGCAUGUCUUGCAUUAGCCACAUGAUUUUCAGACACAACACACAAGGAUUCUUGGGAGUUGAAGUCGAGGAGGGUGCCGCACACGCCGCAAAACAGGAAGUGGCGUGCCUGCCAGAAAGCCAUCGCCGCCGGCUGCACCGCGCCGCCGUGUGGGAGAUACAGAGAGAGAGGGGGGGAGGCCAUGGUUAGUAGGGGAAUGGCCGGUUCGAGGACCAGGUAGACGACGGCGCACCCGUGCCGGUGCCGCUGUGUCGCUCCGCUCGAUCUAGGGCCUCCCCUCCCCUUCCCUUCCCAUCCCUUCCUUUGAAGAGUGAGGAAGGUGAGGGUCACGGAAGAGGGUAGAGCGGCGGCGCUGGAGGGAGAGGAGACCGCCGGAGUUGGGGUUGGGUGGCUGGGGGUCUCGGGGCAGAGGAGAGGUGUGGGAGGGGGCGACCGAGGUGGGUGGAGAGCGGGCAGGGAUGCGGCGGCUGCGCGGCGAGCGGAGAGCGGGAAGGGAUGUGGCUGCUGCGCGGGGUGUGGCGGCGCUAGGGUUCGUGAGAGGGGAGGGGAGCGGAGGAGAGGCGGCUGGAGCGGGGGAGCGGGGGAGCGGCGCCUGGUGUGCGAGCGGACAUGCGGGCUGACGGCUCGUGGUGGGGGUGGGGGGGAUGCGGGCCGCUCGCUCACGGACUAUUCAUAGCGACACGUGGAUAGCGUGACACCCCCUUCAUCCUUUGUACGUUCAAUUUGUGCCGGCCCUACCAAUAAAUAUAGACAAAGUAUGCAACACUGGAUACACUAGAACCUUCCUAACCGAGAUUCGCUUUGGAGCAUUCAAGAGCCUCAUAUAAAUAAAGAUUAAUUGUAUGGAUUUCCAGAACCAUCCACGCAAAUAAUUAUUACUAUAAAUUGAUUCACGUACUAUGUGCCCAUUUUUUAAUUAACAGUAAAUGAAAAUUUUGUAAUUCCAAAACUGGUAAAGGGUCCGUGGAAAUUGCAAAAAUAGGAAGGACGCCAUGAAUAACAGCGUCCAUGAUGGACUCUGUUGCUAACAGCGUCCAGGUCUAGACGGUAGUAUCGUCGGCAUCCAGUCAUGCCGUUCCAUUGGUGCUCUGAUGAGGCCCGAUUUUUUUAUUACUAGUAAUUAGUACAGCAGCAAUUAGAAAAUUGAUCAUGGUUGGGCCGAAAUUUGAAAAAUAGGAAGAAUGCUAUUGACAACGGCAUCCAGGCUGGACGUUAUUGCGAAUGAUGUCCAUGGCCAGACGCUGUUAUAAACAACGUCCAGUUAUGUGGUUCGGUCAGGUGCUCUUGUUUUAACUAUGUUGAGAGUAUUUCCUCUAAUAGAUUUAAUAUGUGAGCUUUGGUUUUUUUGUGAUGGUUGUGAGGCAUCGAUAACAAAUCACUGAAAUGCCCAUUUGUUCCAUUCUAGACCAGUUUGCUUUUGCCAAAUUAGAGGAGAAAUAGUCUUAACACACAUGAAUGUAUGUAUUUCUAAUUCAUUAGCUACUAAAACUGUCGCAAGAAAGUCUAAUUGUGCAUUCUACACCUAAGUCGUGAUUGCUUUUUGGGCUGCCUUGAGGGCGAAAGCUUCCAGCAAUUCAACCAUGGACAGUGUGCUCCGGUACACUCCUUGCUACUAAGAAAACAACUCGAGUGGUGAGCUAGUCAGGAGGCCUCCCCUCUUUCCCCUCUUCCUUCUGCGUCGCUCCCGUGAGCUAUGGAGGGUAACCCUAGCCACCGUCGUCGGGGUUCCCCCUCCCACUCUCCCUCCUCCCUAAUCGUUGAAAAAGGGCGUGGUCGGGCAAAGCCCGGUCGGCGUAGGCGGCGACGGGGAAGUUUUGUCUUCCAUGCACAGGAGGUCAGGCCUGGGCCAGAUCGAGCAGGCAUGGACACCGCCUUGGAAAACGGACAUGCUAGUGCGCCGAAGCGGUUACAGAUGGUGUUAUGGCGGCGGUGUGACGGGCGGCAUGGUGGCACGGGCAGCGCAGGCUGCGACCGGCACAUGUUGCUAGGUGUGGCGGCGUGGGUCAUGGGUGGAGCUGGCUACGAGCAGCUACCCCUGCCAUGGGCGUCCGGGCGGCAUGGUGUCCGGUGUUCAGCGACCAAUAGUGGUCUCGGAGACGGAGAGUGCGUGCGAUAGGGUAAUCCUUGUUUGGCUUGCACCAGGCCAAUGGCAGCGGCAACUGUAGACGUGGUUACCUUCGUGAAGGCGGCGUUGCGGCUACUCUCCUCCUUCGGUUUGCUCGUGAAACCCAUGAUUUUUUUGAAUUGGCGGUGGCGGUGCUCUGGUGUCGUGCCCUUCCUGAAGGCACCGUCUUGGAGUCCAUGAUUCAUCGGGUGCAACGUCGUCUCUUUGUGACACCUCUGUCAUGGUGGAGUACUCCGACCGCUUCUUGUAGGACACUCUUUGUAUUCUUGUUGUGAUCUUGGAGUGGGUUGUGGUGGUGUCGCUGUUAUUUUGCAUUGUUAUAUCCUGUCUCGGGUGUAUAUGGUGUGGUGUCGAGUUGUAUGAUCGUUGCGUUAUCUAUAAAGCAGGGUGUGAGCCUUUUUCGGUAGAAAACAACUCGAGUUCAUGCCAACAUGCACAGAUAUUCACGCACAAAUUCACAACGCAUCCACUCACAUGGUUAUGCAUGCCUAGUGUAGGAGAGCGAAAAUGAUGGGGAGAGGGCUCACGCUGACAUGUUAGUAGUUAGUGUUGCUAGAGAUGGCUCCGAGCGUAACAGGUAAGAGGUCGGGGCGGUCCUUGCUGAGGAGGAUAUGGCUGUCAGAGAUGGACAGCCAUGGCCCCGGCAGCAACGGGGGUUUAGCGGAUCACCAUUCGAGCGAGGCACGACGAUGGGAAUUGGCAAAGAGGGAUAACAAGGAGCAAAAUGAGGGUGGUGCGUUGCUAGAGUGCCAUUUUCGGUGGGCUGGAGGUGGCGGAGUCUAGCUUUGCUCCUGCGGAAGUUGCUGAGGGUACAAGUCGAAGACCGGAGAUAGCCGGACAGGGUCUGGUCGAACCAAACACAGUGGACGCUGUUUAUAAGAGUGUCCAGCUUUGGACGUUGUUGGUAUUGGCGUCCAGCCUUGGACGUUAUUAUUCCUAGCGUCCUUCCUAUUUUUCGAAUUUCUCAUUAGUGUUUCUUAGUUUCAAAAUUACUGGAAUAUUAAUUAUCAAUAAUAAAAAUUUCGGGAUUAGGCUCAAUUAAGCCGUUUUGCACUUAUAGAUAGAGGUUUCAUGACUUAUAAAACCUAAUACGCAUGUAGCCAUCGCUCCUUACCUCGCAGGGUUGUAAGCAAACUCUAGCGCGGGCAUCACUAAUCAUCACAGGAGCAGCAUCGUCUCACUGGCUACUCAUCAUUAGGAUCAUUCGCUCGUCAUUAGGAUCAUCCACUCGACCUAUGAAUGGCGCAUGUGAGUUGUUCCAAGUACUCGUUGAAUCUUCUUCGUUUGCUAUUCUGUAUAAUUUAUUCAGUGGUUACAAGGGUACAUUGUAUAGAUGACUUGGUUGUUACUCUUGGGUAAUAUAAUUGGUAAUUGCCUAGUUUAUGAGAAUAGAUAAGUCAACCUUGAGUUGGCGGCCGCGCUUUUGCUUCUACAUGCCGGUGCAUCGCUGCCAGUACUUCUAGGAGCAUGGCGUGCCGGCGCCGUAGCUCAAUGUGAACCUACCAUAAGGGUGCCAACUCAACCUCGAUAGGGUUCCGGUGCCGGCCCUGCUAGCCUCAGGCCACGCGUAGCUGAUCCACCACCACCCGUGCUCUACUACUGUUGACAUUCGCCGUGACCCAACGUACACGAUGGAUUCGCCAAAGGGGGAUGUGUGGUUCGCCACCGAGAACGGCCAGCGUUGUCGGUAGUGCUUCGAGUGUGCGUUCGAUGCACCGCGCGCACUCGCUGCUCCACCACCACUGCCGGUCGUGGCAGGCGGAGCAGCAGCUGGCAACCUUCCAAUAGGCGUUCCCGUGGAUGGUGGCGCCAAUCUACAUCAACCUGACCAAGGAGGAGGAGGACAACGACGACGCUGCCUAGAUCUACUGCCCGUAGCUGACUAUUUUCUAGUUUUCAUUUAUUUUUUAGAUUUAAUUAAUAUAAAUAAGACUUAUGUUGGCUGUUUUCUUUUUCAAAAUUUCCAAAAGCUAGCACAAAUGUGAUAUGCUUCCGACCGUGUUGGACGCACGUACGAACCGGCAGACAAAAACGAACACUGGCGUCCACCUGACCAACCUAAAUGAAUAAAGAACGAAGAAAAUCUGCGUCAAUUUGGGUCGCCUCGGAGUUUCCCUCGGACGGAGGCCAAGUUCAACACAUGGGACGCUGCUAACAAUAGCGUCCAGGUGUGGACGUGAUUCACAACAGCGACCAAGCCUGGACGCUACUAAUCGUUGCCUCCUUCCUAUUUUUCAAAAUUCCAACUUAUCAUUACUAGUUUCAGAAUUACAUAAUGACACUUAUCGUUUCAGGGAUGGCCUACUAUCCACUUUGUUGGAAAUAUGCCCUAGAGGCAAUAAUAAAUUGGUUAUUAUUAUAUUUCCUUGUUCAUGAUAAUCGUUUAUUAUCCAUGCUAGAAUUGUAUUGAUAGGAAACUCAGAUACAUGUGUGGAUACAUAGACAACACCAUGUCCCUAGUAAGCCUCUAGUUGACUAGCUCGUUGAUCAAUAGAUGGUUAUGGUUUCCUGACCAUGGACAUUGGAUGUCGUUGAUAACGGGAUCACAUCAUUAGGAAAAUGAUGUGAUGGACAAGACCCAAUCCUAAGCCUAGCACAAAGAUCGUGUAGUUCGUAUGCUAAAGCUUUUCUAAUGUCAAGUAUCAUUUCCUCAGACCAUGAGAUUGUGCAACUCCCGGAUACCGUAGGAGUGCUUUGGGUGUGCCAAACAUCACAACGUAACUGGGUGGCUAUAAUGGUUCACUACAGGUAUCUCCGAAAGUGUCUGUUGGGUUGGCACGAAUCGAGACUGGGAUUUGUCACUCCGUGUAAACGGAGAGGUGUCUCUGGGCCCACUCGGUAGGACAUCAUCAUAAUGUGCACAAUGUGAUCAAGGAGUUGAUCACGAGAUGAUGUGUUAUGGAACGAGUAAAGAGACUUGCCGGUAACGAGAUUGAACAAGGUAUCGGGAUACCGACGAUCGAAUCUCGGGCAAGUAUCGUACCGCUAGACAAAGGGAAUUGUAUACGGGAUUGAUUAAGUCCUUGACAUCGUGGUUCAUCCGAUGAGAUCAUCGUGGAACAUGUGGGAGCCAACAUGGGUAUCCAGAUCCCGCUGUUGGUUAUUGGCCGGAGAGGUGUGUCGGUCAUGUCUGCAUGGUUCGCGAACCCGUAGGGUCUACACACUUAAGGUUCGAUGACACUAGGGUUAUAGGGAAAGUAUGUACGCGGUUACCGAAUGUUGUUCGGAGUCCCGGAUGAGAUCCCGGACAUCACGAGGAGUUCCGGAAUGGUCCGGAGGUAAAGAUUUAUAUAUGGGAAGUCCUGUUUUGGUCACCGGAAAAGUUUCGGGUGCUAUCGGUAACGUACCGGGACCACCGGGAGGGUUCCGGGGGUCCACCAGGUGGGGCUACCUGCCCAGAGGGCUGCGUGGGCCAAGUGUGAGAGGGGACCAGCCCCAGGUGGGCUGGUGCGCCCCCCCCACCAGGGCCCAAGGCAAAGAGAGAGGGGAAAAGGGGGAAACCCUAGGCUCAGAUGGGCCUAAGGCCCACCUAGUGGUGCGCCCCCCCUCUCUUCCCCCUUGGCCGCCCCCUAGAUGGGAUCUAGGGCUGGCCGCCACCCCUAGGGGUGGAAACCUAGGUGGGGGCGCAGCCCCUCCCCUCCCCUAUAUAUACUUGAGGUUUUGGGCUGCCAGAGACACGAAAACAUCUCCUUCUUGGCGCAGCCCUACCCCUCUUCCUCCUUGUCUCUCGUAGUGCUUGGUGAAGCCCUGCUGGAGUCCCGCGCUCCUCCACCACCACCACACCAUCGUGCUGCUGAUGGAUGGAGUCUUCCCCAACCUCUCCUUCUCCCCUUGCUGGAUCAAGGCGUAGGAGACGUCACCGGGCUGUACGUGUGUUGAACACGGAGGUGCCGUCCGUUCGGCACUAGGAUCAUCGGUGAUUUGGAUCACGACGAGUACGACUCCAUCAACCCCGUUCACUUGAACGCUUCCGCUUAGCGAUCUACAAGGGUAUGUAGAUGCACUCUCCUUCCCCUCGUUGCUAGAUUACUACAUAGAUUGAUCUUGGUGAUGCGUAGAAAAUUUUGAUUUUCUGCUACUUCCCCAACAGUGGUAUCAUGAGCUAGGUCUAUGCGUAGUUUCUAUGCACGAGUAGAACACAAGUUGUUCUGGGCGUCGAUUUUGUCAAUUUGCUUGCCGUUACUAGUCUUAUCUUGAUUCGGCGGCAUCGUGGGAUGAAGCGGCCCGGGCCGACCUUACACGUACUCUUACGUGAGACUGGUUCCACCGACUGACAUGCACUAGUUGCAUAAGGUGGCUAGCGGGUGUCUGUCUCUCCCACUUUAGUCGGAUCGGAUUCGAUGAAAAGGGUCCUUAUGAAGGGUAAAUAGAAAUUGGCAUAUCACGUUGUGGUUUUUGCAUAGGUAAGAAACGUUCUUUCUAGAAACCUAUAGCAGCCACGUAAAAACUUGCAACAACAAUUAGGGGACGUCUAACUUGUUUUUGCAGCAUAUGCCUUGUGAUGUGAUAUGGCCAAAAGGAUGUGAUGAAUGAUAUAUGUGAUGUAUGAGAUUGAUCAUGUUCUUGUAAUAGGAAUCACGACUUGCAUGCCGAUGAGUAUGACAACCGGCAGGAGCCAUAGGAGUUGUCUUAAUUUAUUUAUGACCUGCGUGUCAACAUAAACAUCAUGUAAUUACUUUACUUUAUUGAUAAAGCGUUAGCCAUAGUAGUAGAAGUAAUAGAUGACGAGACAACUUCAAGAAGACACGAUGAUGGAGAUCAUGGUGUCAUGCCGGUGACAACGAUGAUCAUGGAGCCCCGAAGAUGGAGAUCAAAAGGAGCAAAAUGAUAUUGGCCAUAUCAUGUCACUAUUUGAUUGCAUGUGAUGUUUAUCAUGUUUUACAUCUUAUUUGCUUAGAACGACGGUAGCUUAAAUAAGAUGAUCCCUCACUAAAAUUUCAAGAAAAGUGUUCCCCCUAACUGUGCACCAUUGCGAAGGUUCGUUGUUUCGAAGCACCACGUGAUGAUCGGGUGUGAUAGAUUCUAACGUUCGAAUACAACGGGUGUAAGCCAGAUUUACACAGCAAAAACACUUAGGUUGACUUGACGAGCCUAGCAUGUACAGACAUGGCCUCAGAACAUGGAAGACCGAAAGGUCGAGCAUGAGUCGUAUAGAAGAUAAGAUCAACAUGAAGAUGUUCACCGAUGUUGACUAGUCCGUCUCACGUGAUGAUCGGACACGACCUAGUUGAAUCGGAUCAUGUUUCACUUAGAUGACUAGAGGGAUGUCUAUCUGAGUGGGAGUUCAUUAGAUGAACUCAAUUAUCAUGAACAUAGUCUAAAUUGUCUUUGCAAAUAUGUUGUAGAUAAAUAGCUCACGUUGUAGCUCCCUGUUUCAAUACGUUCCUAGAGAAAUAUUAAGUUGAAAGAUAUUGUAAGCAAUGAUGCGGACUAGGUCCGUAGUCCGAGGAGUGUCCUCACUGCUACACAGAAGGCUUACGUCUUUGAUGCACCGCUCGAUGUGCAAACCCCUACAACAUCGUCUGUGGAUGUUGUGACCACCUGACAGAUACAUCCUGAUGACUACAUGAUAGUUUAGUGCACCAUACUUUAUGGCUUAGAAUCGGGAUUCCAAUGACGUUUUGAACGCCAUAGAACAUAUGAGAUGUUCCAAGAGCUGAAAUUGGGAUUUCAGGCUCAUGCCCGUGAUUGAGAGGUGUGAGACCUCUGACAAGUUCUUUUGCCAACAAGAUGGAGGAGAAUAGCUCAGCUAGUGAGCAUGUGCUCAGAAUGUCUGGGUGCUACAAUCACUUAAAUCAAGUGGGAGUUAAACUUCCAGAUAAGAUAGUGAUUGAUAGAGUUCUCUAGCCACUAUCACUAAGCUACUAGAUCUUUGUGAUGAACUAUGACAUGCAAGGGAUGGAGUUGAUCCCGGAGCUGUUCGCGGUGCUUAAGACCGUAAAGGGUAGAAAUCAAGAAGGAGCAUCAAGUGUUGAUGGUUUAACAAGACCACUGAUUUCAAGAAGGGCAAGGGCUAGAAGGGAAACUUCAUGGAUGGUAAACCAGUUACCGCUCCAGUGAAGGAACCCAAGGUUGAACCCAAACCCGAGACUAAGUGCUUCUAUUGUAAGGGGAACGGUCACUGGUAGCGGAAUUACCCCAAAUGCAUGGUAGAUAAGAAGGCUGACAACUUCAACAAAGUAUAUACGUGUUAUUAAUGUGUACCUCGCUAGUACUCUUGGUAGCACCUGGGUAUUGGAUACCGGUUCAGUUGCUAUUACUGGUGACUUGAAGCAAAAGCUACGGACUAAACGGAGACUGGCUAAGGGCGAGGUGACGAUGUGUGUUGGAAGUGUUUCCAAAGUUGAUGAGAUCACCAUCGCACGCUCCAUCUGCCUUCGGGAUUAGUAUCGAACCUAGAUAAAUGUUAUCAGGUGUCUACAUUGAGCAUGAAUAUGAUUAGAUCAUGUUCAUUGCAAUACGGUCAUUCAUUUAAGUUAGAGAAUAAUGGUUAUUCUGUUUACAUGAAUGAUAUCUUUCAUGGUCAUGCACCCUAUGUGAAUGGUUCAUUGAAUCUCGGUCGUGGUAAUACACAUGUUCACGCCAAAAGAUGUAGAGUUAAUAAUGAUAGUACCACUUUCUCGUGGCACUGCCGCUUAGGUCAUAUUGGCGUAAGAUGCAUGAAGAAACUCCAUGUCGAUGGAUGUUUGGAGUCACUUGAUUUUGAAUCGCUUGACACAUGCGAGCCAUGCCUCAUGGGCAGGAUGACUAAGACCCCGCUUUCAGGUACAAUGAAACGGGCAAGUGACUUGUUGGAAAUCAUACAUGUUGAUGCGUGUGAUCCAAUGAGAAUUGAAGCGUGCGGUGGAUAUCGCUAUUUUCUCAUCUUCACUGACGAUUUGAGUAGAUAUAGGUAUAUUUACUUGAUGAAGCACAAGUCUGAAACGUUUGAAAAGUUCAAGCGAUUUCAGAGUGAAGUUAAGAAUCAUCAUAACAAGAAGAUCAAAUUCCUAUGAUCUGAUCAAUGAGAAUAUCUGAGUUAUGAGUUUGGCAAACACUGACAUUAUGGAAUUGUUUCACAGUUGAAGCCACCUGGAACACCACUGGGUUAUGGUGUGUCCGGACGUCGUAAUCGAACCUUAUGAGAUAUGGUGCGAUCUAUGAUGUCUCUUAUCAAUCUACCGUUUUCAUUUUGAGGUUAUGCGUUAGAGACAGAUGCAUUCACUUUAGAUAGGACACCAUUUAAGUCCGUUGAGACGGUGUCGUAUGAACAUUGGUUUGCUAAGAAACCAAAGUUGUCGUUUCUUAAUGUUUGGGGCUGCGAUGCUUAAGGCUUCAGCCGGAGAAGCUCGAACCCAAAGCGGACAAACACAUCUUCAUAGAAUACCCAAAGGUGACAGUUGGGUAUACCUUCUAUCUCAGAUCCAAGGGCAAAUUGUUUGUCACUAAGAACAGGUCCUUUCUCGAGAAGGAGUUUCUCUCGAAAGAAUUGAGUGGGUGGAAGAUAGAACUUGAUGAGGUUGUUGAACCUUUAUUUCAACCAGAGAAUGAUGCAACACAGAAAGAUGUUUUAUGUGGCACCUACGUCUGUUGAAUAGGAAGUUAAUGAUAGUGAUCAUGAAGCUUCGGAUCAAGUUGCUAUCGAACCUCGUAGGUCGACAAGGAUAUGUACUACUCCUAAGUGGUACGAUAAUCCUGUCUUAGACAUCAUGUUGUUAGACAACAAUGAACCUACGAUCUAUGGAGAAGCGAUGGUGGGCCCGUAUUCCGACAAAUGGUUAGAAGCCAUGAAAUCCGAGAUAGGAUUCAUAUAUCAGAACAAAGUAUGGACUUUGGUGGACUUGCCCGAUGAUUGGCAAGCCAUUGAGAUAAAUGGAUCUUUAAGAAGAAGACGGAUGUGGGCGGUAAUGUUACCGUCUAUGAAGCUCGACUUGUGGGAAAGAGUCUUUUCACAAGUUCAAGGAGUUGACCACGAUGAGAAUUUCUCACCCGUAGCGAUGCUUGAGUCCGUCGGAAUUAUGAUAGCAUUAGCUGUAUUUUUCGAUUAUGAAAUCUUACAAAUGGAUGUCAAAACAAGUUUUCUUACCAGUUUUUCAUAAGAAAAGUUGUAUGUGGUACAAUAAAGGGUUUUGUCGAUCCUAAGGAUGCUAAAAGGUAUGCUGGCUCCAGCGAUCCUUCUAUGGACUAGAGCAAGCAUCUCGGAAUCGGAAUAUAUGCUUUGAUGGAGUGAUCAAAGCUUUUAGGUUUAUACAAUGUUUGCUAGAAACUUGUAUUUACAAGAAAGUGAGUGGGAGCACUACAACAUUUCUGAUAAGUAUAUGUGGAUGACAUAUUGUUGAUUCGAAAUGAUGUAGAAUUUCUGGAAAGCAUAAACGGUUGUUUGAAGAGUGUUUUUCAAAGGAAGACCUGGAUAAAGCUGCUUACAUAUUGGGCAUCAAGAUCUAUAGAAAUAGAUCAAAACGCCUGAUGAUACUUCCAAAGAACGCACACCUUGACAUGUUUUUGAAGGAGUUCACAAUAGAUCAGUCAAAGAAGGGGUUCUUACCUGAGUUGUAAGGUGUGAAGUUGAGUAAGACUCAAAGCUUGACCACGGCAGAAGAAAGAGGAAGGACGAAGGUCGUCCCCUAUGCUCUUGUCAUAGGCUCUAUACGGUAUGCCAUGCUGAGUACCGCACCUGAUGUGUGCCUUGCCACAUGUCUGGCAAGAGGGUACAAAGGUGAUCUAGGACUGGAUCACCAGAUAACGGUCAAAAUUGUCCUUAGAGGAAUAAGGAAAUGUUUCUCGGUUAUGGAGGUGAUAAAGAGUUCGACAUAAAGAGUUACGUCGAUGCAAGCUUAACACCUAUCCGGAUAGCUCUUAGUAGAGAUACCGGAUAUGUAUAAUGGAGCAACAAUUUGGAACAGCUCCAAGUGGAACGUGGUAGCAGCAUCUACGAUAUAAAGUUUUGCGAAAUACAUAGGGAUCUGAAUAUGGCAAGACCCGUUGACUACAACCUCUCUCACAAGCAUAACAUGAUCAAACCCAGAACUCUUUGAGUGUUUAUCACAUAGUGAUGAGAACUAGAUCAUUGAGUCUAGUAAACUCUUGGAUGUUGGUCACAUGGUGAUGUGACCUGUGAGUGUUAAUCACAUGGCGAUGUGAACUAGAUUAUUGACUCUAGUGCAAGUGGGAGACUGUUGGAAAUAUGCCCUAGAGGCAAUAAUAAAUUGGUUAUUAUUAUAUUUCCUUGUUCAUGAUAAUCGUUUAUUAUCCAUGCUAGAAUUGUAUUGAUAGGAAACUCAGAUACAUGUGUGGAUACAUAGACAACACCAUGUCCCUAGUAAGCCUCUAGUUGACUAGCUCGUUGAUCAAUAGAUGGUUACGGUUUCCUGACCACGGACAUUGGAUGUCGUUGAUAACGGGAUCACGUCAUUAGGAGAAUGAUGUGAUGGACAAGACCCAAUCCUAAGCCUAGCACAAAGAUCGUGUAGUUCGUAUGCUAAAGCUUUUCUAAUGUCAAGUAUCAUUUCCUUAGACCAUGAGAUUGUGCAACUCCCGGAUACCGUAGGAGUGCUUUGGGUGUGCCAAACGUCACAACGUAACUGGGUGGCUAUAAAGGUUCACUACAGGUAUCUCCGAAAGUGUCUGUUGGGUUGGCACGAAUCGAGACUGGGAUUUGUCACUCCGUGUAAACGAAGAGGUAUCUCUGGGCCCACUCGGUAGGACAUCAUCAUAAUGUGCACAAUGUGAUCAAGGAGUUGAUCACGGGAUGAUGUGUUACAGAACGAGUAAAGAGACUUGCAGGUAACGAGAUUGAACAAGGUAUCGGGAUACCGACGAUCGAAUCUCGGGAAAGUAUCGUACCGCUAGACAAAGGGAAUUGUAUACGGGAUUGAUUAAGUCCUUGACAUCGUGGUUCAUCCGAUGAGAUCAUCGUGGAACAUGUGGGAGCCAACAUGGGUAUCCAGAUCCCGCUGUUGGUUAUUGGCCGGAGAGGUGUGUCGGUCAUGUCUGCAUGGUUUCCGAACCCGUAGGGUCUACACACUUAAGGUUCGAUGACGCUAGGGUUAUAGGGAAAGUAUGUACUCGGUUACCUAAUGUUGUUUGGAGUCCCGGAUGAGAUCCCGGACAUCAUCAGGAGUUCCGGAAUGGUCCGGAGGUAAAGAUAUAUAUAUGGGAAGUCCUAUUUUGGUCACCAGAAAAGUUUCGGGUGCUAUCGGUAACGUACCGGGACCACCGGGAGGGUCCCGGGGGUCCACCAGGUGGGGCUACCUGCCCCAGAGGGCUGCGUGGGCCAAGUGUGAGAGGGGACCAGCCCUAGGUGGGCUGGUGUUCCCCCCCCACCAGGGCCCAAGGCGAAGAGAGAAGGGAAAAGGGGGAAACCCUAGGCUCAGAUGGGCCUAAGGCCCACCUAGUGGUGCGCCCCCCCUCUCUCCCCCCUUGGCCGCCCCCUAGAUGGGAUCUAGGGCUGGCCGCCACCCCUAGGGGUGGAAACCUAGGUGGGGGCGCAGCCCCUCCCCUCCCCCUAUAUAUACUUGAGGUUUUGGGCUGCCAGAGACACGAAAACAUCUCCUUCUUGGUGCAGCCCUACCCCUCUUCCUCCUUGUCUCUCGUAGUGCUUGGCGAAGCCCUGCUGGAGUCCCGCGCUCCUCCACCACCACCACGCCGUCGUGCUGCUGCUGGAUGGAGUCUUCCCCAACCUCUCCUUCUCCCCUUGCUGGAUCAAGGCAUAGGAGACGUCACCGGUCUGUACGUGUGUUGAACACGGAGGUGCCGUCCGUUCGGCACUAGGAUCAUCGGUGAUUUGGAUCACGACGAGUACGACUCCAUCAACCCCGUUCACUUGAACGCUUCCGCUUAGCAAUCUACAAGGGUAUGUAGAUGCACUCUCCUUCCCCUUGUUGCUAGAUUACUACAUAGACUGAUCUUGGUGAUGCGUAGAAAAUUUUGAAUUUCUGCUACGUUCCCCAACACACUUAUCGUUACAGUAGGCCAUCCCUGAUGGUACCAGUACUUUGCUACCGGCUAGCCUAGCGGGUGGUGACAUGGAUCCGACUUGAGGGCGGAUCGGUAGUUUCUCUCUCUUACUUUUGCAGGUAAGGACAUCUCCGAGGCGUGACAGUAAGGCCAACCCCACCGCGCGACCUCAUCCUGUCCGGCCCCGUCCGUUUGGGGUAAAGAGGACAAACGAGGCGGCCCAGUGCGCGACAGUCCGAACCCAUCUGGUCCGUUUUGUAUCCAGGCCGACCCAUUUCAAGCGCAUUUUUGCAUCGGGUUUGGGUCGCCGCGGACACCGAACGGACGCGCCGCUCGUCCGCGUCUGACCGCGUGGCGGGGCGGCCACCUACCUCCCGCCCGCCAACAUCAAUGCGCAUGGGUGGCAGACCCCACCUGUCAUCGGCCUAGUGGAAGGUCGCCGUCCUUCUUAAAUGGGGAACCCGUGGACCGGUCGUCGUCCACACUGCCCCACUUCAUCCAGCAGCCUCCUCGAAACCCGACCGCGCUAAACCCUAGCCCCCUCCCUUGUCGAGAUCGCCGGUCGGCCACCCUCGACCCCAUGGGCUUCUGGAACCGUAAGGGGAAGCACGACCGCGAGGCCGGCUCCUCGUCGGGGCGCCGCGCCGGCUCCGGGAAGAAGGAGGCCGCAUCACCACCACGUCGGGCCCCCGCGUCGACGGCUUUCUCCAUCGCCCCCACGUCCGUCGGCGAGCGCGACCGGCACUACGUCUGCGUCGGUGUGCCGCCGUUAUUGGGAGACGAGGACGCCGCUCUCCUGGAGCGACGUCCAUCUCCCCAAUAACUGGCAUCUCUCCGCCGACCGGAUCCCGAUCCCGCCGGUCCCGACGAGCGGCCGUCCGCGCGACAAGGAGGUCGAGCGCCACCGCCGCCUCCUCCUCCCUGACGACCUCUUCUACGACCCCAGGUACGCCCCCGACUCCGGGCUCUGGGACACCUAGUUUCGUGACGAGCAUGACACCAGGCGCACGUCGUUCUUCGCCGGCACCUCGACGAGGCCCCGGCGGCCACGACAGGAGCGCGGGCGUAGGCGGGUGCGCGGCGUCACGCCCACGCCGUCGCCUUCGCCAUCUCCAUCGCCACCACCACCUCCUCGCAUGACGGAGGAGGAGGAGGCCCGUCUCAUGGCGCGUGUUAUGGAGGACUCCAUGUACACGCACGAUGAGCGGCAAUGGGAGGGCCUGGAGGAGAUGACGGCCCGCUCCGCUGCCGGCGAGGUAGCCAUCCCCGAGGAGGAGGCGACGGAGGAGGAGCCGGUGGCCGCGUUCCACUCGGGUCUGCUGGGCCAGGGGUGGGGCUGGUCCUGCACUGCACCGAAGAUGGCCGCCGCCGUGGGCGUGGACUGGUGCGCCACUCCGCUGCGGUCACCGAAGCGGGAGGCGUCGCCACGGGAGGAGGUCGUGCAGGCACCUCCUGCCGUCCAGCCUGCCCCCGUCUACCACGCACCGCCGACCUACGUGGACCUCGUCAGCGACGACGACGACGCCAGCGGGCACUGAAGAUGGCGACGGCGACUGCACCGACGAGCACAGGCAGGAGCGCGCUGGCCGCGGCCGUUUUUUAUUUUCUUUUUCAUGUUUAAUUAUGUCAAGUUGGACGUGAAACUGGGCGUUUUGUGGCCGACCCUAACUAAGUUUUAUGUUUAUUAAACCGCGCUUAUUUAACUUUUUUAGUCAUUUUAUUUAUGUUUUUCUAUUUUUUUAAAUCAUGUCCAACGCGGACGUGAUUUGGGGUGCGUCCGCGCGGUGGGCGCACGCACGACCCAACGGACAAGACCGGACACGGGCGAACCUAUCGCCGCCCCAAAGGGACAAAAUCCGGCCAAACCGGACGUUCGUUUGGGGUCGCGUGGUGGAGUUGGCGUAAAUUUGUUCCAGCAUUUGAGACCAGUCAGCGGACACCGGAGGCCACACCCUCCCACGAUGUUCGUAUAUAUUUUUCAUUUGGACUAACAAGACGAAUUCAUAUAAACACAGCGAAUUUGAUAUAAAUUGGACGAAAUUCAUUAUAUUUAGAACAUUUUUUAACUAAAAACUAUCCAUUUCCAUGACACGAAUACUCUUGACCAGUCUACGGCCGGCUGCAGUGAAUCUUUAUUGUCAUCCCCAUGUCCGUUAGCCCGCACAUCGGACUUGUGAGUACCAGAGAUAUAUGCUUCAGCGUAAAGGGCGGUUCGCUUACUAAUCUUCGGCAGCGCCGCUCAUUAGAGUGGAACCGUAGGGAUGUGCAUCAGCCGGAGAGGAAGGGGACGACACUGGCCUGUGACCAGGCAAGACACAGUCUGCGUACGCCGGCGUCGCCUCGAUGGUGCCCUUCGUGAGACCGAAGCGGUGGCGGUCUUCCAUGUUAUACUUCUCCUUGAUGAUGGCGGCUGGCGUGAACAUGCGGGCCACCGUUUUGUCGAUCUUCGUGAAACCGGCUUCUUUCUUCGUUGGCAGGGCGCGGUUACGCGUUCGUUGACGGUGGAUGGCAUGGUCAUGUGCACGGGAGGAGCGGUACGACACGCGUCGUCCACAGUAGUCACAAUGCCGUGCCGCCGUGCUCCCCCGCGUGUCGGCAUGGAGCAACUUGCCGCUCCUCGGCAAGUUGGCUUGGAGCGGCGAGUUGUGGAACGAUGCGCCGACUUGGAGCUUCUGCCUUCGCGAGCUGGCUCGCAGCGACCUAGAGUGUCGAGGAUGGUGGAGCAGAGAGUUGCCUGGCUCGUAUCCAAUGGGUUCGACGGGCCACACAGCCGGCUUUUAUGCCGGAGAACUCCUCCUCCUGCUCGUCGGAUGCCAUGGCGAUUAUGGAGAAAAUUGUGCAAGGAGGAGAUGGGAGCGGAGUGUGGUGCGACUUUUGCCUAGCGUCUGGCGCCUUUUAAAUAGCGGGCGGACUGCCGGAGCCAACCGGCCUUGUGAUUAAUGAUGGGCGGCUCGCAAACAGAUGUGUGGACAUAGUUGGUUUCUCGGCACAUGCGUAGGUUUAGUGGAGGAAGGCGGGCAGUCUAUGGCCGUUUGAAUGAGGUGAGGAGGCAUGUUCAGCCGGGUGUGCAUCGCACCGCUUCAAUGCUGAUAGUGAUAUGUUGCGUCAGUCCUGUGUCGGCGUCAAUGCGGAGCGGCCGCUCUUCAGCGGCAUGAAUGCGGGUAGCUGGCGCCGGGCGAGAAAGCGCGUGGGCGCGGGUAAUUGUUUCGGUUGGGUCAGGAUGGUCAGACGUGGGCGUGGCAGCGGACCAGACGCCUGCAAAGCCCCACACUUUGUCUUCGGUUUGCGAGGGAAAAUGUGUCCGGACCCGGUGGAUCGAUGUAGACCCGCGUUGGAUGGCUUACGCUGUCUAGACCGCUUGAUCCGGACGUAUGCGGGCGUUUUGAAGGUCCAUAGUGGAUACCCGUAUAGCCUCUCAGUCUUAUAAUGCAGUGCAUAUAGAUUUUCAUAAAAGUCAGACUUAAAAAUAUAUUUAUAUCCAUGUUGGGUAUAUGAUUAUUAGAAAGUAUAUGAUAAACUAGGAUUUGGUUCUGCAUUGUCUUAUACUUUAAAUUGAUCAUUGUAUUUCAAUAUAUAUAUGCCCACGAGGCUCAAGCAAUGCAAAAAAAAAACUGUUCCGAGGUCUUCCCACCGUCGCUCCAACCCGCCUGCUGCCGCCGCGUCGCCCCUUUGGACUGUGACGCCGGGCCUACGGUCCACCGCCAUCCCCGCGCGUCGACUCCCGUGGUAUGUGCCGCGUCGCCUUCCUUGGCGCGGGAACGCCAUUAUCCGCACCGGUCCUCAUCAUGCUGUCGGGUUCCUCGCCUACUUCGAGCAUCGCCGCCGCACUCCUAACCUAGCCGCCUCCCCCUANNNNNNNNNNNNNNNNNNNNNNNNNNNNNNNNNNNNNNNNNNNNNNNNNNNNNNNNNNNNNNNNNNNNNNNNNNNNNNNNNNNNNNNNNNNNNNNNNNNNNNNNNNNNNNNNNNNNNNNNNNNNNNNNNNNNNNNNNNNNNNNNNNNNNNNNNNNNNNNNNNNNNNNNNNNNNNNNNNNNNNNNNNNNNNNNNNNNNNNNNNNNNNNNNNNNNNNNNNNNNNNNNNNNNNNNNNNNNNNNNNNNNNNNNNNNNNNNNNNNNNNNNNNNNNNNNNNNNNNNNNNNNNNNNGUGACUAUGAGGGAUGUUGAGUAUAUGAUUAUUAGGAAGUAUAAUAUAGACUAGGAUUUGGUCAUGCCUUGUCUUAUACUUCAAGUUGAUCAUUAUAUUCCUAUAUAUAUAGGAGUAUAAUAGUGUUAUUGUUCAUCAUCCAGGGUACAGAAUACGUUAUUUUUACCCGAGGUAAUCUUAUGUUCGUUUCCUAAAUAAAUUAUGUUUAGAAUAUAAAUAGUUACAUGCAUAUUGAUUAAAUACGUAAAAUUUGGUAUAAAAAAUUAAGAAUAUAGGUUAUAAAACAGAAAAAUCACAUUUUAUGUAUGUUUUACACUAUAUUUUUACAAUUGUAAUUUUAUGUAACAUAAAAUAUUUUUUACGGCAAGUACAUAUUUUCUUACAUUCUCUUUUUAUGUAUGAAACAAAAAAAAAAUUACGAAACAUAUAAAUACGGUGCAUUGAUGUCAAAAUAGAGAGGGGUGAAGAAUAACUAUUCAUCAUCCAGGGUGACGAAUAGCGCGACCCUUCAAAAUAUUGUCUUAUUAUGUAUCUAUUGAUAUUUAUUUGGUAUUCUAGAUGUAUUUGUUUCUCUAUAAAGUUGAUCAAAUUUUGUAAAAGUAUUCUUCGCAAAAAAAAGUUUGUAAAAUUUGACUUAAAAAAAUCAAUAUGCACUAUAUAUUAUGAAAAGUAUUUAUCUCCUCUUUUUCCUCACUUCCCUUGUCCGUUUUCUUGUCAACCCGCCGGAUCUGGCGGGCCUGGCCCUGCCCCACCCUCUGCAUGUGCUGCGAUCGAGUGCUUUUCUGCUUUUCUCGUGUGCUGCUUCCUGGUUGGAGAUUCUCGUCCCGUGUAUGUGACUGGGUCGGGGGCAUGCAAGAUGGGAUCUUGCACCGACGUGCUGUCUGCUGAUUAGGUAGAAGUUUGCUUUAAACUUGGAAAGUAACCAAGUUAGUUAGGCAGUAGUAAGUGCUGUGCAUAGAAAGCACUAAUCCUAAUAGACUACUAUAUUAAAUUUCCUUCAAAAAUAUAAGUAGUAGUAUAAUUUAAUUAGUACAUGCGAUUUGGUAGCUUGCCGUAGUUGUUUGAGUUAGGCAAGAGAUAAUUAGGUGAUCGACGGAUCGUGUGAGUCUGUUGUAGCAGGUUAGUGCUGACAGCUGCUCUCUAAGUCGUUCCUAUAUUUGAUAGUAUUAUAAUUCAUACUGGUGCAUACAUAUAUCUUUAAUAACAAUAUAAUAACAAUAUAAUAACAAUGUAAUAAUAAUAAUAAUAAUAAUAAUAUCUUUAUCUUUACCUAAUAAUAAAGCAAAUUGGGUUUCUUUCGUCCGUCAUGGCAUUUUUUAGAAAAGUUCCUCUAUUUCAGAGAAUUCAACCCGCAGUCCUGUUUUAAGUUAAAACGAAUCGUUAUUUUCGUAUUUUACACAAACAUCCCUGUCUUUUCUUGUAAUCAAUCCGCCGUCCGGAUUUAAGUCACACCCGAACUGUUAUUUUACAAUUUUUUGAAACCCCCCCUGAUAUUUUAGAUAAUUCAUCUGCGGAUCAUAUUUAAGUCAAACAAAUGCUUUUUAAAAUCAUCCAUAUCUUUUAAACCGUAACUCCGAUUUGAACAUGUUAUAUAUGAAAUUUGAUUAGAAAAAUAUGUAGAAUAUGAAUAUGAGAUUAUUUUUACCUGUUAAGUACUUUUAAAUAUUAUUUUGGAAUAUAUUUGAGUCAAACCAAAUAAUUUUCUAAAUUAUCUGUAUCUUUUAAACCGUAACUUCGAUUUUAACAUAUUAUAUAUGAAAUUUUAUUAGAAAAAUGUGUGAAAUCUAAAGAUGAUGUUAAUUUUACCUGUUAAAUAUUUUUAAAAUAUUGUUAUGGAAGCAAACUUUUAUAAUUUAUAGCGCAAGAUUUGUUUUUUUUCAUACCGGCGGCCAUCCGGAUUGCAAAUAAACACCCCACUAUAACCAUAUACGAAAAAGAAAACAUCGAUAACUACACAUGCAUACUUCUGAAAAAUGUCGUAGGGGAAAACAACAAAUUUCUCAUCGCGAGAGUGAGAGAAAGCGGGCGAGAGAGAGAGGGAGAGAGAGAGAGAGGGAGAGGGAGGAGAGAGGGAGGAGAGAGACGUCUUAUGAUUAACCAUAUUCAACACACGUUUUUUGUUGUUUUGUGUGAACACUGAGGCCAUCACCGGCGAGGGUGAGAAGGAGGAUAAGCGGCAACACAAAUAUGAUGCCUCGCAAAAAUAAAGGAGAUGGACCUAUUAUGGUCUUGAGUGAUGAUUGUUGAGUCAAGAGCGUGUGUUAUAUUUUCUCUCCCAUUGCAACGUACAGGCUCUUUUGCUAGUAAUAAUAAAACACACAUUGCUUCUUACCCCUGAUUUUCGUCCGCUUCCUGUUUCGUAUGUCGUCCGUCGUCGUAAGUCACCGAGCCUGGCCAAAAGAACAAACCAGCCCGUGUGCUAUGGCCCAGUGAAUCCGGCCCACGGGAGGCAAAAAUUCAGCUAGCAAAUUACACAGGAUCGAACUCAGAACCUCCUAGAAAAUGUUUCUGUUUACUACCACCUCGCUUUAGUACAUCUCACAGCACCAAUUAAAAUAUAUGUGUGAAAACUGCAACUACGUGGAAGCUGGCUGCUCGAUAGAGAAAUACAGGAAGGAUAAUUCAAGGAAAGAUUGUCGGAAAAUUAAUGAGAGAAAUAUAAGAAGGGUAAUUCAAGGAAGGAUUGAGAAUUGAGGACAAGUCGAUAAUAUAGACUGAGAGAAAUAAAAAAGGAAGGAAACGUGAAUUGAGGGGAAAUUGUGCCAAAUUUUGAUACACGUACGUGGAUCCUGACAAUAAAGGAAGGAACAAGAAUUAAGGGAAAAUUGUGCCAAAUUUCCAUAUUCGUACGUGGAGGCUAAUCUUCUAUUUCAGUGGUGGGCUAAUUAAACAGACUCCUAAACUAGGAGAGCUAACCUGGAAAAUCAUGCCUAUACGUGGUGGCUGCUAAUUAAACAAAUUCCUAAGACUGAAUAAUGUUGGAAGCGCCCACGCAAUGCCGGAAAAAUAUGUUCAAAUUUUAAGAAGAAAGUUAUGUCCACGACUACAUCGGAUGUUUUUUUUUCUUCAUUGUGUCUUUGGUAUGACCGCUUCAACCAACCGAAGCCGGUCACCGACAAGCUCCUCUGCUAGACAUCGUCACGUAGAAGCCAGUCUCGCUCAGCCCAGUGUCACCAGUCAUAACGCAUGAGGAGUCGGACUCAUAUUUCAUGAUGUGUCCAACACAAACUACUCGAUUUUUCCUACUGUAUUAGCCAAAUGAUGAUAAAUCUUUGCCCAACGUUCUUAGUCUAGCCGAACACGACAGAUGCUAAACCAUCCAGUUCUCGGACCUGGCCAACCUUGCUUAGUAACAAUUGACAGGGCGACUAUCGACGAUGAGGGUGGAGAAGUGGAUAAGCAGAAACUUGAUUCCGGUGUCAUGUUAGAGGACGCCGACCUAAGGGUGAGGUCUUAGUCAUGUUUAUUUGGUUAGUGGCAUGGAGGUGAGGUCUUAGUCAUGUUUAUUUGGUUAGUGGCAUGGAGGUGAGGUCUUACGCCAUGCUCAGUUGGUUGAGUUAGGACGGGUGGUGUUUGUUUACUCCCGUUGCAACGAACGGGCAUGUUUGCUAGUGUGUAUAUAAGAGCCUAGUAGUAAGAGUUAGCGCUUUUGUUAGACCUAAUGCCCAUUAAUAAUUAACAAAUAGAUAAUCAUGACUAAAUGCCACAUCCCAUAUCUGCUCUACAACUACCUUCUUUAGACUCCUUGCUAAUUAAAUAGGCAAUUUUCGACCAAUUUAAUCCAUAGAUAAAUCACUAGCAUGACAUUGACAAAAUUAACAACAUACUGAUUCUGAUCUAAACAAGCAUGUACUAUGCAAACAAUAGACACAUCUACACAUACUACUAGUACUGCUAAUAAAAAAAUAAACAUGAGCGGGAUAAACGUGUUAUACCCUCCAGCAGGCCAGGCAGAAGCCGCGGUGGCAGUGGCAGCAGCGUCCUCGACGGCCUUCUUGUCGGCCUCGAACUUCUCGUUGGCGAGACGGUCAGCGUCGGACUGAGACAUGAUGAUGAUGAAACGACGCAUACGUAGAGGAAGUAGUGGAUCGGGGGCGAGCAGUCGCGUAGUCGCUUCCCAAAAACCUAUUCGCCCCUCUCCUGUACAAAAACUGAAGGGGCGGGGUUUCGGAGACCUGCUCUCCCGUCGACCGUGUACGCGACGGACGGGAUGGAGUCACCGAUGGCAGCAGCAGCAAAGGAACGAUGGUGGGCAUGCGCGUGGAGCAGAUGUGAUCUGUUCGUGGCGGCUAGGCUUAGGAGACACCUCACACUUAUAUAAGCGUAGCUGCACGGAGAGACGUGGACUCGACCCAUGUCCGAAUCCGUGACAACCCAUGAUCCGACGUCUCAGAUCGUGGCCCAGCUGUCAGAAACUCUCUGUUAGUGACUGGUAAAAAUAAGCGCGUAGGUGUGAGCUCGGCUUGGCUCAUUCCAGCAAGCGACGCGUCAUGGCGAGACGGGCGGUGGAGGAGUGCGCGAUGGCCUCUUCUAUUCUCAAGCUCCAAUAGCAUGUAGAAGAGAAACCCUUAUAAGGAGGUCCAACUCCUCUCCAACUUCCGGGGCGGGACUAAACUUCCCACUACAUCUAGUGCCAAUAAACCCACAUGGGCCCUUAGAGAUUUUCAGAAAUUGCUAGAUGGGCCUAAAGCCCACCCCAAGUUUCAGCAAUCCCUCACCAGAUCUCGAGGCCCCAUUGUGUCCUAUGUUCCAAUUGCUGUUUCGAUAUACCAGUGUUUCAGUAAAGACCUGUUAAGGUUGAAUUUCAUCUAGAGCAAGCAGCGACACUCCUUCACAACUAAACAAUGGACUAAGCCUUGAAUUAUCAGUUUGGCAUAAAGAAGCUUCACCACAUGUCUUACUAGUACUAGGCUGCCGAAGGCAGACCCCUCGGGUGGAGCAUAUAGUCACACUCCUGGCCUAUUCAUGAGCUUACUGGAGAUCACCUCAAUCUCAUAGACUGUGACCAGCAGUCGGGCUCAUAUAUAUAUGUUCCUCCAAAGAUCGCUCUAUAGGAUAGCAUCUUGCUAACAUAAGCUUUGGAACACAUUAAGACAGUAGUCAUCCUACCAUACAAUAUCGAGGGUAUUGCAUCUCUAACGGAGUGGGUCAGUAUACUUACUCUCCUUAGUUCACCACUAGCUUGUUUUCCCAGGUCCUACUUCAUGGGAUCUCCGGUCACAUAGGUUGGGUUACCACCAUGGCAACUCAUGUGGAUCUCAUACCCAUCUCCCUCGAUACACUAUCUAUCACAACACGUGAUAGCCCUUUUGUAAAGGGAUCUGCUAGAUUCUUAGCCGUAUGGACAUACUCCAACACUAUCACUCUAGAGUUUCUUAAUUUUUUGACAGCUUUUAAUCUCAUCCUUAUGUGUUUGUUGGACUUGAUGUUGUCCUUUAAACUCUUCACCUUGGUGAUGAUAGUAUGAUUGUCAUAGUUCAUAAGGAUAGACGGAACCGGUUUAUCAACCAAUGGCAAUUCCAUCAAAAGAUCUCGAAGCCAUCCUCCUUUGACACCAUAUGUGUCUAAUGCUGUUAAUUCUGCUUCCAUUGUCGAUCUCGUUAAGAUCGUUUGCUUGCAAGACUUCCAGGAAACAACACCACCUCCAAGAGUAAACAUAUACAUAGUUGUGGCCUUCAUCUCAUCAGCAUCAGAGAUCCAAUUCGCAUCACUAUACCCUUCAAGUACCGACAGGUAUCCGGUAUAGUGAAGUCCGUGGUUCAUAGUAUCUUUCAGAUAGCGCAUAACUCUCUCAAUAGCAUGCCAAUGUACAUCACCCGGGUUGGAAACAAACCGGCCCAGUUUUCUCACAAAAAACGCGAUGUCAGUCCUCGUUGCACUCGCUAGGUAUAUGAGUGAACCAAUGAUUUGAGAGUAUCUCAGUUGAUCCUUAGCUGUGCCUUCGAACUUUUGAACCAACCCACUAGGAUCAUAUGGUGUUUGAGAUGGUUUGCAGUCCGAGAAUCCAAAACGGCUCAACACCUUCUCAACAUAAUGGGAUUGCAGAAGUGUAAUCCCACCCUCAUUAUCUCUCAGUAGCUUGAUGCUCAAGAUAACAUCAGCCACACCAAGGUCUUUCAUCUCAAAGUUCUGAGACAGAAUCGACUUGACCUCCUCAAUGACUUUGAGGUUGGUUCUGAAUAUCAGUAUGUCAUCAACGUACAAGCACAUUAUAACUCCUUCGCCCCCACCAUGGCGAUAGUAUACACAUUUGUCAGCUUCAUUAACAACAAAGUCAACAGAUGUCAGAGUUGUAUUAAACUUAUCAUGCCAUUACUUAGGUGCUAGUUUUAGGCCAUAUAAAGAUUUCAGCAACCUACACACGUUUCUUUCAUGACCAUCUAUCACAAAGCCAUUUGGUGGUUGCAUGUAGAUUUCCUUGUUUAGCUUUUCAUUUAGAAAAGCCAUUUUAACAUCCAUCUGGUGGACGAGAAGACCAUGCGAGGCCGCCAACGAGAGUAAUACUCGAAUGGUGGUCAAUCUAGCCACAGGUGAAUAUGUAUUGAAGAAACCUUCCUCUUCUUUCUGGUCAUAGCCCUUGGCCACAAGCCUAGCCUUCUACUUUUCAAUCGUACCAUCGGGCCUAAGCUUCUUCUUGAACUCCCACUUACAUCCAAAAGGUGUGUAACCAUAGGGACGGUCGGUGAUUGAUGUCGCUUGAAGCUACUGAUACGUCUUCGUCGUAUCUAUAAUUUUUGAUUAUUCCAUGCCAAUAUUCUACAACUUCCAUAUACUUUUGGCAACUGUUUAUACUAUUUUUGGGACUAACAUAUUGAUCCGGUGCCCAGUGCCAGUUCCUGUUUGUUGCAUAUUUUUUGUUUCGCAGAAAAUCCAUAUCAAACGGAGUCCAAACGGGAUAAAAACGGACGGAGAAUAUUUUUGAAAUAUUUGUGAAAUAUGGGAAGAAGAAUCAACGUGAGAAGGUGCCCGAGGGGGCCACGAGGCAGGGGGUUGCGCCUACCCCCUGGGCGCGCCCCUGACCCUCGUGGGCCCCCCAUUAGGCGGUUGCUGCUCUCCUUUGGCCGCAAGAAAGCUAAUUUUCGGAGAAAAAUCUGGGCGAGGGUUUCAGUCCAGUCGGAGUUACGGAUCUCCGGAUAUACAAGAAACGAUGAAAGGGCAGGAUACCAGAAUGCAGAAACAGAGAGAGAUAGAGAGGCAGAGCCAAUCUCGGAGGGGCUCUCACCCCUCCCAUGCCAUGGAGGCCAAGGACCAGAGGGGAAACCCUUCUCCCAUCUAGGGAGAAGGUCAAGGAAGAAGAAGAAGAAGAAGAAGAAGAAGAAGAAGAAGGGGGGCUCUCUCCCCCUCGAUUCCUGUGGCGCCGGAACGCCGCCGGGGCCAUCAUCAUCACCGCGAUCUUCACCAACAUCUUCAUCACCUUCCCCCAUCUAUCUACAGCGGUCCACUCUCCCGCAACCCGCUGUACCCUCUACUUGAACAUGGUGCUUUAUGCUUCAUAUUAUUAUCCAAUGAUGUGUUGCCAUCCUAUGAUGUCUGGGUAGAUUUUCGUUGUCCUAUUAGUGAUUGGUGAAUUGCUAUGAUUGAUUUAAUUUGCUUGUGGUUAUGUUGCUGUCCUUUGGUGCCCAUCAUAUGAGCGCGCGCAUGGAUCACACCAUAGGGUUAGUUGUAUGUUGAUAGGACUAUGUAUUGGAGGGCAAGAGUGACAGAAGCUUCAACCUAGCAUAGAAAUUGAUGCAUACGGGAUUGAAGGGGGACCAAUAUAUUUUAAUGCUAUGGUUGGGUUUUACCUUAAUGAACGUUAGUAGUUGCAGAUGCUUGCUAAUAGUUCCAAUCAUAAGUGCAUAGAAUUCCAAGUCAGGGAUGACAUGCUAGCAGUGGCCUCUCCCACAUAAAACUUGCUAUCGGUCUAGUAACAUAGUCAAUUGCUUAGGGACAAUUUCGCAACUCCUACCACCACUUUCCACACUCGCUAUACUAACUUUAUUGCUUCUUUACCUAAAACAGCCCCUAGUUUUUAUUUACGUGCUCUUUAUAUUCUUGCAAACCUAUCCCGUUACACCUUCAAAGUACUUCUAGUUUUAUACUUGUUCUAGGUAAAGCGAACGUCAAGCGUGCGUAGAGUUGUAUCGGUGGUCGAUAGAACUUGAGAGAAUAUUUGUUCUAUCUUCAGCUCUGUUGGGGAACGUAGCAGAAAUUCAAAAUUUUCCUACGUGUCACCAAGAUCUAUCUAUGGAGAGACCAGCAACGAGUAGAAAGAGAAUGCAUCUACAUACCCUUGUAGAUCGCUAAGCGGAAGCGUUCAAGUGAACGGGGUUGAUGGAGUCGUACUCGUCGUGAUUCAAAUCACCGAUGAUCAAGUGCCGAACGCACGGCACCUCCGCGUUCAACACACAUACAGCCCGUUGACGUCUCCCAAGCCUUGAUCCAGCAAGGAGAGAGGGAGAGGUUGAGGAAGACUCCAUCCAGCAGCAGCACAACGGCGUGGUGGUGGUGGAGGAGCGUGGCAAUCCUGCAGGGCUUCGCCAAGCACCGCGGGAGAGGAGGAGUACUUGUGAGAGGGGGAGGGCUGCGCCAGAACUUCGUCUGAAGCUCCCAUGCGUCUCCCCACUAUAUAUAGGGGUGGAGGGGCUGGUUUCUUGCCCUCCAAGUCCAUUGGGGCGUUGGCCAAGGUGGGAGGAAAGAAAUCCCAUCAUUUCGUUCCCCACCGAUUGUUAUCCCCCCUUUUUAGGGAUCUUGAUCUUAUCCCUUUGGGAUAUGAUCUUAUUCCUUCUAAGGGGGGGUCUUGGUGCGCCUUGACCAGGGGUGUGGGGCCUUGCCCCCACUACCCACGUUCAUGUGGGUCCCCCCAUGCAGGUGGGCCCCACUCCAGAACCUUCUAGAACCUUCCCGGUACAAUACCGAAAAAUCCCGAACAUUUUCCGGUGGCCAAAAUAGGACUUCCCAUAUAUAAAUCUUUACCUCCGGACCAUUCCGGAACUCCUCGUGACGUCUGGGAUCUCAUCCGGGACUCCGAACAACAUUCGGUAACCACAUACAAACUUUCUUUAUAACCCUAGCAUCAUCGAACCUUAAGUGUGUAGACCCUACGGGUUCGGGAGACAUGUAGACAUGACCGAGACGUUCUCCGGUCAAUAACCAACAGCAGGAUCUGGAUACCCAUGAUGGCUCCCACAUGUUCCACGAUGAUCUCAUCGGACGAACCACGAUGUCAAGGACUUAAUCAAUCCCGUAUUCAAUUCCCUUUGUCUAUCGGUAUGUUACUUGCCCGAGAUUCGAUCGUCGGUAUCCAAUACCUUGUUCAAUCUCGUUACCGGCAAGUCACUUUACUCAUUCCGUAACACAUCAUCCCGUGAUCAACUCCUUGGUCACAUUGCGCAUAUGAUGAUGUCCUACCGAGUGGGCCCAGAGAUACCUCUCCGUUUACACGGAGUGACAAAUCCCAGUCUCGAUCCGCAUAAAACAAUAGAUACUUUCGGAGAUACCUGUAGUGCACCUUUAUAGUCACCCAGUUACGUUGUGACGUUUGAUACACCCAAAGCACUCCUACGGUAUCCAGGAGUUACAUGCUCUCAUGGUCAAAGGAAGAGAUACUUGACAUUGGCAAAGCUCUAGCAAACGAACUACACGAUCUUUGUGCUAGGCUUAGGAUUGGGUCUUGUCCAUCACAUCAUUCUCCUAAUGAUGUGAUCCCGUUAUCAACGACAUCCAAUGUCCAUAGCCAGGAAACCAUGACUAUCUGUUGAUCACAACGAGCUAGUCAACUAGAGGCUCACUAGGGACAUAUUGUGGUCUAUGUAUUCACACGUGUAUUACGAUUUCCGGAUAAUACAGUUAUAGCAUGAAUAAAAGACAAUUAUCAUGAACAAGGAAAUAUAAUAAUAACACUUUUAUUAUUGCCUCUAGGGCAUAUUUCCAACAGUCUCCCACUUGCACUAGAGUCAAUAAUCUAGUUCACAUCGCCAUGUGAUUAACACUCACAGGUCACAUCGCCAUGUGACUAAUACCCAAGAGUUUUAUGUUUGAUCAUGUUGCUUGUGAGAGAGGUUUUAGUCAACGGGUCCGAACCUUUCAGAUCCGUGUGUGCUUUACAAAUCUCUAUGUCAUCUCCUAGAUGUAGCUACCACGCUCUAUUUGGAGCUAUUCUAAAUAACUGUUCUACUUGGAGCUAUUCUAAAUUGUUGCCCCAUAAUAUGUAUCCGGUAUCUCUUCUUAGAGCUAUCCGGAUAGGUGUUAAGCUUGCAUCGACGUAACCUUUACGACGAACUCUUUUACCACCUCCAUAAUCGAGAAAAUUCCUUAGUCCACUAGUUACCAAGGAUAACUUUGACCGCUGUCUGUGAUCCAUUCAUGGAUCACUCUUGUACCCCUUGACUGACUCAUGGCAAGGCACACUUCAGGUGCGGUACUCAGCAUGGCAUACUGUAGAGCCUAUGUCUUAAGCAUAGGGGACGACCUUCGUCCUUUCUCUCUAUUCUGCCGAGGUCGAGCUUUAAGUCUUAACUUCAUACCUUACAACUCAGGCAAGAACUCCUUCUUUGACUGGUCCAUCUUGAACACCUUCAAGAUCAUGUCAAGGUAUGUGCUCAUUUGAAAGUAUUAUUAAGCAUUUUGAUCUAUCCUUAUAGAUCUUGAUGCUCAAUGUUCAAGUAGCUUAAUCCAGGCUUUCCAUUGAAAAACACUUUCAAAAUAACCCUAUAUGCUUUCCAGAAAUUCUACGUCAUUUCUGAUCAACAAUAUGUCAACAACAUAUACUCAUCAGAAAUUCUAUAGUGCUCCCACUCACUUCUUUGGAAAUGCAAGUUUCUCGUAAACUUUGUACAAACCCAAAAUCUUUGAUCAUCAUCAAAGCACACAUUCCAACUCCGAGAUGCUCACUCCAGUCCUUAGAAGGAUUGCUGGAGCUUUGCAUACUUAUUAGCAUCUUUUGGGAUUGACAAAACCUUCCGGUUGUAUCACAUACAACCUUUCCUCAAGUAUAACGUCGAGGAAACAAUGUUUUGACAUCCUAUCUGCAAGAUUUCAUCAAUCAUGCAGUAACUGCUAAUCCAAUUCCAACAGACUCUUAGCAUCGCUACGAGUGAGAAAACCUCACCGUAAUCAACUCCUUGAACUUGUCGGAAAAUAUCUUAACGACAAGUCGAGCUUUCUUAAUGGUAAUUCUUACCAUCAUUGUCUGUCUUCCUUUUAAAAUCCAUCCGUACCCAAUGGCCUUACGCCCAUCAAGUAUUUCUUCCAAAGUCAUGGAUCCGUUCUCGGAUUUUAUGGCCUCGAGCCAUUUACUAGAAUCCGGGCCCACCAUUGCUUCUCCAUAGCUCGUAGGUUCAUUGUUGUCCAGCAACAUGACUUCCAAGACAGGAUUACGUACCACUCUGAUGUAGUACGUAUCCUUGUCAUCCCACGAGGUUUGGUAGUGACUUGAUCCGAAGUUUCAUGAUCAACAUCACAAGCUUCCACUUCAAUUGGUGUAGGUGCCACGGGAACAACUUCCUGUGCCCUGCCACACACUAGUUGAAGAGACGGUUCAAUAACCUCAUGAAGUUUCCACCAUCCUCCCACUCAAUUCUUUCGAGAGAAACUUUUCCUCGAGAAAGGACCCGAUUCAAGAAACAAUCCAUAUUGCUUUCGGAUCUGAAUUAGGAGGUAUACCCAACUGUUUUGGGUUUCCUAUGAAGAUGCAUUUUAUCCGCUUUGGGUUCGAGCUUAUCAACCUGAAACUUUUUCAUAUAAGCGUCGCAGCCCCAAACUUUUAAGAAACGACAACUUAGGUUUCUCUAAACCAUAAUUCAUACGGUGUCAUCUCAACGGAAUUACGUGGUGCCCUAUUUAAAGUGAAUGUGGUUGUCUCUAAUGCCUAACCCAUGGACAAUAGUGGUAAUUCGAUAAGAGACAUCAUGGUACGCACCAUAUCCAAUAGGGUGCAACUAUGAUGUUCGGACACACCAUCACACUAUGGUGUUCCAGGCGGUAUUAAUUGCGAAACAAUUUCCACAAUGUCUUAAUUGUGUGCCAAAACUCGUAACUCAGAUAUUCAUCUCUAUGAUCAUAUCAUAGACAUUUUAUCCUCUUGUCACAAUGAUCUUCUACUUCACUCUGAAAUUACUUGAACCAUUCAAUAAUUCAGACUUGUGUUUCAUCAAGUAAAUAUUCUCAACAUCUACUCGAAUCAUCUGUGAAGUAAGAUCAUAAUGAUAUUCACUGCAUGCCUCAGCACUCAUUGGAUUGGACACAUCAAAAUGUGUUACUUCCAACAAGUUGCUAUCUUGUUCCAUCUUACUGAAAACGAGGCUUUUCAGUCAUCUUGCCCAUGUGGUAUGAUUUGGAUAUCUCAAGUGAUUCAAAAUCAAGUGAGUCCAAACGGUCCAUUUGCAUGGAGUUUCUUCAUGCAUAUACACCAAUAGACAUGGUUCGCAUGUCUCAAACUUUUCAAAAACGAGUGAGUCCAAAGAUCCAUCAACAUGGAGCUUCUUCAUGCGUUUUAUACCAUUAUGACUUACAUGGCAGUGCCACAAGUAAGUGGUACUAUCAUUACUAUCUUAUAUCUUUUGGCAUGAAAAUGUGUAUCACUACGAUCGAGAUUCAAUAAACCAUUCAGGUUUAAUACUAAUCUUGAUGGUAGAGGGAGCGUGCGAUGUUUGAUCACAUCAAACUUGGAAACACUUCCAACAUAUAUCGUCAGCUCACCUUUAGCUAGUCUCCGUUUAUUCCGUAGCUCUUUAUUUCGAGUUACUAACACUUAGCAACCGAACCGGUAUCUAAUACCCUGGUGCUACUAGGAGUACUAGUAAAGUACACAUUAACAUAAUGUAUAUCCAAUAUACUUCUAUCGACCUUGCCAGCCUUCUUAUCUACCAAGUAUGUAGGGUAAUUCUGCUCUAGUGACUGUUCCCCUUAUUACAGAAGCACUUAGUCUCGGGUUUGGGUUCAACCUUGGGUUUCUUCACUGGAGCAGCAGCUGAUUUGCCGUUUCAUGAAGUAUCCCUUCUUGCCCUUGCCCUUCUUGAAACUAGUGGUUUCACCAACCAUCAACAAUUGAUGCUCCUUCUUGAUUUCUACUUUCGCGGUGUCAAACAUCGUGAAUACCUCAAGGAUCAUCUUAUUUAUCCCUGAUAUGUUAUAGUUCAUCACGAAGCUCUAGCAGCUCGGUGGCAAUGACUUUGGAGAAACAUCACUAUCUCAUUUGGAAGAUCAACUCCCACUCAAUUCAAGUGAUUGUUGCACUCAGACAAUCUGAGCACAAGCUCAACGAUUGAGAUUUUCUCCCUUAGUUUGCAGGCUAAGAGAAUCGUCGGAGGUCUUAUACCUCUUGACGUGAGCACGAGCCUGAAAUCCCAAUUUCAGCCCUCGAAACAUCUCAUAUGUCCCGCGAUGUUUCGAAAACGUCUUUGGUGCCUCUACUUAAACCAUUUAACUGAACUAUCACGUAGUUAUCAAAACGUGUAUGUUCGAUGUUCGAAACAUCCACAAACGACGUUUGGGGUUCAGCACACUGAGCAGUGCAUUAAGGACAUAAGCUUUCUACUGUUCGCAUAAUCGCUACUAUCAACUUUCAACUAUAUUUUCUCUAGGAACAUAUCUAAAACAGUAGAACUAAAGCGCGAGCUACGACAUAAUUUGCAAAAGGUCUUUUGACUAUGUUCAGGAUAAUUAAGUUCAUCUUAUGAACUCCCACUCAGAUAGACAUCCCUCUGGUCAUCUAAGUGAUUACAUGAUCCGAGUCAACUAGGCCGUGUCCGAUCAUCACGUGAGACGGACUAGUCAUCAUUGGUGAACAUCUUCAUGUUGAUCGUAUCUACUAUACGACUCAUGCUCGACCUUUCGGUCUCCGUGUUCCGAGGCCAUGUCUGUACAUGCUAGGCUCGUCAAGUUAACCCUAAGUGUUUUCGAUGUGUAAAACUGUCUUACACCCGUUGUAUGUGAACGUAAGAAUCCAUCACACCCGAUCAUCACGUGGUGCUUAGAAGCGACGAACUGUAGCAACGGUGCACAGUUAGGGGAGAACACUUCUUGAAAUUGUUGUAAGGGAUCAUCUUAUUUACUACCGUUGUUCUAAGCAAACAAGAUGCAUAAACAUGAUAAACAUCACAUGCAAUCAAAUAGAGUAGUGACAUGAUAUGGCCAAUAUCAUAUAGCUCCUUUGAUCUUCAUCUUCGGGGCUCCAUGAUCAUCUUGUCACCGGCAUGACACCAUGAUCUCCAUCAUCAUGAUCUCCAUCAUCGUGUCUUCAUGAAGUUGUCACGCCAACGACUACUUCUACUUCUAUGACUAACGCGUUUAGCAAUAAAGUAAAGUAGUUUACAUGGCGUUCUUCAAUGACAGCAGGUCAUACAAUAAAUAAAGACAACUCCUAUGGCUCCUGCCGGUUGUCAUACUCAUCGACAUGCAAGUCGUGAAUCCUAUUACAAGAACAUGAUCAAUCUCAUACAUCACAUAUAUCAUCCAUCACAUCCUUUUGGCCAUAUCACAUCACAUAGCAUACCCUGCAAAAACAAGUUAGACGUCCUCUAAUUGUUGUUUGCAUGUUUUACGUGGCUGCUAUGGGUUUCUAGCAAGAACGUUUCUUACCUACGCAAAACCACAACGUGAUAUGCCAAUUGCUAUUUACCCUUCAUAAGGACCCAUUUCAUCGAAUCCGUUCCGACUAAAGUGGGAGAGACUGGCACCCGCUAGCCACCUUAUGCACCAAGUGCAUGUCAAUCGGUGGAACCUGUCUCACGUAAGAGUACGUGUAAGGUCGGUCCGGGCCGCUUCAUCCCACAAUACCGUCGAAACAAGAUUGGACUAGUAACGGUAAGCAUAUUGAACAACAUCAACGCCCACAACUACUUUGUGUGCUACUCGUGCAAAGAAUCUACGCAAUAGACCUAGCUCAUGAUGCCACUGUUGGGGAACGUAGCAGAAAUUCAAAAUUUUCCUACGUGUCACCAAGAUCUAUCUAUGGAGAGACCAGCAACGAGUAGAAAGAGAAUGCAUCUACAUACCCUUGUAGAUCGCUAAGCGGAAGCGUUCAAGUGAACGGGGUUGAUGGAGUCGUACUCGUCGUGAUUCAAAUCACCGAUGAUCAAGUGCCGAACGCACGGCACCUCCGCGUUCAACACACAUACAGCCCGUUGACGUCUCCCAAGCCUUGAUCCAGCAAGGAGAGAGGGAGAGGUUGAGGAAGACUCCAUCCAGCAGCAGCACAACGGCGUGGUGGUGGUGGAGGAGCGUGGCAAUCCUGCAGGGCUUCGCCAAGCACCGCGGGAGAGGAGGAGUACUUGUGAGAGGGGGAGGGCUGCGCCAGAACUUCGUCUGAAGCUCCCAUGCGUCUCCCCACUAUAUAUAGGGGUGGAGGGGCUGGUUUCUUGCCCUCCAAGUCCAUUGGGGCGUUGGCCAAGGUGGGAGGAAAGAAAUCCCAUCAUUUCCUUCCCCACCGAUUGUUAUCCCCCCUUUUUAGGGAUCUUGAUCUUAUCCCUUCGGGAUAUGAUCUUAUUCCUUCUAAGGGGGGAUCUUGGUGCGCCUUGACCAGGGGUGUGGGGCCUUGCCCCCACUACCCACGUUCAUGUGGGUCCCCCCAUGCAGGUGGGCCCCACUCCGGAACCUUCUAGAACCUUCCCGGUACAAUACCGAAAAAUCCCGAACAUUUUCCGGUGGCCAAAAUAGGACUUCCCAUAUAUAAAUCUUUACCUCUGGACCAUUCCAGAACUCCUCGUGACGUCCGGGAUCUCAUCCGGGACUCCGAACAACAUUCGGUAACCACAUACAAACUUCCUUUAUAACCCUAGCGUCAUCGAACCUUAAGUGUGUAGACCCUACGGGUUCGGGAGACAUGUAGACAUGACCGAGACGUUCUCCGGUCAAUAACCAACAGCGGGAUCUGGAUACCCAUGAUGGCUCCCACAUGUUCCAUGAUGAUCUCAUCGGACGAACCAUGAUGUCAAGGACUUAAUCAAUCCCGUAUUCAAUUCCCUUUGUCUAUCGGUAUGUUACUUGCCCGAGAUUCGAUCGUCGGUAUCCAAUACCUUGUUCAAUCUCGUUACCGGCAAGUCACUUUACUCGUUCCGUAACACAUCAUCCCGUGAUCAACUCCUUGGUCACAUUGCGCAUAUGAUGAUGUCCUACCGAGUGGGCCCAGAGAUACCUCUCUGUUUACACGGAGUGACAAAUCCCAGUCUCGAUCCGCAUAAAACAAUAGAUACUUUCGGAGAUACCUGUAGUGCACCUUUAUAGUCACCCAGUUACGUUGUGACGUUUGAUACACCCAGAGCACUCCUACGGUAUCCAGGAGUUACACGCUCUCAUGGUCAAAGGAAGAGAUACUUGACAUUGGCAAAGCUCUAGCAAACGAACUACACGAUCUUUGUGUUAGGCUUAGGAUUGGGUCUUGUCCAUCACAUCAUUCUCCUAAUGAUGUGAUCCCGUUAUCAACGACAUCCAAUGUCCAUAGCCAGGAAACCAUGACUAUCUGUUGAUCACAACGAGCUAGUUAACUAGAGGCUCACUAGGGACAUAUUGUGGUCUAUGUAUUCACACGUGUAUUACGAUUUCCGGAUAAUACAGUUAUAGCAUGAAUAAAAGACAAUUAUCAUGAACAAGGAAAUAUAAUAAUAACACUUUUAUUAUUGCCUCUAGGGCAUAUUUCCAACAAGCUCCUCAUUGGGUUCGACACUCUUACUUAUCGAAAGAGGCUACAAUUGAUCCCCUAUACUUGUGGGUUAUCAACUACGUCAGUAUUUCCCCAAAGAGGAAGGUAUGAUGCAGCACAACGGCGGUAGGUAUUUCCCUCAGAUAUGAAACCAAGGUUAUCGAACCAGUAGGAGAACCAAGCAACACAACGUAAACAACACCUGCACACAAAUAGCAAAUACUCGCAACCCGACGUGUUAAAAGGGUUGUCAAUCCCUUUCGGGCAACGACGCCAGAAAUUGGCACGUGGACGGGAGAUAGAUGUAAAUAUUGAUAGAUCAAACGCCAAAUAAAAUAAAGUGUAGAAAGGUAUUUUUAUAUUUUUGAAUUUAAUAGAUCUGAAAAUAAAAUAGAUCGCAAAGGCAAAUAAUAUGAGAAAGAGACCCGGGGGCCGUAGGUUUCACUAGUGGCUUCUCUCGAGAAAAAUAACAAACGAUGGGUAAAAAAAUUACUAUUGGGAAAUUAAUAGAACUUCAAAUAAUCAUGACGAUAUCCAGGCAAUGAUCAUUAUAUAGGCAUCACGUCCAAGAUUAGUAGACCGACUCCUGGCUGCAUCUACUACUAUUACUCCACACAUCUACCGCUAUCCAGCAUGCAUCUAGUGCAUUAAGUUCAUGGAGAAAUGGAGUAAUGCAAUAAGAACAAUGACAUGAUGUAGACUCUAUCUAUGUAGAGAUAUACCCCAUCGUUUUAUCCUUAGUAGCAAUGAUACAUACGUGUCGGUUCCCCUUCUGUCACUGGGAUUAAGCACCAUAAGAUCGAACCCACUACAAAGCACCUCUUCUCACUUCAAAAUAAAUAGAUCAAGUUGGCCAAACAAAACCCUAAUAUCGGACAAGAAAUAUGAGGCUAUAAGCAAUCAUGCAUGAAAGAGAUCAAAGGAACUCAAAUACUUUCAUGGAUAUAAAAAGAUAGAUCCGAUCAUAAAUUCAAAGUUCAUCCGAUCCCUGCAAACACACCGCAAAAAGAGUUACAUCAUAUGGAUCUCCAAAGGACCAUUGUAUUGAGAAUCAAACGAGAGAGAGGAAGCCAUCUAGCCACUAACUACGGACCCGAAAGUUUACAAAGAACUACUCACGCAUCAUCGGAGAGGCACCAAUGGAGGUGGUGAACCCCAUCUAUGGUGGUGCCUAUAUUGGAUCUGGUGGUUCUGGACUCUGCGGCAGCUGGAAUUGAUUUUCGUUGACUCCCCUAGGGUUUCUGAAAUAUUGGGGUGUUUAUAGAGCAAAGAGGCAGUCUGGGGGGCACCCGAGGUCGGCACAACCCACCAGGGCGCGCCUGGGCCUCCUGGCGCGCCCUGGUGGGUUGUGCUAUCCUUGGAGCACCCCCAGGUGCAGCCUUGGCCCAUUAGGUGUCUUCUGGUCCAUAAAAAAUCUCCGUAAAGUUUCGUUGCAUUUGGACUCCAUUUGGUAUUCAUUUUCUGUGAUGUAAAAAACAUGCAAAAAAUAGCAACUGACACUUGGUACUAUGUCAAUAGGUUAGUACCAAAAAUGAUAUAAAUGUUGGAAAUAUGCCCUAGAGGCAAUAAUAAAUUGGUUAUUAUUAUAUUUCCUUGUUCAUGAUAAUCGUUUAUUAUCCAUGCUAGAAUUGUAUUGAUAGGAAACUCAGAUACAUGUGUGGAUACAUAGACAACACCAUGUCCCUAGUAAGCCUUUAGUUGAGUAGCUCGUUGAUCAAUAGAUGGUUACGGUUUCCUGACCAUGGACAUUGGAUGUCGUUGAUAACGGGAUCACAUCAUUAGGAGAAUGAUGUGAUGGACAAGACCCAAUCCUAAGCAUAGCACAAGAUCGUGUAGUUCGCAUGCUAAAGCUUUUCUAAUGUCAAGUAUCAUUUCCUUAGACCAUGAGAUUGUGCAACUCCCGGAUACCGUAGGACUACUUUGGGUGUGCCAAACAUCACAACGUAACUGGGUGGCUAUAAAGGUGCACUACGGGUAUCUCCGAAAGUGUCUGUUGGGUUGGCACGAAUCAAGACUGGGAUUUGUCACUCUGUGUGACGGAGAGGUAUCUCUAGCCCACAUGGUAAGACAUCAUCAUAAUGUGCACAAUGUGAUCAAGGAGUUGAUCACGGGAUGAUGUGUUACGGAACGAGUAAAGAGACUUGCCGGUAACGAGAUUGAACAAGGUAUCGGGAUACCGACGAUCGAAUCUCGGGCAAGUACAAUACUGCUAGACAAAGGGAAUUGUAUACGAGAUUGAUUGAAUCCUCGACAUCGUGGUUCAUCCGAUGAGAUCAUCAUGGAACAUGUGGGGGCCAACAUGGGUAUCCAGAUCCCGCUGUUGGUUAUUGACCGGAGAGAACGUCUCGGUCAUGUCUGCAUGGUUCCCGAACCCGUAGGGUCUACACACUUAAGGUUCGAUGAUGCUAGGGUUAUAAAAGAAGUUUGUAUGUGGUUACCGAAUGUUUUUUGGAGUCCCGGAUGAGAUCCCGGACGUCACGAGGAGUUCCGGAAUGGUCCGGAGGUAAAGAUUUAUAUAUGGGAAGUCCUGUUUUGGUCACCGGAAAAGUUUCGGGGUUUAUCGGUAACGUACCGGGACCACCGGGAGGGUCCCGGGGGUCGACCAAGUGGGGCCACAAGCCCCGGAGGGCUGCAUGGGCCAAGUGUGGGAGGGGACCAGCCCCAGGUGGGCUGGUGCGCCCCCCCACAAGGGCCCAAGGUGCCUAAGGGGAGGAGUGGGCAAACCCUAAGGGCAGAUGGGCCUUAGGGCCCAUGCCUGGUGCGCCUCCCUCUCCCCUCCACCUGGCCGCCACCCAGAUGGGAUCUGGGGGCUGCCGCCACCCCUAGGGAGGGAACCCUAGGUGGGGGCGCAGCCCCUCCCAUCCCCCUAUAUAUACUUGAGGUUUGGGCUGCCCAAGACACACGAGUUCCUCUCCUUCUAGGCCCAGCCCUACCCCUCUCCCUCCUCGUCUCUUGCGGUGCUUGGUGAAGCCCUGCUAGAGUACCACGCUCCUCCACCACCACCACGCCAUUGUGCUGCUGCUGGAUGGAGUCUUCCUCAACCUCUCCCUCUCUCCUUGCUGGAUCAAGGCAUGGGAGACAUCGUCGGGCUGUACGUGUGUUGAACGCGGAGGUGCCGUCCGUUUGGCACUAGGAUCUCCGAUGAUUUGGAUCACGACGAGUACGACUCCUUCAACCCCGUUCUCUUGAAUGCUUCCGCUUAGCGAUCUACAAGGGUAUGUAGAUGCACUCUUCUUCUCUUCGUUGUUGGUUUCUCCAUAGAUAGAUCUUGGUGACACGUAGGAAAAUUUUGAAUUUCUACUACGUUCCCCAACAGUGGCAUCAUGAGCUAGGUCUAUGCGUAGUUACUAUGCAUGAGUAGAUCACAAAGUAGUUGUGGGCGUCGAUAUUGUCAAUUAUCUUACCGUUACUAGUCUUAUCUUGAUUCGGCGACAUCGUCGGAUGAAGCGGCCCGGACCAACCUUACACGUACGCUUACGUGAGACCGGUUCCACCGACUGACAUGCACUAGUUGCAUAAGGUGGCUGGCGGGUGUCUGUCUCUCCCACUUUAGUCGGAUCGGAUUCGAUGAACAGGGUCCUUAUGAAGGGUAAAUAGAAAUUGACAAUUCACGUUGUGGUUUUGGCGUUGGUAAGAAACGUUCUUGCUAGAAAACCUAUAGCAGCCACGUAAAAACUUGCAACAACAAUUAGAGGACGUCUAACUUGUUUUUGCAGCAAGUGUUUUGUGAUAUGAUAUGGCCAAAGGAUGUGAUGAAUGAUAUAUAUGUGAUGUAUGAGAUCAUGUUCUUGUAAUAGGAAUCACGACUUGCAUGUCGAUGAGUAUGACAACCGGCAGGAGCCGUAGGAGUUGUCUUUAUUUUUUGUAUGACCUGCGUGUCAUUGAGAAACGCCAUGUAAAUUACUUUACUUUAUUGCUAAACGUGUUAGCCAUAGUAGUAGAAGUAAUAGUUGGCGAGACAACUUCAUGAAGACACGAUGAUGGAGAUCAUGGUGUCAUGCCGGUGACGAUGAUGAUCAUGGAGCCCCGAAGAUGGAGAUCAAAAGGAGCAAUAUGAUAUUGGCCAUAUCAUGUCACUAUUUGAUUGCAUGUGAUGUUUAUCAUGUUUAUACAUCUUAUUUGCUUAGAACGACGGUAGUAAAUAAGAUGAUCCCUCAUUAAAAUUUCAAGAAAGUGUUCCCCCUAACUAUGCACCAUUACGAAAGUUCGUUGUUUCGAAGCACCACGUGAUGAUCGGGUGUGAUAGAUUCCAACGUUCACAUACAACGGGUGUAAGACAGAUUUACACAUGCAAACACUUAGGUUGACUUGACGAGCCUAGCAUGUACAGACAUGGCCUCGGAACACAGAAGACCGAAAGGUCGAACAUGAGUCGUAUAGAAGAUAUGAUCAACAUGAAGAUGUUCACCGAUGUUGACUAGUCCGUCUCACGUGAUGAUCGGACACGGCGUAGUUGACUCGGAUCAUGUAAUCACUUAGAUGACUAGAGGGAUGUCUAUCUAAGUGGGAGUUCAUAAGAUGAACUUAAUUAUCCUAAACAUAGUCAAAAGGUCUUCACAAAUUAUGUCGUAGCUCGCGCUUCAGUUCUACUGUUUAGAUAUGUUCCUAGAGAAAAUUUAGUUGAAAGAUGAUAGUAGCAAUUAUGCGGACUAGGUCCGUAAACUGAGGAUUGUCCUCAUUGCUUCAUAGAAGGCUUAUGUCCUUAAUGCACCGCUCAGUGUGCUGAGCCUCGAAUGUCGUCUGUGGAUGUUGCGAACAUCUGACAUACACAUUUUGAUAACUACGUGAUAGUUCAGUUAAACAGUUUAGAGUUGAGGUACGGAAGACGUUUUGAAACGUCGCGAAACAUAUGAGAUGUUUCGAGGGCUGAAAUUGGGAUUUCAGGCUCGUGCCCACGUCAAGAGGUAUAAGACCUUCAACGAUUUUCUUAGCCUGCAAACUAAGGGAGAAAAGCUCAAUUGUUGAGCUUGUGCUCAGAUUGUCUGAGUACAACAAUCAUUUGAAUCGAGUGGGAGUUGAUCUUCCAGAUGAGAUAGUGAUAUUUCUCCGAAGUCAUUACCACCAAGCUGCUAGAGCUUCAUGAUGAACUAUAAUAUAUCAGGGACAUAUAUGAUGAUCCUUGAGAUAUUCGCGAUGUUUGACACCACAAAAGUAGAAAUCAAGAAGGAGCAUCAAUUGUUGAUGGUUGGUGAAACCACUAGUUUCAAGAAGGGCAAGGGCAAAAAGGGAUGCUUCAUGAAACGGAAAAUCAGCUGCUGCUCUAGUGAAUAAACCCAAGGUUGAACCCAAACCCAAGACUAAGUGCUUCUGUAAUAAGGGGAAUAGCCACUGGAGCAGAAUUACCCUAGAUACUUGGUAGAUGAGAAGGCUGGCAAAGUCGAUAGAAGUAUAUUGGAUAUACAUUGUGUUAAUGUGUACUUUACUAGUACUCCUAGUAGCACCAUGGUAUUAGAUACCGGUUCGAUUGCUAAAUGUUAGUAAACUCAAAAUAAAAAGCUGCGGAGUAAACGGAGACUACCUAAAGGUGAGCUGGCGAUAUGUGUUGGAAGUUUUUCCCAAGCUUGAUGUGAUCAAGCAUUGCACGCUCCCUCUACCAUCGAGAUUGGUGCUUGCGUUGAGCAUAGACAUGAUUAGAUUAUGCCUGUCACAAUACGGUUAUUCAUUCAAGGAGAAUAAUGGUUACUCUGUUUAUUUGAAUAAUGCCUUCAAUGGUCUUGCACCUAAAAUGAAUGGUUUAUUGAAUCUCGAUCGUAGUGAUACACAUGUUCAUGCCAAAAAGAUAUAAGAUAGUAAUGAUAGUACCACCUACUUGUGGCACUGCCACGUAAGUCAUAUCGGUAUAAAACGCAUGAAGAAGCUCCAUGUUGAUGGAUCUUUGGGCUCACUCGUUUUGAAAAGUUUGAGACAUGCGAACCAUGUCUAUUGGUGUAUAUGCAUGAAGAUACUCCAUGCAAAUGGACCGUUUGGACUCACUUGAUUUUGUAUCACCUGAGACAUGCAAAUCAUACCACAUGGGCAAGAUGACUGAAAGCCUCGUUUUCAGUAAAAUGGAACUAGAAAACAACUUGUUGGAAGUAAUACAUUUUGAUGUGUGCAGUCCAAUGAGUGCUGAGGCGUGUAGUGGAUAUCGUUAUGUUCUUACUUCACAAAUGAUUUGAGUAGAUGUUGAGUAUAUUUACUUGAUGAAUCACGAGUCUGAAUUAUUGAAAGGUUCUAGUAAUUUCAAGGUGAAGUUGAAAGAUCGUCGUGACAAGAGGAUAAAAUAUCUAUGAUAUGAUCAUAGAGAUGAAUAUCUGAAUUACGAGUUUGGCACAGAAUUAAGAUAUUGUGGAAAUUGUUUCACAACUAAUACAACCUGGAACACCAUAGUGUGAUGGUGUGUCCGAACAUCAUAACUGCACCCUAUUGGAUAUGAUGCACACCAUGAUGUCUCUUAUCGAAUUACCAUGAUAGUUUAUGGGUUAGGCAUUAGAGACAACCACAUUCACUUUAAAUAGGGCACCACGUAAUUCCGAUGAGAUGACACCGUAUGAACUAUGAUUUAGAGAAACCUAAGCUGACAUUUCUUAAAAGUUUGGGGCUGCGACGCUUAUGUGAAAAAGUUUCAGGCUGAUAAGCUCGAACCCAAAGCGGAUAAAUGCAUCUUCAUAGGACACCCAAAACAGUUGGGUAUACCUCCUGUCUCAGAUCCGAAAGCAAUAAGGGAUUAUUUCUAGAAUCGGGUCCUUUCUCGAGGAAAAGUUUCUCUCGAAAGAAUUGAGUGGGAGGAUGGUGGAGACUUGAUGAGGUUAUUGAACCGUCACUUUAACUAGUGUAUAGUAGGGCACAAAGAGUUGUUCCUGUGGCACCUACACCAAUUGAAGUGGAAGCUUAUGAUAUUGAUCAUGAGACUUCGGAUCAAGUCACUCCCAAACCUCGUAGGAUGACAAGGAUGCGUACUACUUCAGAGUGAUACGUAAUCCUGUCUUGGAAGUCAUGUUGCUAGACAACAAUGAACCUACAAGCUAUGGAGAAGCGAUGGUGGGCCCAGAUUCCGAUAAAUGGCUCGAGGCCAUAAAAUCCGAGAGAGGAUCCAUGUAUGAAAACAAAGUGUAGACUUUGUCAAAACGGCUCGAUGGUCGUAAGGCUGUUGAGUACAGAUGGAUUUUUAAAAGGAAGACGGACAAUGAUGGUAAAUGUCACCAUUAAGAAAGCUCGAAUUGUCAUUAAGAUGUUUUGCGACAAGUUCAAGGAGUUGACUACGAUGAGACUUUCUCACUCGUAGCGAUGCUAAGAGUCUGUUGGAAUUAUAUUAGCAUUAUUUAUGAAAUCUUGCAGAUAGGAUGUCAAACAUUGUUUCCUCGACGAUUUUCUUGAGGAAAGGUUGUAUGUGAUACAACCGGAAGGUUUUGUCAAUCCUGAAAGAUGCUAAUAAGUAUGCAAAGCUCCAGCAAUCCUUCUAAGGACUGGAGUAAGCAUCUCGGAGUUGGAAUGUACGCUUUGAUGAGAUGAUCAAAGAUUUUGGGUUUAUACAAAGUUUAUGAGAAACUUGUAUUUCGAAAGAAGUGAGUGGGAGCACUAUAGAAUUUCUGAUGAGUAUAUGUUGUUGACAUAUUGUCGAUCAGAAAUGACGUAGAAUUUCUGGAAAGCAUAUAGGGUUAUUUGAAAAGUGUUUUUCAAUGGAAAGCCUGGAUUAAGCUACUUGAACAUUGAGCAUCAAGAUCUAUAAGGAUAGAUCAAAAACUCUUAAUGGUACUUUCAAAUGAGCACAAUCCUUGACAUGAUCUUGAAGGUGUUCAAGAUGGAUCAGUCAAAGAAGGAGUUCUUGCCUGAGUUGUAAGGUAUGAAGUUAAGACUUAAAGCUCGACCACGGCAGAAGAAAGAGGAAGGACGAAGGUCGUCCCCUAUGCUUUUGUCAUAGGCUCUAUACGGUAUGCCAUGCUGAGUACCGCACCUGAUGUGUGCCUUGCCACAUAUCUGGCAAGAGGGUACAAAGGUAAUCUAGGAGUAGAUCACCAGAUAGCGGUCUAAAUUAUUCUUAGAGGAAUAAGGAUAUAUUUCUUGGUUAUGGAGGUGAUAAAGAGUUCGACGUAAAGAGUUACGUUGAUGCAAGCUUAACACCUAUCCGGAUAGCUCUGAGUAGAGAUACCGGAUAUGUAUAAUGGAGCAACAAUUUAGAAUAGCUCCAAGUAGAAUAGUUAUUUGAAAUGGCUCCAAAUGUAGCGUAGUAGUUGCAUCUACAAGAUGACUUAGAAAUUUGCGAAGUACAUACGGAUCUGAAUGCUGCAGACCCGUUGACUGAAACCUCUCUCACAAGCAUAACAUGAUCAAACCCAGAACUCUUGGGUGUUAGUCACAUGGGGAUGUGACCUUGAGUGUUAAUCACAUAUCGAUGUGAACUGGAUUAUUGACUCUAGUGCAAGUGGGAGACUGUUGGAAAUAUGCCCUAGAGGCAAUAAUAAAUUGGUUAUUAUUAUAUUUCCUUGUUCAUGAUAAUCGUUUAUUAUCCAUGCUAGAAUUGUAUUGAUAGGAAACUCAGAUACAUGUGUGGAUACAUAGACAACACCAUGUCCCUAGUAAGCCUCUAGUUGACUAGCUCGUUGAUCAAUAGAUGGUUACGGUUUCCUGACCAUGGACAUUGGAUGUCGUUGAUAACGGGAUCACAUCAUUAGGAGAAUGAUGUGAUGGACAAGACCCAAUCCUAAGCAUAGCACAAGAUCGUGUAGUUCGCAUGCUAAAGCUUUUCUAAUGUCAAGUAUCAUUUCCUUAGACCAUGAGAUUGUGCAACUCCCGGAUACCGUAGGACUACUUUGGGUGUGUCAAACAUCACAACGUAACUGGGUGGCUAUAAAGGUGCACUACGGGUAUCUCCGAAAGUGUCUGUUGGGUUGGCACGAAUCAAGACUGGGAUUUGUCACUCCGUGUGACGGAGAGGUAUCUCUGGGCCCACUCGGUAGGACAUCAUCAUAAUGUGCACAAUGUGAUCAAGGAGUUGAUCACGGGAUGAUGUGUUACGGAACGAGUAAAGAGACUUGCCAGUAACGAGAUUGAACAAGGUAUCGGGAUACCAACGAUCGAAUCUCGGGCAAGUACAAUACUGCUAGACAAAGGGAAUUGUAUACGGGAUUGAUUGAAUCCUCGACAUCGUGGUUCAUCCGAUGAGAUCAUCGUGGAACAUGUGGGGGCCAACAUGGGUAUCCAGAUCCCGCUGUUGGUUAUUGACCGGAGAGAACGUCUCGGUCAUGUCUGCAUGGUUCCCGAACCCGUAGGGUCUACACACUUAAGGUUCGAUGACGCUAGGGUUAUAAAGGAAGUUUGUAUGUGGUUACCGAAUGUUGUUUGGAGUCCCGGAUGAGAUCCCGGACGUCAUGAGGAGUUCUGGAAUGGUCCGGAGGUAAAGAUUUAUAUAUAGGAAGUCCUGUUUUGGUCACCGGAAAAGUUUUGGGUUUAUCGGUAACGUACCGGGACCACCAGGAGGGUCCCAGGGGUCGACCAAGUGGGGCCACAAGCCCCGGAGGGCUGCAUGGGCCAAGUGUGGGAGGGGACCAGCCCCAGGUGGGCUGGUGCGCCCCCCACAAGGGCCCAAGGCGCCUAAGGGAAGGAGGGGGGGGGCAAACCCUAAGGGCAGAUGGGCCUUAGGGCCCAUGCCUGGUGCGCCUCCCUCUCCCCUCCACCUGGCCGCCACCCAAAUGGGAUCUGGGGGCUGCCGCCACCCCUAGGGAGGGAACCCUAGGUGGGGGCGCAGCCCCUCCCAUACCCCUAUAUAUACUUGAGGUUUGGGCUGCCCAAGACACACGAGUUCCUCUCCUUCUUGGCACAGCCCUACCCCUCUCCCUCUUCGUCUCUUGCGGUGCUUGGCGAAGCCCUGCUGGAGUACCAUGCUCCUCCACCACCACCACGCUGUUGUGCUGCUGCUGGAUGGAGUCUUCCUCAACCUCUCCCUCUCUCCCUGCUGGAUCAAGGCAUGGGAGACGUCAUCGGGCUGUUCGUGUGUUGAACGCGGAGGUGCCGUCUGUUCGGCACUACGAUCUCCGGUGAUUUGGAUCACGACGAGUAUGACUCCUCCAACCCCGUUCUCUUGAACGCUUCCGCUUAGCGAUCUACAAGGGUAUGUAGAUGCACUCUCCUUCCCUUCGUUGCUGGUUUCUCCAUAGAUAGAUCUUGGUGACACGUAGGAAAAUUUUGAGUUUCUGCUACGUUCCCCAACAAUAAAAUGACUAUAAAAUGAUUAUAAAACAUCCAAGAUUGAUAAUAUAACAGCAUGAAACAAUAAAAAAUUAUAGAUACGUUGGAUACGUAUCAGCAUCCCCAAGCUUAACUCCUACUCGUCCUCGAGUAGGUAAGUGAUAAAAACAGAAUUUUUGAUGUGGAAUGCUGCCUAACAUGUCAUAUCAUAAUCUUUUCUUUAUAGCAUGGACAUUUGGACUUCUAUAUUGUUCAGAGCAAUUGUCUAGUUUGGACAUGAUAACUUAAAUACUCAAGCAUAUCAACAAGUAACCAUGUCUUUCAAAAUAUAAACGCUAAAAUAAGCUAUCCUAGCCCAUCACGCUCAAUCAUUGAUCUAUUCAUGAAACACACUCACAUAUUAACUACACCCAAUGCUCAAGUACGAUCAUAUUGCAUCCUAGUUGGUGCUUUUAUAAGAGAGUAUGGAGACUCUAAUUCAAAAAUAAAAAAUUCAUAAAGUAAAAGAAAUGCCCUUCGCAGAGGGAAGUAGGGAUUUGUAGAGGUGCCAGAGUUCAUGGUGAAAAACUUAGAGAUAAAAACAUUUUGGGAGGUGUAUCCUUCCCACCAACGAAAACGACUUAGAGUUCCCAACACUUUCCAUGCUAGAUAUAUCAUAGGCGGUUCCCAAACAGAAAAUAAAGUUUAUUCCUUUUUUCACCAUACUUUCACUUUCCAUGGCUAGCCGUAUCCACGGUUGCCUUCCAUACCAACACUUUCCAAGGAAUAUUAUUUGACAACAUAAAGUAAAUUCAUUUUUCAUUUCGGGAUUGGGCAUCCCUAAUAUCUUUGCCUUACUCUCGUGCAAUGACAAGUGCAUAAACACUCAUCGUGAGAAUAACACAUCUAGCAUGGAAAUAUUAGCCACCACUCACCGCUCCGUGAGCGGUACAAACACACAAAAGGGAAGUUUAUUUUGAAAAUUAGAGAUGGCACAAACAAAUUUUCUUAGAACGGCAAAAGAAUACCGCAUACAGGUAGAUAUAGUGGACUCAUGUGGCAAAACUAGUUUAAAGGUUUUUGGAUGCACAAGUUGUGGUCAUACUUAGUGCAAAAUGUAGGCUAGCAAAAGAUUGAGAAGCGACCAACCAAGAAAUGAAUAAUCUCACAAGCGAGCAUUAAGCAUAAUUAACACCGAAUAAUGCACCAAAAGUAGGAUAUAAUUUCAUUGCAUAAUUAUUGACUUUCGUGCUUGCAUAGGGAAUCACAAACCUUAACACCAAUAUUCUUAGUAAAGCAUAAUUACUCAUCAACAUGACUCGCAUAUCACCUCAUCAUAUCUCAAAACUAUUACUAAGAAUCAAGUUUAUUUUGUCCAAUGAUCUUCGUGAAAGUUUUUAUUAUAUCAUUCUUGGAUAUCUAUCACUUUGGAACUAAUUUUCAUAUGUUGCUUUUGAUAAGCUCAAACAAAUAUAAGUGAAGAUCAUGAGCAUAAUAUUUCUUUCUCUCAAAUUAAUUUAAGUGAAGCAAGAGAUACUUUGUUGAAAAUUAUAUUAACUCUCAAAUAAAUCUAAGUGAAGCAAGAGAGCAUUUCUUCAAAAAUACUAAAUCACACCGUGCUCAAAAAGAUAUAAGUGAAGCACUAGAGCAAGUCCAUAGGUCAUAAAAAGUUUAAGUGAAGCAUAGAGAGCAAUUCUAACAAAUCAUGACAUGAUUAUGGCUUUCUCAAAUAGGUGUGUACAUAAAGGAAUCAAGACUUAAAACACAAAAUAAAACAAGCAAAGACUCAUAUCAUACAAGACGCUUCAAGCAAAACACAUAGUAUGUGACGAAUAAAAAUAUAGCUUCGAGUAAAAUACCGAUGAUCGUUAGAAGAAAGAGGGGAUGCCACUCGGGGCAUCCCCAAGCUUAGUUGCUUGCUCUCUUUUGGAUAAUAACUUGGGAUUCUGGGGCAUCCCCAAGCUUAGGCUCUUAUUACUCCUUACUCCUUCAUCUAUCAUAAGAUAACCCAAAACUUGAAAACUUCAAUCACACAAAACUCAACAAAAGCUUCAUGAGAUCCGUUAGUAUAAGAAAAUAAAUCACUACUAUAAGUACUGUAUAAAACCAAUUCAUAUUUUUUCUUGCAUUAUAUCUACUGUAUUCCAACUUUUCUAUGGCAAUAACUCAUCAAAGAAAACCAUAGAGCCAUCAAAACAAGCAUACAACGCAAAGAAAACAGAAUCUGUCAAAACAGAACAGUCUGUAGCAAUCUGACUAUUUCAAAUACUUCUGUAACUUCAAAAACUCUGAAAAAUUAGGAAAACCUAAGAAAUUUGUAUAUUGAUCUACUUCAAAAGGAAUGGGUAUUUUAUUGCUCUCUGGUUAAAAACGAGAAUUAUUUUCGUGAGCGCAAAAGUUUCUGUUUUGUCAGCAAGAUCAAACAACUAUCACCCAAGAAGAUCCUAACGGUUUUACUUGGCACAAACACUAACUAAAACAUAAAAAACAUAAUAAUAACAGUAGAAUAAUUGUGCAAACACUCAAGAAUAGAAAGCAAAAAAAGAAAAAAAAUAUUCAUUGGGUUGCCUCCCAACAAGCGCUAUAGUUUUAUGCCCUAAGCUAGGCAUAAAGCAAGGAUCUAAGUUUUGUCAUCUUUGUUUUGAGAUCCAUAAGAUGCCCUCAUGACUGAUUCAUAUGGUGGCCUAAUUCUUGUUCUAGAGAACUGUUCCAUACCCUUCCUCAAGGGAAAUUGGAACUUAAUAUUGCCUUCUUUCACAUCAAUCACGACACCGAUAGUGCGUAAAAACGGUCUACCAAGAAUAACUGGGCAAGACGGAUUGCAAUCAAUAUCAAGAACAAUAAAAUCUAUGGGCACAUAAUUUCUAUUUGCAAGAAUAAGAACAUCAUUAAUUCUUCACAUGGUCUUUUUAAUAGUAGAAUCUGCCAAGUGCAAAUUCAAAGAGCAUGAUUCAAGAUCGGUAAGACCAAGCACAUCACAUAAAUAUUUCGGAAUAGUAGAAACACUAUCACCCAAGUCACACAAAGCAAAACACUCAUAAUUUUUAAUCUUGACUUUGAUAGUAGGUUCCCAUUCAUCAUGCAAUUUUCUAGGAAUUGAAACUUCUAAUUCCUAUUUUUCUUCAAAAGCUUUCAUCAUAGCAUCAAUGAUAAGUUUAGUAAAAGAUUUAUUUUGUUCAUAAGCAUGGGGUGAAUUUAUCAUGGAUUGCAACAAAGAAAUACAAUCAAUCAAAGAGCAACUAUCAUAAUUAAAGUGUUUGUAAUCCAAAAGAGUGGGCACAUCACUAGUUAAAGUUUUGACCUCAUCAAACCCACUUUUAUCAAUUUUCUCAACGAGAUUUUAACCCUCCGAAUUAUCGGGACGCCUUAUAACUAAAGUUGACUCUUCUCCAGUCCCUUUUUCAUCAAUCUUAACUUUACUAAACAAGGAAUCAAUAGAAGAAACACAAAUCAUUUUAAGAUCUUCAUCACUUUUACGAAAGUAAUCACUAGAAAACUCUUUUUCUAAAAAUUCUCUUUUAGCUCUAAGCAUAGUGGUUCUUUUCUUACUUUCAUCCAUACAAACAUAAAGAGCUUUAAUUGAUUCAUCAACCUUAGGCACAAAAAUUUUAAUCUUGAGAUUUUCCACAUCAUGAGAAAUUCUAUCAACACUUCUAGACAAAUCAUCAAUCUUAUUCAACUUUUCUUCUAUGGAGGUGUUGAAAACUUUUUGCAUGCUGACAAAUUAUUUAAUAUUAUUCUCAGGAUUAAAGGUGUUCCUAUUAUUAUAAGAAGGAUUUCCAUAGGAAUUACCAUAAUUAAUAGAGGAAUUACUAGGGAAAGGCUUAGGAUUAAAAGUACCUCUAUAAACAUUAUUGUUGAAAUUAUUUCGAGAGAUAAAAUUCACAUAUAUGGCAUCACUAUUUUGCUCAAUCAAAGUAGACAAAGGCAUAUCAUUAAAAUCAAUUGGAGCACUUUUACUAGUAACCAAUUUCAUAAGAGCAUCAACUUUUUCACUCAAGGAAGAAAAUUUCUUCAACCGAAUUAACUUUUUUUUUCUAGUAGGAGCUCUUUUGGUAUGCCAUUGCGAAUAAUUUGCCAUAAUAUUAUCAAGAAAUUUGGUGGCUUCACCCAAAGUAAUUUCCACAAAAGUACCACCCGCGACAGAAACUAAAAGAUUAUGAGAAACAAAAUUCAAUCCCGCAUAAAAAUUCAAUUCCUUAGCAUCAUUUUCAUCCUUUCCCAAGAUUGUGCAACAUGCUCAUGUUCAAGUUUCUUGAAAUUCAUGAUCUAGGUUCUAAGGGAAAUAAUUUUUGCGGACGGAAAAUACUUAGUGAUAAAAGUAUCUUUGCACUUAUUCCAAGAAUCGAUACUAUUGCGAGGCAAAGAUAACCGAUUUUUUUAGAAUCACGCAAAGAAAACGGAAAUAAUUUUAUCUUCACAACAUCAUUGUGCACAUCUUUUUUGUUUUGCAUAUCGCAUAAUUCCACGACGGUAUUGAGAUGGUACGCGACAUCCUCAUUAGGAGUAUUGGAAAAUUGAUCUUUCAUAACAAGAUUCAACAAAGCAGUAUUAAUAUCACAAGACUCCGCACUAGUGGUGGGAGGAGAAAUCGGAGUGCCAAUAAAAUCAUUGUUGUUGGUAUUUGAGAAAUCACACAACUUGGUGUUCUCUUGAGUCAUGGUGACUACUGAACAAGAUUGCACUCAAAAACAGAUCCAGCAAGAAAACGGCGAACGAAAAAGAGAGGCGAAUAAAAUGACAAAUUUUUGUGAAGUGGGGGAGAGGAAAACGAGAGGCAAAUGGCAAAUAAUGUAAAUUGGGAGGAGAUGAAAUUUGUGAUUAGGAACCUGGUAUAUGUUGACGAUGCUCCCCGACAACUGCGCUAGAAAUUCCUUUUAAUGUCGCUUGAAGCUAUGUCGGUAUUUCCCCAAAGAGGAAGGGAUGAUGCAGCACAUCGGCGGUAGGUAUUUCCCUCAGAUAUGAAACCAAGGUUAUUGAACCAGUAGGAGAACCAAGCAACACAACAUAAACAACACCUGCACACAAAUAACAAAUACUCGCAACCCGACGUGUUAAAGGGGUUGUCAAUCACUUUCGGGUAACGGCGCAAAAAAUUGGCACGUGGAUGGGAGAAAGUUGUAAAUAUUGAUAGAUCGACGCCAAAUAAAAUAAAGUGCAACAAGGUAUUUUUGUAUUUUUCGAUUUAAUAGAUCUAAAAAUAAAAGGCAAAUAAAAUAGAUCGCAAAGACAAAUAAUAUGAGAAAGCGACCCGGGGGGCAUAGGUUUCACUAGUGGCUUCUCUCGAGAAAAAUAGCAAACAGUGGGUAAACAAAUUACUAUUGGGAAAUUUAUAGAACUUCAAAUAAUCAGGAUGAUAUCCAGGCAAUGAUCAUUAUAUAGGCAUCACAUCCAAGAUUAGUAGACCGACUCCUGCCUACAUCUACUACUAUUACUCCACACAUCGACCGCUUUCCAGCAUGCAUCUAGUGUAUUAAGUUCAUGGAGAAACGGAGUAAUGCAAUAAGAACGAUGACAUGAUGUAGACAAGAUCUACCUAUGUAGAGAUAGACGCCGUCGUUUUAUCCUUAGUAGAUACGACACAUACGUGUCGGUUCCCCUUUUGUCACUGGGAUCAAGCACCGUAAGAUCGAACCCACUACAAAGCACCUCUUCCCAUUGCAAGAUAAAUAGAUCAAAUUGGCCAAAUAAACCCUAAAUAUCGGAGAAAAAAUACGAGGCUAUAAGCAAUCAUGCAUGAAAGAGAUCAAAGAAACUCAAAUACUUUCAUGGAUAUAAAAAUCCGAUCAUAAAUUCAAAGUUCAUCCGAUCCCAACAAACACACCGCAAAAAGAGUUACAUCAUAUGGAUCUGCAAAAGACCAUUGUAUUGAGAAUCAAACGAGAGAGAGAGAGAGGAAGUCAUCUAGCUACUAACUACGGACCCGAAGGUCUACAAAGAACUACUCAUGCAUCAUCGGAGAGGCACCAAUGGAGGUGGUGAACCCCAUCCGUGAUGGUCUCUAGAUUGGAUCUUCUGGACUCUGCGUCGGCUGGAAUUGAUUUUUGUCGACUCCCCUAGGGUUUCUGGAAUAUUGCGGUAUUAUUUGAGCAAAGAGGCGGUCCGAGGGGCACCCGUGGUGGGCACAACCCAGCAGGGCACGUCUGGGCCUCCUGGCGCGCCCUGGUGGGUUGUGCUCUCCUCGGAGCUCCCCCGGGGCGCAGGCUUGGCCCAUUAGGUGUCUUCUGGUCCAUAAAAAAUCUCCGUAAAGUUUCGUUGCAUUUGGACUCCGUUUGGUAUUGAUUUUCUGCGAUGUAAAAAACAUGCAAAAAAUAGCAACUGGCACUUGGCGCUAUGUUAAUAGGUUAGUACCAAAAAAUGAUAUAAAAUGACUAUAAAAUGAUUAUAAAACAUCCAAGAUUUAUAAUAUAACAACAUGGAACAAUAAAAAAUUAUAGAUACGUUGGAUACGUAUGUGUGAUGUCCCAUGUCCCAUUAGCCAUGAUGGAAUCCAUCUCCCUAUGGACCGCAUCCUUCCAUUAGUCAGCUUCUGGAGAGGCAUACGCUUCUGAAAUAGAAGUGGGAGUAUCAUCCACGAGGUAGACGAAGAAAUCAUCACCAAAGGUCUUUGCAGUCCUUUGUCUCUUGCCCCUACCAAGGGUUUCCUCAUCAUCCUCCUCGGGAUUUUCAUCAUGUGUUCGUUCAUAAUAUUCCAUAGGAAUGGCAGGCUCAGGAGUAUCCUUAGAUUCCUGUUUAGAAGUGCUUUGCAUAUCUCUCAUAGAAAAAAUAUCCUCGAAGAAUGUAGCAUCCUUAGACUCCAUAAUUGUACCGACCUUCUGGUCAGGUACCCCAGAUUUCACUACUAGAAAUCUAUAGCCAACGAUGUUCUUAGCUUAUCCCAAAUUAACGCAGUCCAUAGUCUUGGGUCCAAGCUUACGCUUUUUGGGGAUCGGCACAUUGACUUUCGCCAAACAGCCCCAAGUAUGCAAGUACGAGAGUGUUGUCCUUCUCUUCGCCCAUUUCUUAUAGGUAGUAAUCUCAUUAUCGUUUGUCAGAACUUUAUGCAGGACAUGACAUGCCGUCAAUAUAGCCUCCCCCACCAUGCCUUGGAUAAACCUGAUGUAUCUAACAUGGCGUUAACCAAAUCAGUUAGAGUAUGGUUUUUUCGCUCGGCAACCCCGUUUGACUGGGGUGAAUAGGGAGACGUCCUCUCAUGAAUAAUUCCGUGUUCCGCACAAAAGGAAUCAAACUCACUCGAGAAGUACUCUCCACCACGAUCUGACCAGACUCGUUUAAUUUUGUUUUCAAGUUGAUUCUCAACUUCUGUCUUAUCGAUUUUAAAGUAAUGUAGAGCCUCAUCUUUAGUAUUUAACAUAUACACAUAGUAAUAUCUAGUGGAAUUAUAUAUCAAUGUCAUGAAGUAUUUCUUUUCACCUUUAGUCAACACACCAUUCAUCUCACAAAGAUCAGAAUGUAUGAGUUCUAAUGGUGCCAAGUGUCUCUCCUCCGCAGCCUUGUGAGGCUUGCGAGGUUGCUUAGCUUGCACACAUGAAAGGCACUUAGAACCAUUGGCUAAAGUGAAAUUCAGGAUUAAAUCCAACUUAGAUAGCCGCGUCAUAACAUCGAAACUAAUGCGACAAAGACAUGAAUGCCAAACUUCAGAUUCAUUAACACUCGAAUGAAUAUGGUUCACGACUUUAUUACAAAAAUCUGCGAGGGAAAGGUGGAACAUCCCUCUGCUCUCAUAACCUUUUCCAACAAAUAGUCCAUAUUUAGUAACAACUAAUUUAUUAGACUCGAAGACCAACUUAAACCCUUCUCUACAUAGAAGGAAGCCACUAACGAGGUUCUUCUUGAUGGCGGGGACAUGCUGCACGAUCUUUCCCGAAGUAAACUUCAGAUCGACCGUGCCAACACCAUGAACAGAAGCACUCACGCCAUUCCCCAUCAAUACGAACCCGUGGCUUGUGACCUGGUAAGAAGUGAACAAUGAAAUGUUAGCGCACACAUGAACACCGGCACAUGUGUCCACCCACCAAUCGGUGGGCUGAAACACUGAAAAAACAGUAAAUAAAUUACGGUACCCAGAUGCACCAUUCUCAUUGUUGCCCAUAAUCAUGUUGACAGACUUGGAGUCCUGUCCUGAUUUGUUAAACUUGUUUGGGCAUUUAUUGGCCCAAUGUUCAACCGAACCACAAGUAAAGCAUCCCUCAUCCUUCUUGUUCUUCUUGAAGAACUUCUUACCCUUCUUCUUAAAGUCGGUAUUGUGUUGGACACCGUUCUUUCCCUUAGUCUUGUGGGAGUUGAAAUUCCACUGGUUCACCAUGUUGGCGACAGAAGUCCCUUCGGCCCCUUUUUCGCGCGAGUCCUUUGCCCUUGAAUUCUGCUCAACACUCAGAUGGGCAAUGACAUCCUCCACUGAUAAUUCACGCCUCUGAUGUUUCAGAGUGGUGGCAAAGUUCCUCCAGGAAUUAGGGAGCUUAGUGAUUAUGCAGCCUGCGACAAACUUGCCCGGUAAAUCGCACUUAAGAAGCUCAAGCUCCUUAACGAUGCAUAUUAUCUCAUGAGCCUGCUCUAGUACAGGACGGUUUUCAUGGAACUGCUCUAUAACAUACAUUUCGCUCCCAGCACCGGUUUCCCCGAACUUAGAUUCGAGUGCCUCCCAUAAGUCCUUGGCGACAUGCACAUGUAAAUAUGCGUCAACCAGUUUAUCUCCGAUCAUGCUAAGAACUGCUCUGAGAAACACGACGGUGGCCUCCCUGAACGCCUUCUCCCGUUCAGGAGCAAUCGUUCUCGUGGGCACACCGGUGACCCAGAAUACGUUCAUAGCCGUGAGCCAUAAAGUGGUCUUAGUCCCCCAACACUUAAAGUAUGUACCGGUAAACUUAUUCAGUUUCAGUGCAACGGCAAAGCCACUUGCCGAAAAAUUCCUACACAUAAUAGGUUCUUGGAUUGCCGAGUAAAGAGGCAAGUUUUUGACUAAUUUAAUCCAUAGAUAAAUCACUAGCAUGGCAUUGACGAAAUUAAUGACAUACUGAUUCUGAUCUAAACAAACAUGUACUACACAAACAAACAGUAGACACAUCUAUACAUAUUAGUACUGCUAAUAAGAAAAUAAACAAGAGCGGAAUAAACGUGUUAUACCUCUAGUAGGCCAGGCAGAAGCCGCGGCGGCGGUGGCAGAAGCAUCCUCGGUGGCCUUCUUGUCGGCCUCGAGCUUCUCGGCAGCGAGACGGUCGGCGUCGGGCUGAGACAUGAUGAUGAUGAAAUGACACGGACGUAGAGGAAGUAGUGGAUCGAAAGCGAGCAGUCGAGUAGUCUCUUUCCAAAAACCUAUUCGCCCCUCUCCCGUACAGGAACCGGAGGGGCGGGGUUUCAGAGAUCUGCUCUCCCGUCGACCGUGUACGCGGCGGACGGGACAGAGUCACCGGCGGCAACAGCAGCAAAGGAACAACGGUGUGCGUGCGCCUGGAGCAGAUGUGAUCUGUUCGUGGCGGCUAGGGUUAGGAGACACCUCACACUUAUAUAGGCGCAGCCGCGUGGAGAGACGUGGGCUCGACCCACAUCCGAGUCCAUGACAGCCCACAAUCCAACAUCUUAGAUCGUGACCCAGCUGUCAGAAACUCACCGUUAGUGACUGACAAAAAUAAGCGCGUAGGUGUGAGCUCGGCUCAUUCCCGUGGCGUGGCAUGGCGGGCGGCCGAGGAGGAGUGCGCGAGGGCCUCUUCUAUUCUCAAGCUCCAAUAGCAUGUAGAAGAGAAACCCUUAUAAGGAGGUCCAACUCCUCUCCAACUUCCGGGGCGGGACUAAACUUCCCACUACAUCUAGUGCCAAUAAACCCACAUGGGCACUUAGAGACUUUCAGAAAUUGCUAGAUGGGCCUAAAGCCCACCCCAAAUUUUAGCACUCCUACUAGAUCAUCGAUGGCUGGUUUGCCACCCCCGUUUUUUUUUCAGUACAAUGGUAUGAAAUUUCGUAAAUAUAUGAUGAUAUGAAAUGUUGUUGUUAAAUAAUACUUCGUCCUUUUCGGUUUAAAGGGCUCAUCUCAAAAUUUCCAAAUUUUCAAUAUAUUAGGCUCACUUUGUGUCCAACUGAGUUAAAGUACUUUGAGUCUUACACCACAUUAAUUCAUAGGGAUAAGAGAAAGGGAAUUAGCGAUCAUGCAUCUUAUUCUGCAUGCACCAUGCAAGUCCAGUAAAAGGUAGGGUGCUACACUUAGUGCUUCAGGAAUCAAAUAUGCGGGAAAUAUUUCAUUAGGCAGUUUUGUAUUCACAAAACUCGUGCCAUCUACUCACAAUCUACCUUAGUUGACGAGAUUUCACAUUUGAGUCCUCUAAACCGGAAAGGAGAGAGUAUGAAAUAAGUUGCUUAGAAUUUGAGGACAACGAACUAAAUAAUUUCACUAAAAUCUGAUUCUAACCGGCUAGGAGUUUUAGCUACAACAUCGUACUGUGAUAAACCAACCAGACAUUGUACAAUCAGCCUUAAACAAUCUCCGUUGGCACUAAAAUCGGAAAUGUACACAUCGACUUAUUUAAUCUUGGAAAUUGCUUCACACACGACACUACUCGCAUGACCUGCAGAUGAUAGCAUCAGCAAGGGAAAAAACAAUUCCUCUCCUGCCUGCAUCCUUGCUGUUGGUGCUGCGAUCGUGCAUGCAUCGGCCGUAAUAUAUCGUGUGUAUAGCAGCAUUCUUUGAUCUUUGUUUUUAUUAUUUAAUUUGAUGGUUGCUCAUUGUUCUUGCCCAACAUAAGACACACUUGUUGUUGAUUUUCCUAUAUUGACAUCUCAUUGGAAGUUUAUCAAUUGGUCGUUUCGUAAACCAUGGUCCUUGCUCAUAAACUGAUUUGACCUAUUUCAGAAUGGAAAUAAAUAUUUUAAAAGGGAUGAUAAAUUGGUGAAAGUAAAGUAAUUUAUUUUUAAAUACAAGACAAUUAUAUUGAUCACAGACCAUUGCAAAUUAAGAAUACUAAUAGCCAAAAAAGACCUAAUCAUGAUAUGCAUAUUAGCGAAAAGUGCUUAUCAUAAGAACACCAUGAGAAGUACACACAAAUAUAGAAAAAAAUACCUCCAUGAUUUUGAAAUUUGACAAAAUAGGUUCCGUUUUUCUAGUUCUUGUAAGUUCACAAGAGAGAACCAAAAUAUAUGUAAGCAAAAGGAUCAUCGAAUGACAUCAAUCUAUCCGGGAAGGUCAUUCUUACCUCUCUUGAGAAAUGUUAGCUUAACCUUCACCAUUUUAGGAGAAAAUCUUCACUGCAUAAUCUCAAUCAGUAUGGCUCUUCUUUGAAUCUAUCCAACUAAAUGUUGUAUUUAUGCGACCUUGGAAGAUUAGCAUGGAUAAUUAUUGAUAUGUUAUUUCGCAAAAACUAAGAGAUAUAAUUAGGUUUAUAGUAUGAAAAGUGAAAAAUAAAUAAGGUAAGCUAGCAAAAGAUAUUGAUUCUACUUUAUAACCUGAACACCACAAAGGGAAACAUCUGAAGAAGUUUCUAACCCACCUAAAAAUGCUUGUUGUUGUACUGCUCUCAUAAAAAAAAACUUCAUGUCUACAUUUACAUGUUUAACCUUAGAAGAUCAGUGUAAAAGGAAUAUUAUAAAGUCACAAUGCACUACGUAUCACAACAAUAGAAGGAGAAUGCCUGCAAUCCAACAACAUGUACGUUAUUUGCUUGGUCAUAUAUGUUAAAAGUGAAUUGUGCACAAUGUAGUCGAAUAUGGUCCAUCUUCAAACCCACAUGACCUAGCGAAAAUGCAAGCAAAUAAUACACUUACCCGGGGCAUUCAACAUCAAUGGGUAUCAUCACCUAACUCAUCAUCCGUCGUAGCAAAGUUGAACUCCUCAAUGAACAUGCAUAUCAUUGGUGCCACCGGUAAGUUUUGAGUUUACCAACAUCUACACAAAUCGAGUACAUAAUUUUCUAGAAAUAAUAAGCUCGGGGUUGAUUUUCUGGCUACACUGAUAUUAUGGUAUACUUUUUUUGUCAAGAGUAGCAGUUUCUCCUACUGGAGUUACAACACAUCAUGGGAAACCUAAAGGCAAGGAUUUACCUGAGAUAUUAGAUUGAAACUCUUAAUAAAGUACUCGUAUAACCCUCUUAAUAAAGUACUCGUAUAAAGUAGCAAAUUUAAUAAAGUACUCGUAUAAGCACUCAGAAGAAUCUCAAGUAGACGUAUUAUGGGCAAGGCUAAAAUAAUGAAAAAAUGUAGAAUACAAAUUGAAUAAGGUAUAAUUCAUUAUUUAUGUUUACAAUUCAGUCUUAUGCAUAUAUAGAAAUAAAAAAUUGAUAGCAACAACUAAAAGGGUAAUUUAUAAUCUUCACAAUAAUUAGAACACCUCAAUAAUGAAAAUAUAUGAGGUAAAUUAGAAGUUGAAAGAGAGAUCACAACCCGAAGUUGAUGAUCGUGGAAUCAACAGAAUACACGGUGUGAAACAUCAUUAGCAUGUCAGUUUUACCACAUAAUAUUCUUCUUUUGCUCACUAAAUUACCAAUGCUACUGACAUGUUCAUCUAAUCCAUAAAAUGAAUUAAAAAUAUCUAUCACCUAAUAAAAACUAUAUUAUAUGCACUUGCAUGUUAGUCAGCAAAAACUAUUUUUUUUUGCAAUGGAACAUGUUAACAUACGGUUGCAGAUACAAAGAUUGAACCUGUAGAAGGCCAUUGUGAGGUCCCCGCCGGCUCCACCAGUAGAGGGCACGUGCCAGGCUGGGGAAGUCGUGUAAAAGAGAGGAGCAAGCUAAGGGAAGGCACAUCAUGCCGCCAACCCUGUUCAACCUCGACUAGCCUUCCCAUCUUCAGAUCAUCAUCAUCUCAUCUUCCUCUCACCAUCGAUCGACACAGAGUAGCGGGAUAGGGAGGUGACAUGGGGAGGUAGCAGCAUGGAGGAGAAGGAGAAAGGGUGUGAUUGGGGAAAAGAGAGGAUUGUGCCAGCGCCUACCUAGGUGUGAAGCGACCGAGAGAAGGGCUUGGCGUUGCUUGAGGUUCCUUCAGCGGCGGCACUAGCGGGGCGACUGUUUCUCCCACGUUGCUUGGAUGGGAGGUCUCGGGGAGGGGAUGAGGCUGUUUGAGAGGGCAAUAAUAAUGGGCUAGAAAACAAGAGGGUGGGGCGAAUGAGGCUGAAAAAAUUGUCUUUGUGUAAUACAGGGCCCAAUUAACCACAUGUUUUAGUAUUUCCUACAAAAUAGCAGCCCUUUUAGGACAAGUGGCCCAGUGCACGAGCAGAAGUUGAGCGGAUGUCCAAAAAUGCCCAAAGUACGACAUCCGACGACGAUAAAAAAUUGUCCAGAUCAUGAGAGGUUUGGGAAGUAGUUCAAUUUUACUGUACAAAUGUGAUGUAGGGUUAAUAGGAAAUUACCAUUUUUUAAGAUCCUGGAAGCACACUUUCUGUUGUAGUACUACCUACCAUUGCAACAUUGCGGAACAUUUCUACAAUCCUUAAUAUAUACUAUGUUAAGUUAUGGAGUGGGAAAUUCUUGAAAAUGCAACAAUAAAUUCAGGUAAAUGUAACACAUGCGCAUUUUGAGAUUGUGCAAUCCCACUUAUUAAUUAAGUAAAUAUCUUUAAGAAGCGAAAUGUAACCAUUUUGUGGCCCAGAAUAAAAUUAAAUCAUCUAUUUUUCUCAAGUACUUGUACAGCUGACUUAAACUUAAUCUCAUUUUGUGUAGUUUUAAAUAAUUAUUUGGCAGUACAUUAUUCUGAUCAAUCAUAGGAAAAAAGAUAGAACUGUACUUUGUGUUGGCAAUCUCGGGAGAAUCCGUAUCGGUGUGUACUUGUCGUUAAGUUAUGCAUGUGUGUCCUUCUAGAAUACCUUCUUUUGAUGAUGAUAAAGAAGAAACUAAUUAAUUUAGAGCCACUAAAUUUGGCAAAAUUUAAACCAUAUGCACGGGAUGAAAUGCAACCUCAUUGAUUAAUAAGAACACAUUUUUAGAGACUAGGGGGGCUGGUGCGCCUGACCCAAAUAGGCCAGGGUGCCACCCUACAGCCCACGUGGGUCCCCGUGGCUGGUGGAUCCUAAUAAGAAAAUAGACAGUUUUCCGAUUAAAUUAAUCCAUGAAUAAAUCAUAAGCAUGACAUUGACAGUAUUGAUAACACACUGGUUACGAUCUAACAAAGCAUGCACUACGCAUAUAGUAGAAACAUCUAUGCAUAUCGCUAGUACUGCUACAACAGAAAGAAACAUGAGAGGGAUAAACGAUGUAUACCCUCCAAUCGGCCAUGCGGCGGCAGUAGCCGCGGCAUCCUCGGCGUCCUUCUUGUCGGCCUCAGCCUUCUCAGCGGCGGCACGGUCGGCGUCAGUCGACAUGGUGAUGACGAAGGUGAUGUGGACGUAGAUGAACAGAAGCGAGCAGUCGCGUAGUCGCUACCCAAAAACCUAAUCGCCCCUCUCCCGUACAGGAUCCGGAGAGGCGGGGUUUCAGAGGCCUUCUCUCCCGUCAACCGUGUACGUGGUGAACGGGACGGAGUCGCCGGCGGCAGCAGCAGCAGAGGAACGACGCGGGCGUGGAGGCGGAGAUGCGUUAUGUUUCGUGGCGGCUAGGGUUGGCAGCGCCCCACAUAUAUAUGUGCGGCUGCGCAUGGAGAGACGUGGGCUGAACCCACGUCCAAGUCGAUAGCCCACGAUCCGACGUCUCAGAUCGUGGCCCCACCUGUCAAAGACUCUCCGUUCCUGACCGGCAAAAAGAAGCGCAUAGGAGUGAGCUCGGCUCGGCUCAAUCCCGCAACCCGCGGCGCGUCAUGACGAGGCGAGGCGUGGCGUGGCGAGGCGAGCGAAGGAGGAGGAGUGCGCGAGGGCCUCAUCUCUUCUCAAGCUCCAAUAGCAUGAGGAAGAGAAUCCCUUAUAAACCACUCCAACUCUCCUUCCACUUCCGGGGUGGGACUAAACUUCCCACCACCUUGUCAUGCCACCUACAUGGGCCCUUAGAGAUCAAAUCUGAAAUUGUCAUAUGGGCUCUAGGCCCAUCUCAUAUUUCAACAAUCCCCCACCAGAUCUCAGGGGCCCAGUUUGUCCUUUGUUCCAAACGCUGUUUUGAUAUACCAGCAUCUCAGUGGAGACCGAUUAAGGUUGAGCUCCACCUAGACCAAGUAGUUACACUCCUUCACAAUUGAACAAUGGACUAUGCCUUGAAUUGUCAGUUUGGCGUCAAGAAGUUUCACCACAAGUCUCACUGAUACGAGGCUGCCGAAGGCCGACCCCUCGGGUGGAGCAUAUUAGUCACACUCCUGGCCUGUUCAUGAGCUUGCUAGAGAUCACCCCAAUCUCAUAGACUGUGACCAGCAGUCGGGCUCAUAUAGGUGUGUUCCUCCAAAGAUCGCUCUGUAGGAUAGCAUCUUGCUUAUGCAUAUAAGCCUUGGAACACAUUAAGACAGUAGUCAUCCUUCCAUACAAUUUCCGAGAGUAUUGCAUCUCCAACGGAGUGGGUUAGUAAAGUUACUCUCCUCAGUUCACCACUGGCUUGUUUUCCCAGGUCCUACUUCACGGGAUCUCCGAUCACAUAGGUUGGGUUACUACCAUGGCAACUCACGUGGGUCUCAUACCCAUCUCCCUUGAUGCAUUAUCUAUCACAACACGUGAUAGCCCUUUAGUAAAGGGACCUGCCAGAUCCUUACCCGUUUGAAUAUAAUCCAACGCUAUCACUCCGGAGUUCCUCAAUUUUCUGACAGCUUUCAAUCUCAUUCUUAUGUGUUUGUUGGACUUCAUGUUGUCCUUUGAACUCUUCACCUUGACAAUAACUGUUUGAUUUUCACAGUUCAUAAGGAUGGCCGGAACUGGCUUCUCAACCACUGGCAAGUCCAUCAACAGAUCUCGAAGCCAUUCUGCUUCGCCACCCGAUGUGUCUAAUGCUGUUAAUUCUGCUUCCAUUGUUGAUCUUGUUAAGAUCGUUUGCUUGCAAGACUUCCAGGAAACAACACCACCUCCAAGAGUAAAUAUAUACCCAGUUGUGGCCUUCAUCUCAUCAGCAUUAGAGAUCCAAUUCGCAUCACUAUACCCUUCAAGUACCGACGGGUAUCCAGUAUAGUGAAGUCCAUAGUUCAUAGUACCUUUCAGAUAGCGCAUAACUCUCUCAAGAGCACGCCAAUGUACAUCACCCGGUUUGGAAAUAAAUCGGCUCAGUUUGCUAAUAGCAAAUGCGAUGUCAGGCCUCGUUGUGCUCGCUAGAUACUGUAGUGAACCAACAAUCUGAGAGUAUCUCAAUUGAUCUAUAGCUGUGCCUUUAGACUUUCGAAUCAGCACACUAGAAUCAUAUGGUGUUUGAGAUGGUUUGCAGUCUGAAUAUCCAAAACGACUCAACACUUCUCAACAUAAUGGGAUUGCAAAAGUGUAAUCCCACCCUCAUCAUCUCUCAAUAGCUUGAUGUUCAAGAUAACAUCAGCCACUCCAAGGUCCUUCAUCUCAAAGUUCUGAGAUAGGAAAGACUUAACCUCCUCGAUCAACUUGAGAUUAGUCGCAAAUAUCAGUAUGUCAUCAACAUACAAACACAGUAUAACUCCUUAGCCCCCACCAUAGCGAUAGAAUACACAUUUGUCAGCCUCAUUAACAACAAAGCCAACAGAUGUCAACGUUUCAUUAAACUUGUCAUGCCAUUGCUUAGGCGCUUAUCUCAGGCCAUACAAAGAUUUCACCAACUUACACACCUUUCCUUCCUGACCAUCCAUCACAAAGCCAUCAGGCUGUUGCAUAUAGAUUUCCUCCUUUAGCUCUCCGUUCAGGAAAGCCGUCUUAACAUCCAUCUGAUGAAUGAGAAGACCAUGCGAGGCCGCCAACGAGAGUAAUACUCGAAUGGUGGUCAGUCUGGCCAUAGGUGAAUAAGUGUCAAAGAAAUCUUCUUCUUCUUUCUGGGCGUAGCCCUUGGCCACAAGCCUAGCCUUGUACUUCUCUAUCGUACCAUUGGGCCUAAGCUUCUUCUUGAACACCCACUUGCAUCCCAAUGGUUUGCAACCAUAAGGACGUUCAGUAAGCUCCCAAGUCCCGUUAGCCAUGAUGGAAUCCAUCUCGCUACGGACCGCAUCCUUCAAGUAGUCACCUUCUGGAGAUGCAUACGCUUCUAAAAUAGAAGUGGGAUUAUCCUCCACGAGGUAUAUGAAGUAAUCAUCACCAAAGGUCUUUACAGUCCUUUGUCUCUUGCCCCUACCAAGGGAUUCCUCAUUAUCCUCCUCAGGAUUUUCAUCAUGUCUUUGGUUAUAAUAUUCCAUCGGAAUGGCAGGUUCAGGAGUCUCCUCAGAUUCCUGUCUAGAAGUGCUUUGUACAUCUCUCAUGGGAAAAAUGUCCUCAAAGAAUGUAGCAUCUUUAGACUCCAUAAUUGUACCGACUUUUAUGUCAGGUACCUCGGAUUUCACUACUAGAAAUCUAUAGCCAACACUAUUCAUAGCGUAGCCCAAAUUAACACAGUCCACAGUCUUUGGUCCAAGCUUACGCUUUUUGGGGAUCGGCACAUUAACUUUCGCCAAGCAGCCCCAGGUACGUAAGUACGAGAGUGUUGUCCUUCUCUUGGUCCACUUCUUGUAAGGAGUGAUCUCGUUAUCCUUUGUCGGAACUUUAUUCAGGACAUGACAGGAUGUCAUUAUAGCCUCCCCCCACCAUGCCUUGGAUAAACCCGACGUAUCUAACAUGGCAUUAACCAAAUCAGUUAGAGUACGGUUUUUCCGCUCGGCAACCCCGUUUGACUGGGGUGAGUAAGGAGGCGUCCUCUCGUGAAUAAUGUCGUGUUCCGCACAAAAGGCAUCAAACUCUUUCGAGAAGUACUCUCCACCACUAUCUGACCGGACUCGUUUAAUUUUCUUUUCAAGUUGAUCCUCAACUUCUGCCUUAUAGAUUUUGAAGUAGUGUAGAGCCUCAUCUUUAGUAUUUAACAGAUACACAUAGAAAUAUCUAGUGGAAUCAUCUAUCAAAGUCAUGAAAUAUUUCUUUCUACCUUUAGUCAACACACCAUUCAUCUCACAAAUAUCAGAAUGUAUGAGUUCCAGUGGCGCCAAGUGUCUCUCCUCUGCUGCCUUGUGAGGCUUGCAAGGUUGCUUAGAUUGCACACACGAAUGGCACUUAGAACCUUUGGCUAAAGUGAAACUCGGGAUUAAAUUCGAUUUUGCUAGCCGCGUCAUAACACCAAAACUAAUGUGACAAAGACGUGAAUGCCAUACUUCAGAUUCAUUAACACUCAAAUGAAUAUUGUUCACGACUUUAUUACAUAGAUCUGCAAGAGAAAGGCGGAACAUGCCUCCGCAUUCAUAACCCUUUCCAACAAAUAGUCCAUAUUUCGUAACAACUAAUUUAUUAGACUCGAAUACCAACUUAAACCCUUCUCUACAUAGAAGGGAGCCACUAACGAGGUUCUUCUUGAUGGCGGGGACAUGCUGCACGUUCUUCAGCUGCACGAUCCUUCCCGAAGUAAACUUCAGAUCGACCGUGCCAACAGCAAGAACAGAAGCACUCGCGCCAUUCCCCAUCAGUACGGACCCGUGACCUGUGGCUUGGUAAGAAGAAAACAAUGAAAUGUCAGGACACACAUGAACACCUGCACCUGUGUCGAUCCACCAAUCGGUGGACGGCCAAACUGAAAAUACAGCAAAUAAAUUACCGUACCCAGAUGCACCACCCUCAUUGUUGCUCACAAUCAUAUUGACAUACUUGGAGUCCUAGCCUUGCUUCUUAUACUUGUUUGGGCACUUGUUGGCCCAAUGUUCAAGCGAACCACAAGUAAAGCAGCCCUCAUCCUUCUUGUUCUUCUUGAAGGUCUUCUUACCCUUCUUUUUAAAGUCGGCACUCUGUUGGACACCGUUCUUUCCCUUGGGCUUGUGGGAAUUGGAGUUCUUCAGAUGCACCAUGUUGGCCACAGAAGUUCCUUCGACCCUUUUUCCGUGCGAGUCCUUUGCCCUUGAGUUCUGCUCAACACUCAGAUGGCCAAUGACAUCCUCCACAGAGAAUUCACGCCUCUGAUGUUUCAGAGUGGUGGCAAAGUUCCUCCAGGAAUUGGGAAGCUUAGCGAUUAUGCAGCCCACGACAAACUUGCCCGGUAACUCGCACUUAAGAAGCUCAAGCUCCUUAACAAUGCAUAUUAUCUCAUGAGCCUGCUCCAAUACAGGACGGUUUUCAACCAUCUUGUAAUCAUGGAACUGCUCUAUAAUAUACAUCUCGCUCCCUGCAUCGGCAGCCCCGAACUUAGAUUCGAGCGCCUCCCACAAGUCCUUGGCAGACCACACAUGCAAAUAUGCGUCAACCAGCUUAUCUCCAAUCACGCUCAGAACUGCCCCGAGGAACACGACAGUGGCCUCCUUGAACGCCUUCUCCUGAUCAGGAGCGAUCAUUCUUGUGGGAGUCACACCGGCGACCCAGAACACAUUCAUGGUAGUGAGCCAUAAGGUGGUUUUAGUAUACCAACGCUUAAAGUACGUCCCCGUAAACGGCGACAGUUUCAGUGCAGCAGCAAAACCAGAAUUCGAAAAACUCCUAAACAUAUUAGGUUUUUGGAUUGAUAAGAAAAUAGGCAGUUUUUGAUUAAAUUAAUCCAUGAAUAAAUCAUGAGCAUGACAUUGAUAGUAUUGAUAACACACUGGUUACGAUCUAACAGAGCAUGUACUAUGCAUAUAGUAGAAACAUCUACGCAUAUUGCUAGUACUGCUACAACAGAAAGAAACAUGAGAGGGAUAAACGAUGUAUACCCUCCAAUCAGCCAUGCGGCGGCGGUAGUAGCCGCGGCAUCCUCGGCGGCCUUCUUGUCGGCCUCGGCCUUCUCAGCGGCGGCACGGUCGGCGUCAGUCGACAUGGUGAUGACGAAGGUGAUGUGGACGUAGAUGAACAGAAGCGAGCAGUCGCAUAGUCGCUAACCAAAAACCUAAUCGCCCCUCUCCCGUAUAGGAUCCAGAGAGGCGGGGUUUCGGAGGCCUGCUCUCCCGUCAACCGUGCACGCGGUGAACGGGACGGAGUCAUCGGCGGCAGCAGCAGCAGAGGAACGACGCGGGCGUGGAGGCCGAGAUGUGUUAUGUUUCGUGGCGGCUAGGGUUGGCAGCGCCCCACAUAUAUAUGUGCGGCUGCGCGUGGAGAGACGUGGGCUGAAUCCACGUCCAAGUCGGUAGCCCACGAUCCGACGUCUCAGAUCGUGGCCCCACCUGUCAAAGACUCUCCGUUCCUGACCGGCAAAAAGAAGCGCAUAGGAGUGAGCUCGGCCCGACUCAAUCCCGCAACCCGCGGUGCGUUGUGACGAGGCGUGGCGUGGCGAGGCGAGCGGAGGAGGAGGAGCGCGCGAGGGCCUCAUCUCUUCUCAAGCUCCAAUAGCAUGAGGAAGAGAAUCCCUUAUAAACCACUUCAACUCCCCUUCCACUUCCGGGGUGGGACUAAACUUCCCACCACCUUGUCAUGCCACCUACAUGGGCCCUUAGAGAUCAAAUCUGAAAUUGUCAUAUGGGCUCUAGGCCCAUCUCAUAUUUCAACAGAUCCCUGGAACCCUUUGGUGCCUCCGGUACUGUCGUGGAACUGUCACGGCAAAUGUGCUUAGUGUCAGGACUUAGUCGCGAGGCCAACGCAUCUAUGUGGUAGCUUGAGAGGGGUUGAGCAGGACGAGAGACGCGAUGUUCUACCCAGGUUUGGCCCCUCACGGUGGAGGUAAAAGCCUACAUCCUGCUUCAUUGAUAUUGAUGAUCAUGAUCACGGUUACAAGAGUGCUCUAUCUCGAGAGCUAUUAUCUAAACCUAACUUGUCCAACCUAUGGAACUUGUGAAUCUUGUCCCCUUUUGAGGAGCCCUGCCCCUCCUUAUAUAUGUUGGAGGGGCGGAUUACAUGUAGAGUCCUAUUAGGAUUAGGACUAAUCUAUCUUAAUACAAACCGGAUACAAGUCCAGGUCUUAGCUCCUUGUAAGAUAAUGUUCCUCAUGCCUUUCCUCUUAAACCAGCCCACCAUUAACAUAAACCGGCAUGCUGGGCCUUGGGCCUUGUCAUCCGUCCGGAACACGCCUCGGGUCACCAAUGAGUCUUCAGGCUCGUGAAUCGUCAUACCAGUGAACCGCCAGACACGUAAACCGCCAGACAUGUAAACCGCCAAUCACGUAAACCGCCAAUCCUCUGGCGGUUUACCAAUGAAACGCCUAGUCCGGCCGGGUUAUACUUCCUGCCGGUUUACGCCGCGGGGUAUAUCCCCGACAUUAGCCCCCAAGUUUAGCUUGGAUUUAUUCAUGGUAAACUUAUGUUGCAAAAUAAACACAAGAACAAAUUUGACAGGUUAUGCUCCGGGUUAAGAAUUUUUGUAAACCGGUACCUGAUCAUCCUUAAGUCCUUGUUAUUUCCUCCUUCUGGGAAAUCCGGGUCAACAGACCAGCUUCAUAAUCAAUUUGCCGACAUUGGUUUGUCACCGAGAAAAAUUGUGAAGAAUAACUCCUUUAACUCAGCUCCCAAAGCGCCGGUUUAAGAAAUAUGGGUCUGAAAAUACUUAUCUGAUAUUCAGCCGGUUUGAAGAUGUAAAACUUGCCGGUUUAAUAUUACCAAAAUGGCCGGUUUAUUAAUAUUGAUGGCGUCGGGUCAUAAUUGUUGUCGACACCGGGUCAUGUAAUUGAUCUUCCUGAUUUGCUCAAAACUGAUAAAAUGAAGAUGUUCCUCCUUUAUAUGCAUAAUACCUGUAGCCCCCAAGUCUUAAGAGGAGAACAUAGUGAUAACUUAAGACUUGCUCCAAUAAGUGUUUCAACCUUGAAGAAAUCUGAUUAGUUCAUCUCAAUCAUAUAAACUGAAUACUCCAUAUAUGUAGCCCCCAAGUGCCGGGUUGUCAUGCUUGCAGCAACCUGGGACUUGUAAUUUGCUUAUAAAAACUUCAAUCAGUGUAACCCCCAAGGACCGGGUCAUUAUGCAAUAAUGAGCAGGAACUUUGUAAAUAUAAUAAUGUAGAUUUUAGCAGUGAUGUGUAGCCCCCAAGGGCCGGCUUAGUAAGAUAAUACUGAACCGGGACUUGAUAUAUACUUCAAUGAAAAUAACAUCUUAUAAUGUAGCAUCCAUCAUAGGGCUUGAACCCACGUCCACAAUGUUAAGAGUCUCUGUGCUUUACCAACUGAGCAAUGAAUCCUUCAAUAUUAUGGACGAAAACUUGUGUACCUUGAAUUGUUGACAUGAGCAAUUGGUAGCCCCCAAGGGCCGGCUCAUUAUAAUAUGAUGAGUCGGGUCUUUAAUAAGACUAGUAAAAAUGACUUUGCAUUAGCCCCCAAGUGUCAUGAUGCAUGCUUGCAGCGACAUGAGACUUGCAUGUAAUCUCGAUUUGAAUAAUGUAGCCCCCAAGUGCCGGGUUGUAAGCCUGCAGCAACUCGGGACUAUUCCUUCAAUUGUAGAAUAAAUCAUAUCUAUUGAUAAUAUGAUAGCCAUUGCGCUAAAGCAACUUUGAAAACCUCAAUAAUACCGGUUAUUAAUAACCAUAAAAAUCCAGCCAUGUUGGCUAUUCAAGAUAACAUAAUCCGGUGAAAACCUUAUUCAUUCAAUAUCAUAAUGAAAAUUCAGCCAAACUUGGCUAUUUGAAUAAUAUAACCCAAUGAUUUAUAAGCGCAUGAUUCCAAUGGCGCAAUCCAAAUAUAUAUAUACUGGCGACUUAUAGUCCAAAGCCAGGCCAGUUCAACAAACCUGUUUCUGCAUACAACAAGUUUAAAGUGUCCUGGCGGUUUACCGCCAGACGGGUCAUAAUGCCCAACAUAUAACCCGGGUUUAUAACCAAGGCUGCACUUAAGAAUAAUCAAAUAUGAAAUAUAUCAUACCUGUGACAUUGAAUCACAUUGUUGGUUUUACCAACUUUUUGUAGUAAGGGUGAUAACCCAAAUCUUGAGUACUGAUAACUCCUUCCAUAUUGUGCCGGUUUAUGAUAAAACCGUGACGGGUUGUGAUAAACGCCGGUUUAACCACAUAUAAUACUAGCGACUCGUAGUCAAACCAGACCAGACUGAUAGUCUCCGGAUUAUAACUUGAUCGUGUACUAACAACUUGUAGUUGAAAGCCGAGCCGGGUUGAUAAACACCGGUUUACUCCAUAAUAGGAUGGUAACAGAAAAUCAAACCGGGCAGAUAGCCUCCGGAUUAAGAUUUGACCGUGUUCCGUCAAUUUGUAAUUUGACAGUCGAACCGGUUUAAGAAUUGUCAAUUUAAAAACGCAACAAAAUAAAAGAAACAGUUAUCAAGGAAAAUAUUGAAGCAAAGGCAAUGAUAAAACCAUUUGCAAAAAGAGGCUUAUUUAGCCGAUCAGAUGGUGUUACCAUGGUCGGACACGACCAAGCUCCCCAAUGGUGUAGCUAUGGUUCAAGUCAGCCAGGUCCCCAAAUGAAACAGUGGCAUUAUGCCGAUCAAGAGGCGUGGCAAUGGUUCGGGUUCGACCAAGCCCCCAAGUGAUUCUAUGGCCUUAGGCCGAUCAAGAGGCAUGACUGGUUCAGACUUGACCAUGUCCCCAAGUGAUCUGGUGGCUUUCGCCUAUCAAAAGGUAUUGCAUUGGUUCAGACACGACCAAGCCCCCAAGUGAUGUUUAUAAAAUUUUCAAGGGGUAAACCGGAGGCCGCUUUAAGACAGAACAACUCCGUGUAACUACGCAUGAUGUAAAAGAACAGAGACCCCGCUUUAUGAAGCAGACGCCCCCAUGUGAUCAAUAAUAUGUCAGGCCAGUAAGGCGGGAUACCCAUGUUUGAACCGCGCAUCGUGGCAGCAGGUCCUCUUCGACAAUUUUUAACUUUUUGCAAGAGAUAAAUUCUUCUUUGAACCGGGAUCUUGAACCGGAUAUUGAGAGCUUCAAAGCUUUAUGGGAGACAUCUUUCCCUUGAACCGGAUUUUAAACCGGAAUCUUCAUUUUUAGCCAGAAAUUUUCUGACGGCCUUUAAACUCGAACUUGCGAGAAGUUAAUUCCUUUUUGAACCGGAAAUUCUUAAACCGGAUUUGAGAGCUUCAGAGCUUUGUGGGAGACAUCUUUCCCUUGAACCAGAUUUUAAAACGGAAUCUUCAUUUUUAGCCGGAAAUUUUCUGACGGCCUUUAAACUCGAACUUGCGAGAAGUUAAUUCCUUUUUGAACCGGAAAUUCUUAAACCGAAUUUGAGAGCUUCAGAGCUUUGUCGGAGAACAAAUUUCCCUUGUACCGGAUUGUAAACCGGAAUCCUUUUACGAUGACCCGAAACUUCUUCAUUGAGCCGGGAUUUUGUAACUGUCAUAUACUUUCUCAUCCGGAAAUCUUCUGACAGCACGAUGUGAAUCCGGGACCGGGUUAUCUUUCCCUCCAACGUAUUGGGGUUCUUGACUUCACUGAAAACCGGCAACGUUUGCUAAGUCAUAUCAUUGUAGCCCCCAAGUCUCAAGGUGACUCGAGGAGUUGGCUUGAGAUUCUCCAUAUUUGACCGUGAUAUAAACCGGCAUAACUUGUAUAUCAUUGGUGUUGAUAGCACGAUGUGAAUCCAUAGAAGGUUGAGGUGACUGCGGCGGGUUGUAAAUGAUCCCAUAUGAGCCGUGUCAGCAACUCGGCCAAUGGUUCCUUCCAACUGGCGAUUUGAAGUUAAUCAAAACUGUAGUGGCGACGACUUGUGCGCCUGCCCAUUGAACCAUCCAGUGCAAACGACGGUUGAUGAUAAUUUGUCUCCAAUUUGAAAGAAAACCGGGCUACCCAAGCUGUGACUUGCUCAUACCCAAUAAACAGCUCAUGCAGACAGGUGCGGCCCGGUAUGUUGAUGUAGACCAGGCCGUGAGAGACGGACAACAAAGAUGACCGCUGCUUUCAAAGGCGGCACAGACAGAUGAGUCAGCCGCGGCAUUGUAAACCGACAUGGACAGGCGACUUAGCCACAUCAUAUUGAUGUAAACCGGUCUGCAGAAUGGCGGUUUGCACAUAUAUUCACCGAGCUUGAUGGCAUGGUAAGAUACUAGCGCAUUCAUAAUGGUUGCGCGAGUUUAUACAUCCAUGACACAGCCAUAGCUUUUGCAAUGAACAAUUGUCCUACAUAAACAAUAUUACAGACCAAGGCACAGGUAAACUGUUCUUUGACAAAAAUAAUAUGUGCUAAUAAAAUAUAUUUUAUAUGGAUAUCACCUGAUGUGCUAGGCGGAAAUUAUCCGCCAUCGAGUUGAUGAUCACCACAGUGAUGCUAAAAUUAAUCACGGCCGAGUUAACCGUAGGAGCAGACAGAUGAGUCGGCCCGGCGUUGUAAUCCGGUGCGGCCGAGCAAGUUGUCCUCCACGUUGUAAGCUGGCGUGGAUGCAUGAACCGGUGGCCAUGGCGGACGGGCGAGUCGUCCGUGGUGUUGUAAGGUGGUGCGGACGGGCGAGUCAGUCGGUACGUUGACGUAAACCGGACCGCGAGACCCUGUCCGUGAAGCCGCGCGAUACAGCCGAACGUGCAUCCGUGGUAUAACACCACCCCUUUUUCUUUUAUUAGUUGCCCCGCGUAAAAAUAUUACAUGCCAGAGUAAUUGUUGUCGGAUGAAUUAACAUGUACUGAUAAAAUACAUAGAAACUAUAGCACCUGGUAUUUUUUGCCGGACGCUGGCGCCGGAUAAUGCAUAGUGCUGCUUUUGUUUUGACAAAAGAGUUGAUUGGUUCUGUGUCUUGUAAUGCCUGAGGUCUCCACAUAACCUGGCCAGAAUUUUUUGAACCGGAAUUUCUGGAACCGGAGUUUCUUGAUAAUCCGGCCGGAACUUUUGAUAAUCCGGAACUAUUGAACCGGAACCUCUUGAUAAUCCAACCAGAAUUUUUGAUAAUCCGGAACUUUUUGAGCUGGAACCUCUGUAUAACCCGGUCGAAACUUUUGAUAAUCCGGAACCUUUGAACUGGAACCUCUUGAUAAUCCAACCAGAAAUUUUGAUAAUCCGGAAUCUUUUGAGCUGGAACCUCUUGGUAAUCCGGCCGGAACUUUUUGCUAAUCCGGAAAUAUUUGAUAAUUCGGAACUUUUCUGUAGCCGAAGUCGGAACUCUUUGACGACUCGGACAGAAGCUUUCGACGAUGCGGCUGGAACCCUUCGGUGAUUCGGACUGAACUUUUCGUCGAGGCGAUCGGAACUUUUUGAUGAUUCAGACAUAACCUUUCAUUGAGACGGUCGGAACUUUUCAAUGAUCCGGCCGGAAAUUUCAGACGAACCGGCGGAACGUUUCGAUGAGCCUGACGGAACUUUUUCGGCGAGCCGGCUAGAACUCUCCGACAAACCGAUCGGACCUUUUUCAUUGAGCUGGACGGAGCUUCUCAAUCCCUGAGAUGGCGCCCUCCAAGAACUCAACACCACCGUGCGCAGGCCCCACGGUGGGCGCCAACUGUCGUGGAACUGUCAAGGCAGAUGUCCUUAGUGUCAGGACUUAGUCGCGAGGCCAACACGUCUAUGUGGUAGCUUGAGAGGGGUUGAGCGGGACGAGAGACGCGAUGUUUUACCCAGGUUCGGCCCCUCAUGGUGGAGGUAAAAGCCUACAUCCUGCUUCAUUGAUAUUGAUGAUCAUGAUCACGGUUACAAGAGUGCUCUAUCUCGAGAGCUAUUGUCUAAACCUAACUUGUCCAACCUGUGGAACUUGUGAAUCUUGUCCCCUUUUGAGGAGCCCUGCCCCUCCUUAUAUAUGUUGGAGGAGCGGAUUACAUGUAGAGUCCUAUUAGGAUUAGGACUAAUCUAUCUUAAUACAAACCGGAUACAAGUCCAGGUCUUAGCUCCUUGUAAGAUAAUGUUCCUCAUGCCUUUCCUGUUAAACCGGCCCACCAUUAACAUAAACCGGCAUGCUGGGCCUUGGGCCUUGUCAUCCGUCCGGAACAUGCCCCGGGUCACCAAUGAGUCUUCAGGCUCGUGAAUCGUCAUACUAGUGAACCGCCAGACACGUAAACCGCCAGACAUGUAAACCGCCAAUCACGUAAACCGCCAAUCCUCUGGCGGUUUACCAAUGAAACGCCUAGUCCGGCCGGGUUAUACUUCCGGCCGGUUUACGCCGCGGGGUAUAUCCCCGACAGGUACACUUGUCGGCACUCUAGAACCUUUCCGGUGGCCAAUACAAGACUUUCCAUAUGUAAAUCUUUAACUCCGGACUAUUCCGGAGCUCCUCGUGAUAUCCUGAUCCCAUCCGGGACUUCGAACUACCUUUGGACUUUCCACUGUCAAUAUUUCAAUGCUACCCUAGCGCUACCGAACGUUAAGCGUGCGACCUUACGGGUUCGGGAAUAUGUAGGCAUGACCGAGACAGCUCUCCGGUCAAUAAUCAAUAGCGGGACCUGGAUGCCCAUAUUGAUUAGCACACAUUCAAUGAAGAUCUUCAUCGGUUGAACCACGAUGUCAAGGAUUCAGUUAAUCCUGUAUGCAAUUCCCUUUGUCCGGCGAUAUGUUACUUCCCGAGAUUAGAUCGUCAGUAUCCCCAUACCUAGUUUAAUCUCGUUAUCGGCAAGUCUCUUUACUUGUUCCGCAAUAAAAGAUCCCGUGACUAAACUCAUUAGUCACAUGAAGCUUCUUAUGAUGUUGUAUUAUCAAGAGGGCCCAGAGAUAUCUCUUCGUCAUACAGAGUGACAAAACCCAGUCUCGAUCUAUGCAACCCAACAGACACCUUUGAAGAUACCUGUAGAGCACCUUUAUGAUCACCCAUUUACGUAGUGAUGUUUGGUAGCACACAAGGCAUUCCUCCGGUAUCUAGGAGUGGCAUGAUCUCAUGGUCUAAGGAACUGAUACUUGACAUAAAGAAAGUUGUAGCAAAUAACUAAACAAUCUGAUGCUAAGCUUAUGGUUGAGUCUGUCCAUCACAUCAUCUUCUAAUGGUGUGAUCCCAUUAUAAAAUUAUAACUCAUGUCUAUGGUUAAAAACCUUAACCAUCUUUGAUCAACGAGCUAGCCUAGUAGAGGCCUACUAGGGGCACGGUGUUGUUUAUGUAUUCACACAUGUACUAAAGUUUCCAGUAAAUUCAAUUCAAGCAUGAAUAAUAAACAUUUAUCUUGAACAAGGAAAUAUGAUAAAAACCAAUUUAUUAUUGCCUCUAGGGCGUAUUUCCAACAACUUUUUGUUCUAUAAACUUUUACCUCAAAUCCUUUACUGAGUAUAGUUUCUGGUGUUGAGUACUCCUUGUAGUUGAUGCUUAGAAGUUUUAUUGGUUAAAUAUUCAUAUGUUCAGAUUGUUAAUCAUAUAUUCAUCUCCAUUGAUCAUGAUCCAUAUGAUGUAUUGUGAGUAGUCCAUUCCGUUGUUGAGGACAUGAGAUAAACCUUGUUGCUAGUAACCUUGUGAAGUUAAAUCUAGUUCAAUGUAUUAAUAUUGUGUUGUGGUGUAAUUUUCUAGUGGUGAUGUGCGAACAUCGAUGCCAUAUCAUCACUUCAACUUUAAGGACCUAGAGGAGAGCAUUUUGUGGAUGGCGAGUGGUGGCGGCGACGGGUGAUCCUGAUGUUGUAGAUGCUUCCCUGGUAGUGACUCCCUAGUCUUGAUCUGGAGGCCUGUUUCGGUGGCGAAGGUCCUUCCCAUUAAGAUGGAUUAGCUACCUUGGUACCUCGGUGUGGCAUGGGCGAGAUUAUGAGCGAAAGCUCUGUGCAACAUCACUAUCGGCGGGCAUGCUUGCGGGUGUUGUUUCCCUCUUGAAGGGGGGGGGGCGUCAAUUUGGUUCCCUCACGCUAGGGCUCUGGGUGAAACCCUUGUUCCGUCAUUGUGGCCUGGACGAUGGUGGCAUGGUGCAUCGUUACCCUCUUGGGGGCAUCGUCGUGGAGCUCAAGUACCUUCUGGUCACAACAGGUUAGUAUCUUUAGUCAUGGAUCUUUGAGUAAAGCUUCUUCCAUCGUGGCAUGGGGCAUUAACAUUGGUCUCCUACCUUUUACCCAUGACAAUGUUGUGAACGUUCUUGGUCCUUGCAGUCUACAUGCAGGAUCAACACUUCGCAGCUUUGAGUGAGAGGGUAGGUGGCCCUCUCCAAUGAUAGUUUGGUGUGUGUGAUGUAAUGGUGUCCUGUGGUUUCUAGUGAACCGUGGUUUUCAUUCCUAGUCUGUGGUCUCGGGGUACUUAUUGGGUGUGGCUUCUUCGUGCGUUCUUGCUCGACUUAGUUGCCGGCGUCUUUGCCACUCUCUCAGAUGUCGAUCUUAUUUUGACCUGCUUUGCAAUAUGAUUUUCUCAUCACAUUGUAUCAGUCAUGUCGUUUGGGUUUUAUUUAUCAAAAUAGGGUGUCACGCCCAAUAUGCAAUACUAUCCUAAAGAGACUCGAGGGUCCCACCAAGGAUAGAACCGCAUAUUGACACGCUUUUGCAAGGUGGAUAUCAUUACAUCAAAGCAUUACAUAAUAGAUGGGGAUACAUACAAAAGGCAUACAAAGCCACAAGAAUACAUUAAUGCAUCAUACAUAGAACAACAUCUGACUACAGAUGAAACACAAAUAGAAACUCAAACGACAUCCACCCUGCUAGCCAAGGCUGCCGACUAGGAACCUAUCCCAAGAUCGACGAUGAAGAAGAAGAACUCUAAAACAAGCAAAACAUCACUCUCGCGUCAUGAUCAUCACAUUACCUGUACCUACAACUGUUGUUGUAGUAAUCUGUGAGCCACAAGGACUCAACAAUCCCAUUACCAUGGUUAUCAAGACUAGCAAAGCUUAAUGGUAUGGAAAGGAUAAGUGGUGAGGUUGCAGCGGCGGCUAAGCAAUGUAUGGUGGCUAACUUACGAGUACAAGAGUAAGAUGGGAAACUACGCAAAUGGUCGCAAACUAGUAAUGAUCAAUAAGUGAUCCCGAACUACUUAUGUUCAAACAUAACCCAACCGUAUUCUCCUCUCGAACUUCCCCGAAAAGAGACAAUCAUGGUUACGCACGCGGUUGGUGUAUCUUUGUUGAGUUUACUUCAAGUCCUCUACAACCGGAUAUUAACAAAUUCCCAUCUACCACAUAACCACGGGCACGGCUCUCGAAAGUUUAAACCCUGCAGGGGUGUCCCAACUUAGCCCAUGACAAGCUCACGAUCCACAGAGACAACCCUCCAUCACGGGACCCUCCGAUCAGACUCGGAAUCCCGGUGCACAAGACAUUUCGACAAUGGUAAAACAAGUCCAGCAAGACCUCCCGACGUGCCGACACCCUGAUAGUAGCCGCGCGUAUCUUGUCUCAGGCCUAGACGGAUGAGCUACGCGUAUAGGUGCCAACAUACCCCAAGUUGCCAAGGGGCGGCCCCGCAUAGUGCUCUAGUUUGGGACCAACACAAUCGGCACUGGCCCCCCUGUAUGUAGAAAGAAUCCUCGGGUUCAUGACGCCCUAUGCCAAUUAAUUAUUUAGUUCAAUAUUAUUAUGGAAAAUGUUAAAACCAAUGUUGGGCCUUGCUGGAAGAGUUAUAUUCAAAGCGAACUGUCAAGAGGGGCCCAUAAACCCUCAUCGUGUUACGGACGCAAAAUCAAGUAACAUAACACCGGUAUGACGGAAACUAGGGCGGCAGGAGAGAACAAAACACUAGGCAGAAGGCCGAGCCUUCCACCCUUUACCAAGUAUAUAGAUGCAUUAAUUAAAUAAGAGAUAUUGUGAUAUCCCAUGAUAUCCUGUCCCAACAUGGAACAACCUUCAACUGCACCUGCAACUAGCAACGCUAUAAGAGGGGCUGAGCAAAGCGGUAACAUAACCAAACAACAGUUUGCUAGGAAGGGUGAAAAGGUUAGAGGCUAUCGUGGCAAUUUGGGAGGCUCGAUAAACAAGUGGUAUAUAGGUAAUGCGACAUAGCGAUAGCAUCAAGACAACUAGCAUAGCAAAGAUAGUAUGAUAUCCAAGGUGACGGUCAUCUUGCCUAAAAUCCCACUAGGAAGAAGAAUGAGUCCAUGAAGUAGACGGACCAACGUAGUCGAACGGAUCCUCACCAUCGCAACGUAACCAAAACUAUCGAGAAGGAGCACAACCGGAAAGAAGCAAACAACAUGGUAAACACACAAGCAUAAACAUGACAUGGAAAAGAACACAUGCUACAUGAACGAUGAACAUGAAUGCAUAUGAAGAAUGCAAUAAACGGAGCUAAGGCUACUGGUACGAGGGAUAGGUUGCCGGGAAUUACAAAUGUGUUGACAUGAUAGAUAUGGUCAAACUCUUGGCAAACCAAGUAUUCCACUAGAUAGAUGGGAAGAUUCUAGUUGAAAACGUUAUAAAGAUCACCGGGAAUCGGAUGCACAGAUUGCAAAUGAUGAACAAAACAAAAUGCAAUGCAAAGCUAUCAACAACAGCAACAUGCCCACUUGGAUGCAUCACUUAAAUAUGCAACAGAACUCAAACAUGAAAUACAUAACAUGCACUACAAAACAUGAUCACUGAACUAUUUCUAAAACUUAAUGGAUCAUCACCAAAACAGCAUGGCAAACUGACAACUCAUAAGAGCUUAACAUACUUGGUGAAAACACAGAACAUGGCAGGAAACAGAUUCAUGAUGCAAUGUUUAGGUCUAGCAACUACAUGCUACAGGAACAUAUUAAGCAACCAAGAGCAUGUCAUGCUAGUACAAUAUGCACUUAACAAAACUCCCUCAAUGAACUUUGUCCAGAAACUCAUAGAUAAGAUGAUACAAACAAUGCAAAAUGGCAAGUUAUGCUGACAGUUUCAGACUUAGCAAAAUAAACAUGGCAUGGCAGAAACAGAUUUAUGAUAGCAUGCUUGCAAUCUUGUUUCACUCAUUACAAGGCACUUCAUGGCAUGAAAUAAAUUCUAGUAGUAAGAUGGCAUAAUGAAGAGCAUGUUCAUAUGCAAAACUUCCUCAUGGCAUAAAUGGUAUCAAAUGAACAAAAAUGACAAAAUGCUACAUGCUGCAAAUAUAACAUGUUCACAAACUUGCUCAAAUGAUGAAAUGGAUGCCACAGAUGGCUUUGGUGGGAUUUUUCUAGUGCAAAAUGAUAUAUAAUAUGCAUAUGAUAUGAUUUUGGCAACAACAUAGGAUGGCACAAUGCAAACACAUGGCAUAGCAAGUGAAAUAAGCAUGAUGAAAGAAGCAAAGAUAUGACAAGGCACUCAACAUGAUCAUGGCAUAAACAUGUAGGAAUGAAAUACCCAAAACAAUUAUGAUAGUGCAACAAACAUAAUAAAAAACACGGCAACAACUAAAAUAAAGGGAAGGCAUCUAGAGCAUCGGUCUCGCGGUGUUACAACUCUCCUCCACUAACAUGAGAUCUCGUCCCGAGAUCUUGGGAACGAGAUGGAAGUAAAAGAGGAUAAGGAGGAAUAAGAGUGCAAAAGGGAAGGUGAACAAGACCGAGAGCACUCGGGUAGAAAAGAGGAACGAAGAUUAUGACGAGACUCAAAAGCUUAAGGAAUACGAUAGAAUCUGAUACCAACUUGGCACGCCCAAUAUGCGAUACUAUCGUAAAGAGAUUCGCGGGUCCCUCCAAGGAUAGAACCGCAUAUUGACACACUUUUGCAAGGUGGAUAUCAUUACAUCAAACCAUUACAUAAUAGAUGAGCAUACAUACAAAAGGCAUACAAACACACAAGAAUACAUCAAUGCAUCAUACAUAGAACAACAUCCGACUACGGAUGAAACACAAACAAAACUCAAACGACAUCCACCCUGCUAGCCCAGGCCGCCGACUAUAGGAACCUAUCCCAAGAUCAACGACGAAGAAGAAGAACUCCAAAACAAGAAAAACAUCGCUCUCGCGUCAUGAUCAUCACAUUACCUGUACCUGCAACUGUUGUUGUAGUAAUCUGUGAGCCACAAGCACUCAGCAAUCCCAUUACCAUGGGUAUCAAGACUAGCAAAGCUUAAUGGGUAUGGAAAGGAUAAGUGGUGAGGUUGCAGCGGCGGCUAAGCAAUGUAUGGUGGCUAACUUACGAGUACAAGAGUAAGAUGAGAAACUACGCAAACAGUCGCAAACUAGUAAUGAUCAAUAAAUGAACCUAAACUACUUACAUUCAAACAUAACCCAACCGUGUUCUCCUCUCGAACUUCCCCGAAAACAGACUGUCAUGGUUACGCACGCGGUUGGUGUAUUUUAGUUGAGUCUACUUCAAGUCCUCUACAACUGGAUAUUAACAAAUUCACAUCUGCCACAUAACCGCGGGCACGGCUCUCGAAAGUUUAAACCCUGCAUGGUGUCCCAACUUAGCCCAUGACAAGCUCACGAUCCACGGAGACAAUCCUCCAUCGCGGGACCCUCCGAUCAGACUCGGAAUCCAGGUGCACAAGACAUUUCAACAAUGGUAAAACAAGUCCAGCAAGAAACCCGACAUGCCGACACCCUGAUAGUAGCCGCACGUAUCUCUUCUCAGGCCACGAUGGAUGAGCUAGGCGUACAGGUGCCAACAUACCCCAAGUUGCCAAGGGGCGGCCCCGCACAGUUUCAGACUUAGCAAAAUAAACAUGGAAUGGCAGAAACAGAUUUAUGAUAGCAUGUUUGCAAGCUUGUUUCACUCAUUACAAGGCACUUCAUGGCAUGAAAUAAAUUCUAGCAGUAAGAUGGCAGAAUGAAGAACAUGUUCAUAUGCAAAACUUCCUCAUGGCAUAAAUGGUAUUAAAUGCACAAAAAUGAAAAAAUGCUACAUGCUGCAAAUAUAACAUGUUCACAAACUUGCUCAAAUCAUGAAAUGGAUGCCCCAGAUGGCUUGGUGGGAUUUUUCUGGUGCAAAAUGAUAUAUAAUAUGCAUAUGAGAUGAUUUUGGCAACAACAUAGGAUGGCACAAUGCAAACACAUGGCAUAACAAGUGAAAUAAGCAUGGUGAAAGAAGCAAAGACAUGGCAAGGCACUCAACAUGAUCAUGGCAUAAACAUAUAGGAAUAAAAUAUGCAAAAUAAUUAUGAUAAUGCAACAAACAUAAUAAAAAACACGACAACAACUAAAAUAAAUCAAAGGCAUCUGGAGCAUCGGUCUCGGGGUGUUACAACUCUCCUCCACUAACAAGAGAUCUCGUCCCAAGAUCUUAGGAAUGAGACGGAAGUAAAAGAGGAUAAGGAAGAAUAAGAGCACAAAAGGAAGGUGAACAAGACCGAGAGCACUCGGGUAGAAAAGAGGAACGACGAUUAUGUCAAGACUCGAAAGCUCAAGGAAUACGAUAGACUUUGAUACCAACUUGUCACGCCCAAUAUGCGAUACUAUCCUCAAGAGAAUCGAGGGCCCCACCAAGGAUAGAACAUAUUGACACGCUUUUGCAAGGUGGAUAUCAUUACAUCAAACCAUUACAUAAUAGAUGGCGAUACAUACAAAAGGCAUACAAAGCCACAAGAAUAAAUCAAUGAAUCAUACAUAGAACAACAUGCGACUACGGAUGAAACACAAACAAAAGCUCAAACGACAUCCACCCUGCUAGCCCAUGCUGCCUACUAGGAACCUAUCCCAAGAUCGACGAAGAAGAAGAAGAACUCCAAAACAAGAAAAAAAAUCGCUCUCGUGUCAUGAUCAUCGCAUUACAUGUACCUGCAACUGUUGUUGUAGUAAUCUGUGAGCCACAAGGACUCAGCAAUCCCAUUACCAUGUGUAUCAAGACUAGCAAAGCUUAAUGGGUAUGGAAAGGAUAAGUGGAGAGGUUGCAUCGGCGGCUAAACAAUGUGUGGUGGCUAACUUACGAGUACAAGAGUAAGACGAGAAACUACGCAAACGGUCACAAACUAGUAAUGAUCAAUAAGUGAUCCUGGACUAUUUACGUUCAAAUAUAACCCAACCGUGUUCUCCUCUCGAACUUCCCCGAAAAGAGACAAUCACGGUUAGGCACGCGGUUGGUGUAUUUUAGUUGAGUUUACUUCAAGUCCUCUACAACCGGAUAUUAACAAAUUCCUAUCUGCCACAUAACCGCGGGCACGACUCUUGACAGUUUAAACCCUGCAGGGGUGUCCCAACUUAGCCCAUGACAAGCUCACGAUCCGCGGAGACAAUCCUCCAUCGCGGGACCCUCCCAUCAUACUCGGAAUUCCGAUGCACAAGACAUUUUGACAAUGGUAAAACAAGUCAAGUAAGACCUCCUGACGUGCCGACACCCUGAUAGUAGCCGCGCAUAUCUUGUCUCAGGCCACGUCGGAUGAGCUACACGUACAUGUGCCAACAUACCCCAAGUUGGCUAGGGGCGGCCCCACAUAGUGCUGUAGUUUGGGACCAACACCAUCGGCACUGGCCUCCGUGUAUGUAGAAAGAAUCCUAGGGUUCACGACGCCCUAUGCCAAUUAAUUAUUUAGUUCAAUAUUAUUAUGGCAAAUGUUAAAACCAAUGUUGGGCCUUGCUGGAAGAGUUUUAUUCAAAGCGAACUGUCAAGAGGGUCCCAUAAACCCUCACCAUGUUAGGGACGCAAAAUCAAGGAACAUAACACCAAUAUGAUGGAAACUAGGGCGGCAACAGUGGAACAAAACACCAGGCAAAAGGCUGAGCCUUCCACCCUUUACUAAGUAUAUAGAUGCAUUAAUUAAAUAAGAGAUAUUGUGAUAUCCCAUGAUAUCCAUGUCCCAAUAAGGAACAACCUGCAACUGCACCUGCAACUAGCAACGCUAUAAGAGGGGCUGAGAAAAGCGACGACAUAGCGAAACAACGGUUUGCUAGGAAGGGUGAAAAGGUUAGAGGCUAUCAUGGCAAUUUGGGAGGCUCGAUAAACAAGUGGUAGGUAGCGCGACAUAGCGAUAGCAUCGAGACAACUAGCAUAGCCAAGGUAACGGUCAUCUUGCCUGAAAUCCCGCUAGGAAGAAGAACGAGUCCAUAAAGUAGACGGGCCAACGUAGUCGAACGGAUCCUCACCGUCGCAACGUAACCGAAACUAUCGAGAAGGAGCACAACCGGAAAGAAGCAAACAACAUGGUAAACACACAAGCAUAAACAUGACAUGGAAAAUAACACAUGCUACAUGCAUGAUGAACAUGAAUGCAUAUGAAGAAUGCAACAGACAGAGCUAAGGCUACUGGUACGAGGGAUAGGUUGCCGGGAAUUACAAAGGUGUUGACAUGAUAGAUAUGGUCAAACUCUUGGCAAACCAAGUAUGCCACUGGAUAGAUGGGAAGAUUCUAGUUGAAAAUGAUAUAAAUAUCACCGGAAUCGGAUACACGGAUUUCAUAUGAUGAACAAAACAAAAUGCAAUGCAAAGCUGUCCAAAACAGCAACAUGCCCACUUGGAUGCAUCACUUAAAUAUGCAACAGAACUUAAACAUGGAAACAAAUGGCAUGUCAUUGAAAUACAUAACAUCCACUAGAAAACAUGAUCACUGAACUAUUUCUAAAACUUAAUGGAUCAUCACCAAAACAGCAUGGCAAACUGACAACUCAUAAGAGUUUAACAUACUUGGUGAAAACACAGAACAUGGCAGGAAACAGAUUCAUGAUGCAAUGUUUAGGUCUAGCAACUACAUGCUACAGGAACAUAUUAAGACAACCAAGAGCAUGGCAUGCUAGUACAAUAUGCACUUAACAAAACUCCCUCACUGAACUUUGUCCAGAAACUCAUAGAUAAGAUGAUACAAACAAUGCAAAAUGGCAAGUUAUGCUGACAGUUUCAGACUUAGCAAAAUAAACAUGGCAUGGCAGAAACAGAUUUAUGAUAGCAUGUUUGCAAGCUUGUUUCACUCAUUACAAGGCACUUCAUGGCAUGAAAUAAAUUCUAGUAGUAAGAUGGCAUAAUGAAGAGCAUGUUCAUAUGCAAAACUUCCUCAUGGCAUAAAUGGUAUCAAAUGAACAAAAAUGACAAAAUGCUACAUGAUGCAAAUAUAACAUGUUCACAAACUUGCUCAAAUGAUGAAAUGGAUGCCACAGAUGGCUUUGGUGGGAUUUUUCUACUGCAAAAUGAUAUAUAAUAUGCAUAUGAUAUGAUUUUGGCAACAACAUAGGAUGGCACAAUGCAAACACAUGGCAUAGCAAGUGAAAUAAGCAUGAUGAAAGAAGCAAAGAUAUGACAAGGCACUCAACAUGAUCAUGGCAUAAACAUGUAGGAAUGAAAUACCCAAAACAAUUAUGAUAAUGCAACAAACAUAAUAAAAAACACGACAACAACUAAAAUAAAUGGAAGGCAUCUAGAGCAUCGGUCUCGCGGUGUUACAACUCUCCUCCACUAACAUGAGAUCUCGUCCCGAGAUCUUAGGAACGAGAUGGAAGUAAAAGAGGAUAAGGAGGAAUAAGAGCGCAAAAGGGAAGGUGAACAAGACCGAGAGCACUCGAGUAGAAAAGAGGAAUGACGAAUAUGACGAGACUCAAAAGCUCAAGGAAUACGAUAGAAUCUGAUACCAACUUGUCACGCCCAAUAUGCGAUACAAUCGUAAAGAGAUUCGCGGGUCCCGCCAAGGAUAGAACCGCAUAUUGACACACUUUUGCAAGGUGGAUAUCAUUACAUCAAAGCAUUACAUAAUAGAUGAGCAUACAUACAAAAGGCAUACAAACACACAAGAAUACAUCAAUGCAUCAUACAUAGAACAACAUCCGACUACGGAUGAAACACAAACAAAACUCAAACGACAUCCACCCUGCUAGCCCAGGCUGCCGACUAUAGGAACCUAUCCCAAGAUCGACGAUGAAGAAGAAGAACUCCAAAACAAGAAAAACAUCACUCUCAUGUUAUGAUCAUCACAUUACAUGUACCUGCAACUGUUGUUGUAGUAAUCUGUGAGCCACAAGGACUCAGCAAUCCCAUUACCAUGGGUAUCAAGACUGGCAAAGCUUAAUGGGUAUGGAAAGGAUAAGUUGAGAGGUUGCAGCGGCGGCUAAGCAAUGUAUGGUGGCUAACUUACAAGUACAAGAGUAAGACGAGAAACUAUGCAAACGGUCGCAAACUAGUAAUGAUCAAUAAGUGAUCCUGAACUAUUUAUGUUCAAAUAUAACCCAACCGUGUUCUCCUCUCGAACUUCCCCGAAAAGAGAUAGUCACGGUUAGGCACGCGGUUGGUGUAUUUUAGUUGAGUUUACUUCAAGUCCUCUACAACCGGAUAUUAACAAAUUCCUAUCUGCCACGUAACCGCGGGCACGGCUCUUGACAGUUUAAACCCUGCAGGGGUGUCCCAACUUAGCCCAUGAGAAGCUCACGAUCCGCGGAGACAAUCCUCCAUCGCGUGACCCUCCCAUCACACUCGGAAUCCGGGUGCACAAGACAUUUCGACAAUGGUAAAACAAGUCAAGUAAGACCUCCUGACAUGCCGACAGCCUGAUAGUAGCCGCGCGUAUCUUGUCUCAGGCCACGACGGAUGAGCUACACGUACAGGUGCCAACAUACCCCAAGUUGCCAAGGGGCGGCCCCACACAGUGUUCUAGUUUGGGACUAACACCAUCGGCACUGGCCUCCGUGUAUGUAGAAAGAAUCCUUAGGUUCAUGACGCCCUAUGCCAAUUAAUUAUUUAGUUCAAUAUUAUUAUGGCAAAUGUUAAAACCAAUGUUGGGCCUUGCUGGAAGAGUUUUAUUCAAAGCGAACUGUCAAGAGGGUCCCAUAAACCGUCACCAUGAUAGGGAUGCAAAAUUAAGGAACAUAACACCGGUAUGACGAAAACUAAGGCGGCAACAGUGGAACAAAACACCAGGCAAAAGGCCGAGCCUUCCACCCUUUACCAAGUAUAUAGAUGCAUUAAUUAAAUAAGAGAUAUUGUGAUAUCCCAUGAUAUCCAUGAUAUCCAUGUCCCAACAAGGAACAACCUGCAACUAGCAACGCUAUAAGAGGGGCUGACCAAAGCGGUAACAUAGCGAAACAACGGUUUGCUAGGAGGGUGAAAAGGUUAGAGGCUAUCAUGGCAAUUGGGGAGGCUCGAUAAACAAGUGGUAGGCAGCGCGACAUAGCAAUAGCAUCGAGACAACUAGCAUAGCCAAGGUGACGGUCAUCUUGCCUGAAAUCCCGCUAGGAAGAAGAACGAGUCCAUGAAGUAGACGGACCAACAUAGUCGAACGGAUCCUCACCGUCGUAAUGUAACCAAAACAAUCGAGAAGGAGCACAACUAGAAAGAAGCAAACAACAUGGUAAACACACAAGCAUAAACAUGACAUGGAAAACAACACAUGCUACAUGCACGAUGAACAUGAAUGCAUAUGAAGAAUGCAACAGACGGAGCUAAGGCUACUGGUACGAGGGAAAGGUUGCCAGGAAUUACAAAGGUGUUGACAUGAUAGAUAUGGUCAAACUCUUGGCAAACCAAGUAUGCCACUGGAUAGAUGGGAAUAUUCUAGUUGAAAACGAUAUAAAGAUCACCGGAAUCGGAUGCACGGAUUGCAAAUGAUGAACGAAACAAAAUGCAAUGCAAAGCUGUCCAAAACAGCAACAUGCCCAUUUGGAUGCAUCACUUAAAUAUGCAAUAAAACUUAAACAUGGAAUCAAAUGGCAUGGAAUUGAAAUACAUAACAUCCACUACAAAAUAUGAUCACUGAACUAUUUCUAAAACUUAAUGGAUCAUCACCAAAACAACUUGGCAAACUGACAACUGAUAAGUGUUUAAAAUACUUGGUGAAAACACAGAACAUGGCAGGAAACAGAUUCAGGAUGCAACGUUUAGGUCUAGCAACUACAUGCUACAGGAACAUAUUAAGGCAACCAAGAGCAUGGCAUGCUAGUACAAUAUACACUUAACAAUAGGCCGUGUUGAUGGUGUUGAUGUCAUCAUCGUCGCUGCCGCCGCAGCACCAUGACGAUGUCGUCGUCUUCGUCGCCACCGUAGCCCUGUGUCGAUGCCGAUGUCGUCGUCAUCAUCCUCGCCGCAGCCCCAUGUCGAUAUCGUCUUCGUCACCGCCGUAGCUUCAUGUCCAUGUGUUCCCUACUAGGAACUCACAAAUCCUGGAAUUAAAUAAUGAACCAAGACCACUACUAGGAACUCAAAAGAACCUGGAGCAUUAGUACAAUAUAACAGUAACCUAUAGAGCACUAAGUAACAAUGGCAGAAACGAAAGCAUAUAGCAGCAACAUAGUAUAUAUGAAUUAUAAGCAGUACCUAACAGACCGGUCCUAGAAAUUGGGGAAAACCCAACUUAAGAAGGAUACAGUGCUAGGCAUGACCAAAUCUUAUUAUAUAUUCUGAAUCCAAGAUUCUGAGGCAAAUUGCAACAAGCAAAGUUUGUGCACCAAGUAGGAGUAAUUCCCAGGUCAUUCGCAAGCAAAGUUUGUUGUAUUACUAGUAAUCAUCAGUAGUAACAACACUUGGUGUGUCAAUCAAUAAGCAUCAUAACCAACAAUAUCUCUCUAGCUACACAAUCGUACUAGUAUUACGGUCUAUUUGACUAGUAUUACGGUCUAAAAUAGAAUAGAGGGGAGUUUCUAGGUACCUGGGUUUGGCCGUGGACGCCGAAUCCAGGGCCGAGAUAUAUACUUGUAGAGCAUUUCAGCUUUGCUUUCCACCGACCAGAAGCUAGAUCCUCAUCAACCAUUCUCAGCUUCACUGUCAGCAUUUCAAUCUGCUCUUUUGUCCUACCGCAUUUCUGGUUCAACACAGAUGAAGAUUGUUAUAAAUACUAGGCUACCAAUUCAUACACGAAUGUGAUAUGGGUUUAUUAUUAGAUUAUAUACGUAAAUUUACAGGCCCGAGAUACCUUGUAUAGGUCAACAAGAAUAUUGUCAAGAGACCCCCGAGCUUCAUUUGGACAAUGGUCAUGGAAGGAUCUUAUUGCAUCGAUGGCUUCUUCAGCCCAGUUUGCUUGUUUCAGUAUAGUAGCCAUAUCCUUUAAUGCACUCUCAAUUGUUCACCACUGUUAAGAGCUACUCAGAACAAUGGAACUGCCUUGUUUGGAUCCUUUUCAAUUAACUGGAAUAAUAGAAGCAAAGUGAGGAAGCAAAGUUAGACACAAGCUUAUCUUACAAAAGCUUUUAUGAUCAAGAUUGUAAAUGCAUCUUGAUUGAUUCACAAGUCUGCAAGUGCCACCCUCCAUGAUCCAAGUAGUUAUCAAUUAAACAUGGAAAAACUAAUAAAUAUUUCUAAACUGAACCAGGUAAAGCAAUAUAAGUAUCUAUAAAUAAAGGGCUAUAUCCUUUAAACCAAUGAUAUUGUUAAUUACUAAGCAUGUAAAAGAAACAUCUGAUAUAACUAAAGCAAUAAAAGAAGUGUCACCACAUGCAACUACCAGACUAUGUGAUGUGCAAUAUACAACUAAACCACUAAAAGAUGAUGUACUAAACAGAACAAGAAAUACCAGUACAUGGUAUUUAAAUAAAAACUAAUAUGUAUUAAACACAUAUACCAGCUUGAAGAGUAACAAGUGACCAACAAGAAUAUAAGCAUGUAAUUAUACUUGUAGCAAGAGAAACUGAAAUAAAAGGAACAUUUAAAUAACAAGAACUACAACCAGAACUAGAUCAUGACCACAAGUUGAUCACAGAGUUAGAGUAGCAUCAAUUCCACAGGAACACAUCUAUAUGCAUGGUAGGUUAAUGGUUUAAUUGUCAAUUAAGGAUACAGUGCUAGUAUAUCAAACAAGUGCACAUAGGACCACCAGCAGCACUAAAUCCCCAAUGACCAGCCCAUAGGCAUGAACUAGAACUAGAGUAUGGACUAGUGGAUCAACAGGAGCAUUAGCACAUCAACAAAUCUAGGCCCAAAUAUGAACCCUAAAUAGUAACCAACUACCCCAACUAAUUUCAGCAAAGCACAAAUCAAGUAGCCGACCGUAGCCAUCAAUCCAAGCGUCCUCAAAAACCUAAGUCAUAUUACCAGUACACGAAGAGGACCAAGAUCACCGUGGCCAUGGUCUAGGCAAUAGAGGCAGCAGUAGGGCAGAGAAGGAGAAGCUCACCAUGAAGGCUUAUAGACGAGGCCGUGCAUCGCCACCGCCGCAGUUGCGGUGUGGCCAACUCACCGCCGUCACACGGCGGCAGGAGGCGAGGUACACGAAGCCAUGGAGAGGCAGGCGACCGCCGCAUCGCCAGCGACCACUGGGCCGCAUCAGUGAUGUGUGUGACACCUAGGCACAACUAGGAGGCGAGUCACACCGGAGCAAUGCGCCGGAACCACGCCGAUGACCUAGCCCCGCAAGCACUGAAACCCUAGCGAGGUUUGACCGAAGCGAGCGACCACACAAGGCAGGGGAAAGCAGAUCGAAGAGGUGGAGCAGGUAGAGCUCGGUGAGGGGGAGUCGUGGGCAUGCUGGACGGCGCCAGAGCUCGCCGGAGUUGGUAGUGAAGGCCGGAGGCAGGGGCGGUGAUUUGGGGAUGGCGUGGGAAAGAGAGAGAGAGAGAGAGAGAGAGAGAGAGAGAGAGAGAGAGAAAUGAGAGAGAGAGAGAGGUUAGGAGGCCAGUCGGGCCAGUGGAUUUCUAUCCACAGCUGUAGCGCGGGAUGACAAAGAGCAUUAGUGCUAUUGCUUUAGUUGUAGCACUGCGUAGGUUCCAAGCGCUGGUAGUAUCUCUUGACCUGGCCGUGUGGUGUUCCACAUUUAACAGUAGUUCCGUCCACCCAAACCAGCGCUACUGCUAAAUUGUACCAGUAGCACUUGUUAUUCCCAGCGCUACUAGUACUUAGCAAUAGCGCUACUGCUUAAACUAGCGCUACUAGUAAAAUUCUACCUAUAAGCGUUUUCCUAGUAGUGUGAGAUGGUGCCGGUGAAUAUGUUGAUGGAGAUUGACCCCCUCCUGAUGAGAGGAUCGUUGGUGAUGACGAUGGGGAUGAUUUUCCCCUCCCCAAGGGAAGUUUCCCCGGCAGAACAACUCCGCCUGAGCCCUACAUUGGUUCCGCCAAGGUUCCGCCUCGUGGCGGCGGAGUUUCGUCCCGUGAGCUUGCUUAUGAUUGUUUCCUCGACGAAAGACUCCAUAUAGACAAAGAUGGGCAUCAUAGGGCCAGCAGGGGGCCCACGAGGCAGGGGGCGCACCGAGGGGGGUAGGGCGCGCCCCCACCCUCGUGGCCAGGGUGUGGGCCCUCUCUGGUACUUUCUUCACUUAGUAUUUUUUAUUAAUUCCAAAAAUGACUUCCGUGAAGUUUCAGGACUUUUGGAGCUGUGCAGAAUAGGUCUCUAAUAUUUGCUCCUUUUCCAGCCCAGAAUUCCAGCUGCCGGCAUUCUCCCUCUUCAUGUAAACCUUGUAAAAUAAGAGAGAAUAGGAAUAAGUACCGUGACAUAAUGUGUAAUAACAGCCCAUAAUGCAAUAAAUAUCGAUAUAGAAGCAUGAUGCAAAAUGGACGUAUCAACUCCCCCAAGCUUAGACCUCGCUUGUCCUCAAGCGAAAGCCGUAAUCGAAAAAUACGUCCACAUGUUUGGAGAUAGAGGUGUCUAUAAAAAUAAAAUACGGACAUGAGGGCGUCAUGAUCAUUCUUAGAACAGCCAUAUAUAUAUAUUGUCAUAUGAUCUCUUAUGCUAAAGUAACAAUUCAAUCACAAUUUCAAGUCUGAACCAUAAACUUCAUUGAGAACUAACAAACUCUAAUCUCAGUCAUUGAGGCAGUUGCAAUUUAUCAUAACAUAGGAAAGAGUAAAUAUAAGAGCUUUUCAGCAAGUCCACAUACUCAACUAUCAUUUAGUCUUUCACAAUUGCUAAAACUCACGCAUUAUUUAUGUGUAUGAAGUUUUAAUCGGACACAGAGAAAGAUAGGGGCUUAUAGUUUUGCCUCCCAACUUUUUACCUCAAGGGUAAUGUCAACAAUAAUAGUUCAUGAAAACUCACAUCCAAUUAGCUAUAUAUAUCAGGAUCUUUCCAACACAUUGUGCUUGCCAAAGGAUAAAAUAUAAAAGGAAAGGUGAAUAUCACCAUGACUCUUUGCAUGAAGUAUAAGACAAGAAUAAAAGAUAGGCUCUUCGCAGAGGGAAGCAGAGGUUGUCAUGCGCUUUUAUGAUUGGAUAUACAAAAUCUUAAUGCAAAAUAAUGUCACUUUAUAUUGCCACAUGUGAUAUGGACCUUCAUUAUGCAGUAUGUCGCUUUUACUUCUUCCACAUCACAAUAUCGUAUAAAGCUUAUUUUCUCCACAUUAAUAGAUCAUACAUAUUUAGUGAGCAAUUUUUAUUGCGUGCACCGAUGACAACUUACUUAAAGGAUCUUACUCAAUCCAUAGGUAUGCAUGGUGAACUCUCAUGGCAAAAAUGGGUUUAGGAAUAUUUGGAAGCACAAGUAGUAUCUCUACUUGGUUCAAAGAAAUUGGCUAGCAUGAGAGGGAAAUGCAAGCUCAACAUGUUGGACGAUCCAUGACAAUAUAAUUUAUCUCAGAUGUAAGAAAACAUAACCCAUUACGUUGUCUUCCUUGUCCAAUGUCAACUCUUUAGCAUGUCAUAUUUUAAUGAGUGCUCAUAAUCAUAAAAGAUGUCCAAGAUAGUAUAUUUAUAUGUGAAAACCUCUCUUUCUUUAUUACUUCCUAUUAAUUGCAACAAUGACCAAAACUAUGUUUGUCAACUUUCAACAACUUUUAUUCAUCAUACUUUUAUAUGUGAAGUCAUUACUCUCCAUAAGAUCCUUAUGAUCUCUUUAUUUCCUUCUAUUUCUUCUCUUUUAUUUUAUUCCCUCGAGAUCAUAGCAAAAUAAUCAAGCCCUUGACUCAACACUAAUCUUUAUUAUAUAUAGCUCACGGACUCGAUUACAUAGAAGGAUCAUAAAGCAAAACUAAAAACUAGAUCAUACUAAAACUUUAUUCUAAUAGAUCAAGAUAUUAUCAAGAGGAUCAUACUAAGAGAAAUGGUAAAGAUAAAAGUGAUGGUGAUACGAUACCGGGGCACUCCCCCAAGCUUGGCAGUUGCCAAGGGGAGUGCCCAUACCCAUUGAUGUCUACUACACAACCUUAUUCUUGUAGACGUUGUUGGGCCUCCAAGUGCAGAGGUUUGUAGGACAGUAGCAAAUUUCCCUCAAGUGGAUGACCUAAGGUUUAUCAAUCUAUGGGAGGCGUAGGAUGAAGAUGGUCUCUCUCAAGCAACCCUGCAACCAAAUAACAAAGAGCAUCUUGUGUCCCCAACGCACCCAAUACAAUGGUAAAUUGUAUAGGCGCACUAGUUUGGUGAAGAGAUGGUGAUACAAGUGCAAUAUGGAUAGUAGAUAAUGGUUUUUGUAAUCUGAAAAUAUAAAAACAACAAGGUAACUAAUGAUAAAAGUGAGCACAAACGGUAUUGCAAUGCGUUGAAAUAAGGCCUAGGGUUCAUACUUUCACUAGUGCAAGUUCCCUCAACAAUAAUAACAUAAAUGGAUCAUAUAAAUUUCCCUCAACAUGCAACAAAGAGUCACUCCAAAGUCACUAAUAGCAGAGAACAAACGAAGAGAUUAUGGUAGGGUACGAAACCACCUCAAUGUUAUCCUUUGUGAUCAAUCUAUUCAAGAGUCCGUAGUAAAAUAACAUGAAGCUAUUCUUUCCGUUCAAUCUAUCAUAGAGUUCAUACUAGAAUAACACCUCAAGACACACAUCAACCAAAACCCUAAUGUCACCUAGAUACUCCAAUGUCAUCUCAAGUAUCCGUGGGUAUGAUUAUAUGAUAUGCAUCAUACAAUCUCAGAUUCAUCUAUUCAACCAACACAAAAGUACUUCAAAGAGUGCCCCAAAGUUUCUACCGGAGAGUCAAUACGAAAACGUGUGCCAACCCCUAUGCAUAGGUUCAUGGGCGGAACCCGCAAGUUGAUCACCAAAACAUACAUCAGGCGGAUCAAUAGAAUACCCCAUUGUCACCACGGGUAUCCCACGCAAGACAUACAUCAAGUGUUCUCAAAUCCUUAAAGACUCAAUCCGAUAAGAUAACUUCAAAGGGAAAACUCAAUCCAUUACAAGAGAGUAGAGGGGGAGAAAACAUCAUAAGAUCCAACUAUAAUAGCAAAGCUCGCGAUACAUCAAGAUCGUACCACCUCAAGAACACGAGAGAGAGAGAGAGAGAGAGAGAGAGAGAGAUCAAACACAUAGCUACUGGUACAUACCCUCAGCCCCGAGGGAGAACUACUCCCUCCUCGUCAUUGAUAACCCACAAGUAUAGGGGAUUGCAACAGUUUUCGAGGGUAGAGUAUUCAACCCAAAUUUGUUGAUUCGACACAAGGGGAGCCAAAGAAUAUUCUCAAGUAUUAGCAGCUGAGUUGUGAAUUCAAGCACACCUAGAAACUUAAUAUCUGCAGCAAACUGUUUAGUAGCAAGGUAAUAUGAUAGUAGUGAUAACGGUAACAAAAGGUAACCAUAGUAAAAGCAAUGUUUUUGGUAUUUUUUAGUGAUGAUAGUAAUAGCAACGGAAAAGUAAAUAAGCGAAGCACAAUAUAUGGAAAGCUCAUAGGCAAUGGAUCGGUGAUGGAGAAUUAUGCCGAAUGCGGUUCAUCAUGUAACAGUCAUAACCUAGGGUGACACAAAACUAGCUCCAGUUCAUUGAUAUAAUGUAGGCAUGUAUUCCGAAUAUAGUCAUACGUGCUUAUGGAAAAGAACUUGCAUGACAUCUUUUGUCCUACCCUCCCGUGGCAGCGGGGUCCUUACGGAAACUAAGGGAUAUUAAGGCCUCCUUUUAAUAGAGAACCGGAACAAAGAAUUAACACAUAGUGAAUACAUGAACUCCUCAAACUACGGUCAUCACCGAUAAGUAUCCCGAUUAUUGUCACUUCGGGGUUAACGGAACAUAAAACAUAAUAGGUGACUAUAGACUUGCAAGAUAGGAUCAAGAACACUCAUAUAUUGAUGAAAACAUAAUAGGUUCAGAUCUGAAAUCAUGGCACUCGGGCCCUAGUGACAAGAAUUAAGCAUAGCAAAGUCAUAGCAACAUCAAUCUCAGAACAUAGUGGAUACUAGGGAUCAAACCCUAACAAAACUAACUCGAUUACAUGAUAGAUCCCAUCCAACCCAUCACCGUCCAGCAAGCCUAUGAUGGAAUUACUCACGCACGGUGGUGAGCAUCAUGAAAUUGGUGAUGGAGGAUGGUUGAUGAUGAUGAUGGCGAUGGAUUCCUCUCUCCGGAGCCCCGAACGGACUCCAGAUCAGCCCUCCCGAGAGGUUUUAGGGCAUGGCGGCGGCUCCGUAACGUAAAAUGCGAUGAUUUCUUCUCCCUGAUUUUUUUCUCAUCAAAACUCAUUAUAUGGAGGUGGAGUUGGAGUCGAAGACGCAACAGGGGGCCCACGAGGUAGGGGGCGCGCCCCCACCCUCGUGGCAAGACGGUGGCCCCCCUGGCCUUCAUCUUUGGCAGGUAUUUUUCUUAUUUUCUGAAAAAUGUCUCCGUGAAGUUUCAGGUCAUUCUGAGAACGUUUGAUCCUGCACAUAAAUAACACCAUGGUAAUUCUGCUGAAAACAGCGUCAGUCCGGGUUAGUUCCAUUCAAAUCAUGCAAGUUAGAGUCCAAAACAAGGGCAAAAGAGUAGAUACGUUGGAGACGUAUCCACUCCAGCAGGCUUAAACCUUUGCUUGUCCUCAAGCAAUUCAGUUGACAAACUGAGAGUGAUAAAGAAAAACUUUUACAAACUCUGUUUGCUCUUGUUGUUGUAAAUUUGUAAAGCCAACAUUCAAGUUUUCAGCAAAGAUUAUAACUAACCACAUUUGCAAUAACGCAUAGGUCUCAAGUUACUCAUAUCAAUAGCAUAAUCAACUAGCGAGCCAUAAUAAUAAAACUCGGAUGACAACACUUUCUCAAAACAAUCAUAAUAUGAUAUAACAUGGUGGUAUCUCGCUAGCCCUUUCUGAGACCGCAAAACAUAAAUGCAGAGCACCUUUAAAGACCAAGGACUGACUAGACAUUGUAAUUCAUGGUAAAAGAGAUCCAGUCAAGUCGUACUCAAUGUAAACUAACAGUAAUGAAUGCAAAUGACAGCGGUGCUCUCCAACUGGUGCUUUUUGAUAAGAGGAUGAUGACUCAGCAUAAAAGUAAAUAGAUAUGCCCUUCGCAGAGGGAAGCAGGGAUUUGUAGAGGUGCCAGAGCUCGGUUUUGAAACAGAGGUGAAUAAUAUUUUGAGCGGUAUACUUUCAUUGUCAACAUAACAACCAAGAGAUGGCGAUAUCUUCCAUGCUACACACAUUAUAGGUGGUUCCCAAAUAGAAUGGUAAAGUCUAUAUUCCCCUUCCACCACAGGCAUCAAUCCAUGGCUCGCUCGAAACAACGAGUGCCUCCAACUAACAAGAGUCCCGAGGGGAGUUUUGUUUGCAAUUAUUUUGAUUUAGUUUGCAUAAAGCAUGGGACUGGACAUCCCGGUGACCAGCCAUUUAUCUCGUGAGUGAGGAGCAGAGUCCACUCCUCUUGAGAAUAACCCACCUAACAUGGAAUACACAGACAACCCUAGUUGAUACAUGAGCUAUUCGAGCAUACAAAACAGGAUAUUUAUUUGAAGGUUUAGAGUUUGGCACAUACAAAUUUACUUGGAACGGCAGGUAGAUACCGUAUAUAGGUAGGUAUAGUGGACUCAUGUGGAAUAACUUUGGGAUUUAAGGAGUUUGGAUGCACAAGCAGUAUUCCCGCUUAGUACAGUUGAAGGCUAGCAAAAGACUGGGAAGCGACCAGCUGGAGAGCGACAACAUUCAUGGACAUGCAUUAAAAUUAAUCAACACUGAAUGCAAGCAUGAGUAGGAUAUAAUCCACCAUGAACAUAAAUAUCGUGAAGGCUAUGUUGAUUUUGUUUCAACUACAUGCGUGAACAUGUGCCAAGUCAAGUCACUUAAAUCAUUCAGAGGAGGAUACCACCCUAUCAUACCACAUCAUAACCAUCUCAAUAGCAUGUUGGCACGCAAGGUAAACCAUUAUAACUCAUAGCUAAUCAAGCAUGGCACAAGAAACUAUGAUCUCUAGUUGUCAUUGCAAACACGUUUAUUCAUAAUAGGCUAAAUCAGGAACGAUGAACUAAUUAUAUUUACAAAAACAAAAGAGGUCGAGUUCAUACCAGCUUUUCUCAUCUCAGCCAGUCCAUCAUAUAUCAUCAUAAUUGCCUUUCACUUGCACGACCAAACGAUGUGAAUAAUAAUAAUAGUGCACGUGCAUUGGACUAAGCUGGAAUCUGCAAGCAUUCAAUAAACAAGAGAAGACAAGGCAAUAUGGGCUCUUUUAUCAGAUAAAAAAUAAUGCAUAUAAGAGCCACCUCAACAAUUUAAUUAUGGUCUUCUCCAAUCGACCCCCAAAGAAAAGAAAAUAAAUAAAACUAUUUACUCGGGAAAGCUCCCAACAAGCAAAAGAAGAACAUGAAAUCUUUUUGGGUUUUCUUUUUAAUAACUACUACAAGCAUGGAAAGUAAACUAAUUAAAAACUACAACUAUUUUUUUGUUUUUCUUAAGGUUUAUUAACACACAAGAAGAAAGCAUAAAAAAGGAAAUUAAACUAGCAUGGAUGAUACAAAUGAAAAAGUACGAGCACGAACAUCUAGCAAUGAGUGUGUGAACAUGAAUGUAAUGUCGGUGAGAAAUACGUACUCCCCCAAGCUUAGGCUUUUGGCCUAAGUUGGUCUAUGGCAAUGGCUGGGCUGGCGGAUAUCCAUAAUAAUAGUUGGGGUCGUACUGUGAUGUAGAAGAGGAAGACUCAGAUUGCCACUGGCUGACAAUCAUCUCUGGAUCCCACUGGUAAUUAGACUGUCGUGAAGGAUCAAAUUGUGGUUCCUGCUCUGGCUCCUCGGAUGGUGCAGGGUUCCGGUAGGCGUGGAUAGCCGUCAACGGAAUAAGGUACGUGCCUACAGUCAAAUCAAACAAAGAAGGAGCAGGCAAGGUAAUAGUCUCAGGAUGAUGUUUAUUAAAGAAUAAUUGAUAUUUAAGCUCUCCUUCCCUAUUCUUAACAAUAAAAUCAUGUGCUACCAUACUUUUAUAAUCUAGAUAAACAUGGGGCAGCACUUUUUCUUCCUUCUUAGCAUGCCUAAUAGGUAUGUUAAAAUGUGCAGCUAGGCAUGUAGCAUAGAUGCCUCCAAAGAUGGGGCCCUUGGUACGGUUCAGACUUAACCGUUUGGCGAUAAUGCUGCCCAUACUAAAAGAGUUAUCACCGUAUAAACCGUGGUGCAAAAUAAUAAUAUCAGGGAUACUCAGGUUUCCAUAGUUUCCGCGACCAAUUAAGCAACGACUAGCAAAUAAUGCAAAGUAGCGUAAAACAGGAAAAAUGUAUGCUAGUGAUUCGUGCAUCGGAAACCUUCCUUGUUUCCCCUAUAGUGAUAGUGUCAAUAAAUCCCUCCACAUCAUCAUGAUGUGGUUCUUCUGUCUUGCCCCCGAAAGGGACUAAAAAGAUCUGACAAAAAUUAUAAAGUGACAUCUCCUUAUGCACAUCAUAUAAAUGAAAUUCCACCAUAGGUGGUGAGUUCCUAGAAUGAAAAUGAAAGUUUUGCACAAAGGUAUUUGUGAGCAAGAGAUACUGAUCGCAUUAGUCGUGGAGGAAAGCGGUAAGGCCUGCAGUCUGAGCCAACUCAUGAAAAUCUUCAUAAAUCCCGGCUGCUCUUAAGAAAUCCUCGCAAGGCCAUUCACACGCCCAAACCUCCGCGGUGCGAGGCAGAUUAUACUUAGGCUUCGGUGCCUUUUCCUUCGAGCUUUGACUCGACGAGCCCCUCAAAAGUCUCCUCAUCAUUUCUGAAAAAUUCUGAAUUUUUUUAGUAACUUCAGAAUAAAAGUAAACCAAACUCAAUAAUAUUGAUAGCAACUACUCCUACAAGUGCCUAGGGCCUAUAUCAUGCAUCACAACUACUUUUGACCAUAUAAAUUUGACAUGCAAGCUCAAGAACAGGGUCACCUAUGCAGCAAAAAUUUGCAAUGAAUAAAGCACUAGAACAAAAACUAAUUGGACCAAUGGAGGAGUCACAUAUAUACCAAGGAACAAUCUCCCCAAGCAGUUUUGUGAGAGGUGCUUUGAGCAAGGAGAUCGAAAAUGACAGCAAAAUGAGCUUGGACUCUGGUUUGAGCUGGUUUUUCUUGUUUGGGGGAUGAAGAUGAAGUGUGUGGGUGCUGGAAUAAGUGGAGGAGGGCCACCAUGGGCCCACGAGGCAGGGGGCGCGCCCUAGAGGGGUGGGCGUGCCCUCCACCCUCGUGGCAAGGUGGUUUCUCCCCCUGGUGUGUUCUUUGUUCCAUUAAUUCUCAAAUAUUCUAGAAAAAAUCAUAUUGAAUUUUCAGGGCAUUUGGAGAACUUUUAUUUUUGAGGUAUUUUUAUAUUGCACGGAUAAUCGGAUAACAGACAGACAAAUAUUUAUUUUUAUUUUAUAAAUAACAUAAAGUAAAAGUUGGGUACAGAAGGUUAUGCCUUCUAGUUUCAUCCAUCUCAUGAUCAUCAAAAGAAAUCCAUAACAAGGUUGAUCAAGUCUUGUUAACGAACUCAUUCCGAAUAACAUGGAACCAGAGAAAUUUCGUAUAACACUAUGUUACCUCAACGAGGAUAUGCACAUCCCCAAUAAUAAGAAUAUCAUAUUUCUUCUUGACAGUAGGAAGAGGAAAUUCAAAACCUCCAAAUAUAAUCGAUGGAAUUUUUCCAAUAGAGUUGAUACUAUGAACUUGAGGUUGUUUCCUCGGAAAGUGUACCAUAUGCUCAUUACCAUUAACAUGAAAAGUGACAUUGCCUUUAGUGCAAUCAAUAAUAGCCCCUGCAGUAUUCAAAAAGGGUCUUCCAAGAAUAAUAGACAUACUAUCGUCCUCGGGAAUAUCAAGAAUAACAAAGUCCGUUAAAAUAGUAAUGUUUGCAACUACAACAGGCACAUCCUCACAAAUACCGACAUGUAUAGCAGUUGAUUUAUCACCCAUUUGCACAGAUAUUUCAGUAGGUGUCAACUUAUUCAAAUCAAGUCUACGAUAUGAAGAGAGAUGCAUAACACUAACAUCGGCUCCAAGAUCACAUAAAGCAGUUUUAACAUAAUUUCUUUUAAUGGAGCAUGGUAUAGCGGGUACUCCUGGAUCUCUAAGUUUCUUUGGUAUUCCACCCUUAAAAGUAUAAUUAGCAAGCAUGGUGGAAAUUUCAGCUUCUGGUAUCUUUCUUUUAUUUGUAAUAAUAUCUUUCAUGUACUUAGCAUAAGGAUUAGUUUUGAGCAUAUCAGUUAAUCGCAUACGCAAAAAGAUAGGUCUAAUCAUUUCAGCAAAGCGCUCAAAAUCAUCAUCAUCCUUUUUCUUGGAUGGUUUGGGAGGAAAAGGCAUGGGUUUCUGAACCCAAGGCUCUCUUUCUUUACCAUGUUUCCUAGCAAAAAAGUCUUUCUUAUCAUAACGUUGAUUCUUUGAUUGUGGGUUAUCAAGAUCAACAACAGGUUCAAUUUCUAUAUCAUUAUCAUUACUAGGUUGAGCAUCAUCAUGGACAUUAUUAUUAACAUUAUCAUUAGUUUCAGGUUCAUUACCAGAUUGUGUUUCAGCAUCAGAAAUAGAAAUAUCAUUUGGAUUCUCAGGUGUUUCAACAAUAGGAUCACUAGAAGCAUGCAAAGUCUUAUCAUUUUUCUUUUUCUUCUUUUUAGAAGAACUAGGUGCAUCUAUAUUAUUUCUCAGGGAAUCUUGCUCAAUUCUCUUAGGAUGGCCUUCAGGAUACAAAGGUUCCUGAGUCAUUCUACCAGUUCUAGUAGCCACUCUAACAACAUAAUCAUUAUCUUUACUAUUCAAUUCAUUGAGAAAAUCAUUUUGAGCUUUAAGUACUUGUUCUACUUGAGUGGUAACCAUAGAAGCAUGUUUACUAAUAAGUUUAAGUUCACUUUUAACAUUGUAAACCUUGUAAAAUAAGAGAGAAUAGGCAUAAGUAUUGUGACAUAAUGUGUAAUAACAGUCCAUAAUGCAAUAAAUAUCGAUAUAAAAGCAUGAUGCAAAAUGGACGUAUCAACGGUCAUCUUGCCUGAAAUCCCGCUAGGAAGAAGAACGCGUCCAUGAAGUAGACGGACCAACGUAGCCGAAUGGAUCCUCACCAUCGCAACGUAACUGAAACUAUCGAGAAGGAGAACAACCGGAAAUAAGCGAACAAUAUGGUAAACACACAAGCAUAAACAUGACAUGGAAAAGAACACAUGCUACAUGCACGAUGAACAUGAAUGCAUAUGAAGAAUGCAACAGAUGGAGCUAAGGCUACUCGUACGAGGGAUAGGAUGCCGGGAAAGACAAAGGUGUUGACAAGAUAGAUAUGGGCAAACUCUUGGCAAACCAAGUAUGCCACUGGAUAGAUGGGAAGAUUCUAGUUGAAAACGGUAUAAAUAUCACCAAAAUCGGAUGCAUGGAUUGCAAAUGAUGAACAAAACAAAAUGCAAUGCAAAGCUGUCCAAAACAACAAAUGCCCACUUGGAUGCAUCACUUAAAUAUGCAAGAGAACUUAAACAUGGAAACAAAUGGCAUGGCAUUGAAAUACAUAACAUCCAUUACAAAACAUGAUCACUGAACUAUUUCUAAAACUUAAUGGAUCAUCACCAAAACAACAUGGCAAACUGACAACUGAUAACAGUUUAACAGACUUGGUGAAAACACAGAACAUGGCAGGAAACAGAUUCAGGAUGCAAUGUUUAGGUCUAGCAAACUACAUGCUACAGGAACAUAUUAAGGCAACCAAGAGCAUGGCAUGCUACUACAAUAUGCACUUAACAAAACUCCCUCACUGAACUUUGUCCAGAAACUCAUAGACAAGAUGAUACAACCAAUGCAAAAUAGCAAGUUAUGCUGACAGUUUCAGACUUAGCAAAAUAAACAUGGCAUGGCUGAAACAGAUUUAUGAUAGCAUGUUUGCAAGCUUGUUGCACUCAUUACAAGGCACUUCAUGGCAUGAAAUAAAUUCUAGCAGUAAGAUGGCAGAAUGAAGAACAUGUUCAUAUGCAAAACUUUCCCAUGGCAUAAAUGGUAUUAAAUGCACAAAAAUGACAAAAUGCUACAUGCUGCAAAUAUAACAUGUUCCCAAACUUGCUCAAAUGAUGAAAUGGAUGCCACAGAUGGCUUGGUGGGAUUUUUCUAGUGCAAAAUGAUAUAUAAUAUGCAUAUGAGAUGAUUUUGGCAACAACAUAGGAUGGCACAAUGCAAACACAUGGCAUAACAAGUGAAAUAAGCAUGGUGAAAGAAGCAAAGAUAUGACAAGGCACUCAACAUGAUCAUGGCAUAAACAUAUAGGAAUGAAAUAUGCAAAACAAUUAUGAUAAUGCAACAAACAUAAUAAAAAACACUGCAACAACUAAAAUAAAUGGAAGGCAUCUGGAGCAUCGGUCUCAGGGUGUUACAACUCUCCUCCACUAACAAGAGAUCUCGUCCCAAGAUCUUAGGAGCGAGACGGAAGUAAAAGAGGAUAAGGAGGAAUAAGACCGCAAAAGAGAAGGUGAAUAAGACCGAGAGCACUCGGGUAGAAAAAAGGAACGACGAUUAUGACGAGACUCAAAAGCUCAAGGAAUACGAUAGACUCUGAUACCAAUUUCACACCCAAUAUGCGAUACUAUCCUAAAGAGACUCGAGGGUCCCACCAAGGAUAGAACCGCAUAUUGACACGCUUUUGCAAAGUGGAUAUCAUUACAUCAAACUAUUACAUAAUAGAUGGUGAUACAUACAAAAGGCAUACAAAGCCACAAGAAUACAUCAAUGCAUCAUACAUAGAACACCAUCCGACUACGGAUGAAACACAAACAGAAGCUCAAACGACGUCCACCCUGCUAGCCCAGGCUACAGGGACAAUUUUAAGGGUAGCUUACAUAUGUGGCUGGUUAAACGUUACAUCGUGUACUCUCGCCCCCAUGUUGGGCUGCUGUAUACUAAAAGGUCCAUUAGCUAUUAUAGUCCAAGUAAAAUAUAAUCUAAUAAAUAGAUAAAGGAGCCAGCUUAGGGCCUAAUCCAAUCGUGCAUGCAGAAACCGUUGCGGCAUGCGGGUCAUUAUCUAACCACACCGAGCAUAUACAGCUAACACAGCUGCAAGUGGAUUGAUUGGUCAUUUUUUCUUCUUCAGAAAAAGGACCGAUCGCUGAUCGAUCUAUCUGCCCUAUUCCGUCACUCGCCGUCGGCUCGUCUACUUGGAGGUUGCGGACGCUGCAUUGCGUCCCCUAUCCCCCGCGCGGCCAGCAAGAUGGCGAUUUCCUCAAAUAUACAAUCCUACACACUCUUGAUUAAGGCUGUCGGUUAGUUUUUGAUUUCUAACUCAAUCUUGGAAUCCAUAAUUUAUUUUGAUGUGUUCUCUUAGAACUAUAGAACUAGAAAAUACAACUCUGAAAUGAUUCAGAUGCGUUUGUAAUUAUAAAGAGGAAGAGCUUUGUUGAGAAUAUUUUCUAGCCAAUUGAAACUAGGAACCAAUUAUGAAGAAAUUAUCGAGAGCCUUAAUCAUGAUUGUUGUAGUGCCAAAUACAGAUUAAUAGUUAUGAAAACUUUAUCUAAAUUAUAGAACCACAACUAUAUUUUGAGUAUUUAGACCUUAUUAUUAUAUAUAUAUACACUAUGCUUGAUGUACGUAUAUUGUCUCUUCUGUGACUGUGAUUGAUUCUUCUAGUUCAAGCCCCUGCCCCCCCUAUCGUCAUAUUCUGGCUCCGUCCCUGCCAGGCUGCCGACUAGGAACCUAUCCCAAGAUCGACGAAGAAGAAGAACUCCAAAACUAGCAAAACACCGAUCUCACGUCAUGAACAUCACAUUACAUGUACCUGCAACUAUUGUUGUAGUAAUCUGUGAGCCAUAAGGACUCAGCAAUCCCAUUACCAUGGGUAUCAAUACUAGCAAAGCUUAAUGGGUAUGGAAAGGAUAAGUGGUGAGGUUGCAGCGGCGGAAGCAAUGUAUGGUGGCUAACUUACGAGUACAAGAGUAAGAUGAGAAACUACGCAAACGGUCGCAAACUAGUAAUGAUCAAUAAGUGAUCCUGAACUACUUACGUUCAAACAUAACCCAACCGUGUUCUCCUCUCGAACUUCUCCGAAAAGAGACAGUCACGGUUACGCACGCGGUUGGUGUAUUUUAGUUGAGUUUACUUCAAGUCCUCUACAACCGGAUAUUAACAAAUUCCCAUCUGCCACAUAACCGCGGGCACGGCUCUCGCCAGUCUAAACCCUGCAGGGGUGUCCCUAGUUAGCCCAUGACAAGCUCACGAUCCACGGAGACAAUCCUCCAUCGCGGGACCCUCCCAUCAGACUCGGGAUCCCGGUGCACAAGACAUUUCAGCAAUGGUAAAACAAGUCCAGCAAGACCUCCCGACGUGCCGACACCCUGAUAGUAGCCGCGCGUGUCUCGCAUCAGGCCACAACGGAUGAGCUACGCGUACAGGUGCCAACAUACCCCAAGUUGCCAAGGGGCGGCCCCACACAGUGCUCUAGUUUGGGACCAACACCAUCGGUACUGGCCCCCGUGUAUGUAGAAAGAACCCUCGGGUUCAUGACUUCCUAUGCCAAUUAAUUAUUUAGUUCAAUAUUAUUAUGACAAAUGUUAAAACCAAUGUUGGGCCUUGCUGAAAGAGUUUUAUUCAAAGCGAACUGUCAAGAGGGCCCCAUAAACCCUCACCAUGUUAGGGACGCAAAAUUAAGGACAUAACACCGGUAUGACGGAAACUAGGGCGGCAAGAGUGGAACAAAACACCAGGCAAAAGGCCGAGCCUUCCAUCCUUUACCAAGUAUAUAGAUGCAUUAAUUAAAUACGAGAUAUUGUGAUAUCCCAUGAUAUCCAUGUCCCAACAUGGGACAACCUGCAACUAGCAACGCUAUAAGAGGGACUGAGCAAACCGGUAACAUAGCCAAACAACAGUUUGCUGGGAAGGGUGAAAAGGUUAGAGGCUAUCAUGGCAAUUUGGGAGGCUCGAUAAACAAGUGGUAGGUAGCGCGACAUAGCGAUAGCAUCGAGACAACUAGCAUAGCAAAUAUAGUAGUGAGAUUCAAGGUGACGGUCAUCUUGCCUGAAAUCCGGCUAGGAAGAAGAACGAGUCCAUGAAGUAGACGGACCAACGUAGUCGAACGGAUCCACACCAUCGCAACGUAACCGAAACUAUCGAGAAGGAGCACAACCGGAAAGAAGCGAACAACAUGGUAAACACACAAGCAUAAACAUGACAUGGAAAAGAACACAUGCUACAUGCACGAUGAACAUGAAUGCAUAUGAAGAAUGCAACAAACGGAGCUAAGGUUACUGGUACGAGGGAUAGGAUGCCGGGAAGGACAAAGGUGUUGACAUGAUAGAUAUGGGAAAACUCUUGGCAAACCAAGUAUGCCACUGGAUAGAUGGGAAGAUUCUAGUUCAAAACGAUAUAAAGAUCACCGGAAUCGGAUGCACAGAUUGCAAAUGAUGAACAAAACAAAAUGCAAUGCAAAGCUGUCCAAAACAUCAACAUGCCCACUUGGAUGCAUCACUUAAAUAUCCAACAGAACUUAAACAUGGAAACAAAUGGCAUGGCACUGAAAUACAUAACAUCCACUACAAAACAUGAUCACUGAACUAUUUCUAAAACUUAAUGGAUCAUCACCAAAACAACAUGACGAAGUGACAACUGAUAACAGUUUAACAGACUUGGUGAAAACACAGAACAUGGCAGGAAACAGAUUCAGGAUGCAAUGUUUAGGUCUAGCAAACUACAUGCUACAGGAACAUAUUAAGGCAAUCAAGAGCAUGGCAUGCUAGUACACUAUGCACUUAACAAAACUCCUUCACUGAACUUUGUCCAGAAACUCAUAGAUAAGAUGAUACAACCAAUGCAAAAUGGCAAGUUAUGCUGACAGUUUCAGACUUAGCAAAAUAAACAUGGCAUGGCAGAAACAGAUUUAUGAUAGCAUGUUUGCAAGCUUGUUGCACUCAUUACAAGGCACUUCAUGGCAUGCAAUAAAUUCUAGCAGUAAGAUGGCAUAAUGAAGAACAUGUUCAUAUGCAAAACUUCCUCAUGGCAUAAAUGGUAUUAAAUGCACAAAAAUGACAAAAUGCUACAUGCUGCAAAUAUAACAUGUUCACAAACUUACUCAAAUGAUGAAAUGGAUGCCACAAAUGGCUUGGUGGGAUUUUUCUAGUGCAAAAUGAUAUAUAAUAUGCAUAUGAGAUGAUUUUGGCAACAACAUAGGAUGGCACAAUGCAAACACAUGGCAUAACAAGUGAAAUAAGCAUGGUGAAAGAAGCAAAGAUAUGACAAGGCACUCAACAUGAUCAUGGCAUAAACAUAUAGAAAUGAAAUAUGCAAAACAAUUAUGAUAAUACAACAAACAUAAUAAAAACACGACAACAACUAAAAUAAAUGGAAGGCAUCCGGAGCAUCGGUCUCGGGAUGUUACAUAGGGCGAAAGCCUGUUUCGAGAUGGUGUCGCAUGUGUUCUACAAAGUGCAAAAUGGGUCGGUAACACUCACUUCGCAGCAUAAGGCAAACAGUUGCAGAAAUAACACUGUCUUCUCAGAAAGAAUUAUUAUUUACUCACACUGUUCCAAAAGUUAGUGUCGUGUUUUCUAGUUCAAAUUUGAACUAAAACCACACUUAUUUUUGGAACGGAGGGAGUACAAACAACUUAGAUUCGACAGGUUUUUCAAGUCAAAGAAAAAAGUAUCAUGAGCUUGGGCCCUGUUAUGUUGAGAAUGAACCUUGCAAAUAUAAAAUGUAGGUAACAUUUUCUGCCAAUAACAUCUAUUUAGCUUCCAGACCAGGAGUAACAAUACAGAAAUAUAACAGAGUACAUGUCUUAGGCUACACCAGCCAUGGAUCCAGGUUCAGCUGACGAAGUAACUACUUACGAAGCAAACAAAGCAUUUGAUGUAUCACAACAGUUACAACAGAAAAAUGUAACAAACACUUUUCAAAAGGUUCCAACUAAAUGAAUGAA